RNAcentral lists this long non-coding RNA (166690 nucleotides) under Vitis vinifera (wine grape). RNAcentral's name for it is "long non-coding RNA (VVIN_LNC002190)". Lineage: Eukaryota; Viridiplantae; Streptophyta; Magnoliopsida; Vitales; Vitaceae. The record is from RNAcentral.
UUCACUGAUGACAUUGUCAACGUACUAUGAAGUUGAAGGCUGAAGGAUAAAUACUAAGCAUGAAAGCAUGGUCAUGUGAAACUUGGAAUGGUAGAAAUGGAAAGCAGCAUGUGCCUCAGCAGUGCAAUUUUAUCUCUGUGUUUGUCAUGUAUGUGGUUGGGAGUACUGCCUUACAUUUCUAGUGCACCGACAGACACCAUCAAACCUGGGGAAGAGCUUCAAUUUUCAGAAAAAUUACUGGUUUCUGCAAAAGGGACUUUUACUCUAGGAUUCUUCAGCCUGGAAUCUGGCAGUUAUUUAGGAAUAUGGUUCACAAUUGAUGCUCAGAAGGAGAAAGUUUGGGUUGCUAACAGAGACAAGCCUAUAUCCGGUACAGAUGCAAACCUCACACUGGAUGCGGAUGGAAAAUUGAUGAUCAUGCAUAGUGGGGGUGAUCCAAUUGUCCUGAAUUCCAAUCAAGCAGCCAGAAACUCAACAGCUACUCUGCUUGAUUCUGGAAAUUUUGUUUUGGAAGAGUUCAAUUCGGAUAGAUCUGUGAAGGAGAAACUAUGGGAAAGUUUCGAUAAUCCUACAGACACCCUCCUGCCUGGGAUGAAACUAGGCAUCAACUUGAAAACCGGACAAAACUGGUCACUUGCUUCAUGGAUAAACGAACAAGUGCCUGCUCCUGGGACUUUUACUCUGGAAUGGAAUGGCACACAAUUGGUAAUGAAACGCCGAGGGGGCACCUACUGGAGCAGUGGAACCUUGAAAAAUAGGAGCUUUGAGUUCAUUCCUUGGUUGAGCUUUGACACUUGCAAUAACAUCUACAGUUUUAACAGUGUUGCUAAUGAAAACGAGAUUUACUUUAGCUAUUCGGUUCCAGAUGGAGUUGUUUCAGAGUGGGCAUUGAACUCGAGAGGAGGACUUUCUGACACUAAGGCUAUGUUUGGUUCCCAGAAAAUUUGAGGGAAAAUGCGAGGGAAAGAAAAUACAAAGGAAAAGUAGAAGGAAAGAAAAAGUGAAGGAAAAUAAAAAAAUAAAUUAAAAGUUGAUAAAUUAUUUUUUUUGUUACUUCAAACUCAUUUUAUUUAUUUUAACUCAUCAAUAUAAAGAUUAAAUAAUUUAAAAAUACAUAAAUUUUUAAUUAGUUUUAAUUAUAUUUGAUUUUCUUUGAUAUUUUUCAUAGGGCAACCAAACAUGAGAAAAUCAUUUUCUUUAUCAUUUUUUUUCUUUCCUUUGUACUUUCCGGGAACCAAACAUAGCCUAACAGACCUUUAUUUGUGACGGACGAUGUGUGUGAUGGGUUUGAGGAAUAUCCAGGGUGUGCAGUGCAAAACCCACCCACUUGCAGGACUAGAAAAGACGGAUUCAUGAAGCAAUCGGUUCAUAUAUCAGAAUCACCGUCAUCAAUAAAAGAAGAUUCGAGCUUGGGACCUAGUGAUUGUCAGGCCAUAUGCUGGAAUAAUUGUUCUUGUACUGCUUGUAAUACUAUAUACACUAACAGAACUGGAUGUCGGUUUUGGAGUACAAAAUUUACACAAACCUACGCGGGUGAUGCAAAUCGGGAGGCGCUCUAUGUUUUAUCCUCAUCACGAGUUACGGGUAAGUGUCUCUCUGUAUUUUCGUAUUCCUGAAAGUAACCAAGGCAAAGUAGUUGAUGAAUCCAACAUUUUUACUGAAUUUACAACCCUAAUAGGUGAUCAAAAAUUCAAAAUACCAUUAGAGGAGCUAUAUCAAGACCAUAAAAGACCCUCUCUCUUUCACUCAGUUCUGUUCUAAGCCACUAACCACAAAAUUUAUCAAUUUGUAUCUACGCAGGGAACAGUUGGUGGAUAUGGGUCAUUAUUGCAGGAGUGGUACUUGUGGUCCUGUUACUUAUGGGCUUCUUAUACUAUUUAAGGAGAAAAUCCAAAGUUAGUAUUUUAUUUUAACUUUUGCUGAUGAUAGUAAUGCCAUUUGUUAAUGGGUUGGAUAAUUGAACUUGUGACUUCUGGUAUAACAGGGGAGAGAAAAAUGGAGGAAGCUAUGCUGCAUGAAUUGGCAACUUCAAAUAGCUUUAGGCUCUGUUUGGUUCCCGGAAAAUGCUAAGGAAAGGAAAAAAAAUGUAAAGGAAAAUAGUUUUCUUUAGUUUGGAUGACAUGAAAAAUAAGGUGGAAAAAAAAUAUGAAGGAAAGUAUUAAAGAAAAUAUGGUAAUAUUUUCCCUAUUAUUUUCCUUAAAAAAUGACGAGGAAAAUAGGAGAAAAAGAGAAGGGCAAAGGGGGGGAAAAUUUUAUCGGGGGCUCUGUUCACCGCUUCAUCUUUCCUUUCCUCUUUAUCGGUGGCUAUGGCUUCUCACCGUCGUCGACCCUUUCAACGGCCACCACAAUCACUCCUAUCACCUUCCAGGGCCAAAAACGUACUCUUCAGGCACCCGAGUUCCCAUGGAUGAAGUGCGCUCUUCAAAUCAAGUUCUCAUUGAUGAAAUGGAUUCUUCAAAUCCAGUGAAUGUAUUCGGAUCCAUAUCUUCAGAUCAGGUAUGAAUUGAACUCCAAUCCAUCUCAUCUUGUGAAAACCCGGAACCCAAGGUAAUCGUUCUCUCUUGGGUUCUCUGUUUGGGUUUCUAGGUUGUUUUCGCCUUUCCCGUUUCUUAAAUUUCGCCAGAAUUUUUCUAAACUUUCUGGUUUGUUUUUUUCUAGAUUUGAUAUGAUUUUUACCCUUGAUAUUCUGCUAAAUGUUACACCGUUUCUUAAAUCACCUCAAUUGAUAUCAUUCCAAGGGAUUCCUAAAUGACUCUCUGUAUUUCUUGAUUUGCUUACAUUAUGAGUGUAAUUACAGAACUUAAGUUGUACAAUAAGCAUCAAUUGGUAGGCUAUGAUCAUUAUGACUCUCUAGGUUGUGAUUGGGGUUGUGUUUUCAAAUGGGAAGUGGGGAUUGUGAUUGGGGUUGUGUUUUCAAAUGGGAACUGGAAUACUCAGGUUUCAAAUGGCUGACAUAUUCUGGUGCAAUUAAUAACUCGUUAGUAUUAUGGGUGUCUUACUAGGUUUUUACGUCUCCAUUGUUGUAAUACUUGUCAAUUGUGAAGUUGAUCUGAAAUGAGUUAGAAUGGGACUUGACGAGAACUUUUAACAACUGACCAACUUGAUAUUCAACUAAGAGGAGAUGAGGGUAAAUCACAUUUGAUCAAUUAUGAGCUUUGUAAAAUGCAUACCCAAAAAAAUUUACAUUAAAGAUGAAUACCAGAUACUUGUGGCCUCCAAUUUGUAAAUACAGUUAGUGGAGAAUGUUGCUCAUAUCACUUACUUUUCCUCCAAGUUAUGAUUUGUCACAUUUUGAUCCAUAUGCGGAUCAUGUUAUUACCUUUCAUACAAGUAGGUAGUGAGAGAGGGUGGUAAAGAUGCAAUUUUCCUAAAUUAAUGUUUGACAAAGGGGACUGAUCAGUUUAAAUUGAUUGAACCCAGAAAUUUCAUAUUUCAGUCAUUUUGUCUGUUGCUUGAGAAUUGAGAAAACAGUAGACCCAAGUCAGCUAAUGGUCUGCCUCGGACACAGCUAUAGCGCAUUUGCUUAUGAAUCAAACUUAUAUACUGUGCNNNNNNNNNNNNNNNNNNNNNNNNNNNNNNNNNNNNNNNNNNNNNNNNNNNNNNNNNNNNNNNNNNNNNNNNNNNNNNNNNNNNNNNNNNNNNNNNNNNNUAGAUUCAUAUUUGAAUAUAUCUCAUGGUAAUUUUGAAUAUGCAUAUUUUCCCAUGUAAAGAUUCUUAUUGAUAGAACCAUGUUAGUAUUGGCCCUAUUGGGCAAUGAGAUUGGAAUUUUAUUUUAUUAUUCUAUAUCCUCAAAGGAUUGGUUUAGUAUGAGUUCUUAUAUGUAAAAGGGCUCUCUUACCUGGUCAUACACUCAGCAUUAGGCAUUAGGCAUGCUCGAAGGAAUUAAAUCUGAAUUUUAACUGAAAAGAUUCAAAUACAAACAUGGGAUUUUUCUAGAAUUGGAAAGAAAAUUUGUGUGAUUCAUCUGUUAGAUGUUUAUCAAUCUCAAUGAAAAAUAGGAUGGGAAAUCUACAGAAUUUAACAAACAGUUAAGAAUUUAGCACCGACAAUUACAAGGACAACUAGUAAGUAACUUCAUGAUGAAGGAAGAAAUACAGAGUGAAGAUAAGCAUAAAUAGGAAAAGGAAAAAUGAAACUAGAAAAAGCUGUGGAAAAAUUAAUGCUGUUUCCUGCAAUGAAAUACUCUUCUCUUAAUGCUAUUACAGUUGAUUGCUUCUGCUUUCCUUAAUAUUGGUAGAAUUCAGAUAUUGAGUAAUAACUAAAUUCCUUUUGGUUCUGGACACAACAUGGUUGAUUCUGCAAAACAUGCUUAGGAUAUCUCUUAAAGCAUGCUUAGGAUCAGCUUCAAGUUUAUAGGGAUAACAAAAUAUUAACUUUAGGUAAAGAAGUGAAAAAGCAAUCUUAGCAUCCCCCUUCAAGUUUGAAAAUACUAACAUGUUUUACAAUACUAAGUUAAGCAUUUAGGAUGAGUAAUAUUAUUUGUCAUGGUUUAACAUAGUAUAAGAGCUCUGAUUUUUAGUGUCUUCUGUUGUUUUUUUUAUCUUUCUAGUCUAGCAUGAUAUUAGAAUUUUGGGUUUUUAUUAUCUUUAAUCGGGUACCUAUUCAUCUGUUUUGUCUGCUUCUACACUUGAAGAAUUGAUAUUUUUUUUAUUUAUAAAAAUCAGAUUUUGAGAACUUAUCACAAAAAAUAUGAUAUUUUCUAAAAAUACAUUUCAUUCUCAGUUAUUUUAUUUUAAAAUUAUUUUUUUAAAAUAUAAAAAAUAAAUUGAGAACAUUUCAAAUUUUGAGAACUAUUCUUUGAGAGCUUUUUUAAAAAAAAUUGUUCUUUAUGGUGGAGUUUAAGCAGCAUUUAAAGAAAAUGAAAGACAUAAGUAUAAAGAAGCUUUAUAAAAAAAAAUCAAAAAAAUAUUUACUAGUAAUAUGUAAGGUGACCAAAACCAUAAGGCAACCUUGUUAGUUGAUUAAGUUACUAGUAAUCCUCAUGUCCCAUACGUAUACAUACUAUCCCAGUCUUAGUCUCAGUUCUACAUCUUCUUGGUGGUUCAGGAUACUAUCUUUGCAAAAUUAACAUGUGCUUACUUGGAUGCAACAGAGCAGCUUCAUAAGAACAACCACAUGGGGCCAAUAUUGAACCUGACCAGUACAAGCUUAGCUUGAAAUGCUGAGCCAUGUGGUGUCUCCCUUACUUUCCAAUCAUACACCCACUUGGGUCCUACCAUUUCUUCACAUUUCCUCUGUUCGAAAGGACACUGGAAUUAGGCUGCUCUAUGUUCACUUUUGUUUUUCGAAAGUUUCGUGUGAAAAUAUGAUUAAUUUUUUGAUUUGAUCAUAUGAAUCAUCUUCCUCAGUUGUAAAUGAAAUUAUUUUUGCAGAAUCAAAGGUUGGUUCUAUAAAAAUUAAGGCCCAUUCAGUUUAUCUACCAGAAAUACAAAAGAGAUAGAAACAAAAUAAACACCAAAAAUCAAGGCCAUGUUUGGGAUUGCUUCCUAACAUAGUUUUUUUUUUUUUUUUGUUGCAUUUGAACUAAAAUAGAGAUUCAUUUGAACUAAAAUAGUGUAUGGGUUUUCCAUUUCUUUUUACCUAAUUUACUUUUCUAUUAUUUGUGCAGGCAAAGCAAGUUCAUCCUGAUAAAAAUCCGAGUGACCCUUUGGCAGUUGAACGAUCUCAGGUAAGUUCACUUCUUUGUCAUUCAUUCAUCAUCUUCUUCUUAAUGCUCUACUCUCCUUCAUUCAUCCCAAAACCAAGUGGAGGACCAAGUAUUCUUAAGUAAUCAUGCAAAUUUCAGACUGAAUAAUGAACUUGGAAAGAGUUUCGUUUUGUUAUCAUGCUUUAAACUAGACAUUUCAACUCUAGUAAGGUCUGUUUUACCAUAAGUGGUAACUUGUCAUUAAUUUAACUAUCAUAAAUAGUCAUAAUCAAUCUUAGAUUAAGUUAAUUUAACUAUCACAUUUCAAGACUGAAUAAUGACUUUACUAAAUCAUUCCUCUUACUUUGCUAUCAUGUAGACUUAUAAUGAAGAGUGGCAAAGACUUAGAAGAUGGGCUGCAACUCAACUCCACACUGCAUCUUUUGGCUUGGCCUCUCUCUUCUUCUUUUCUCUUUCUUUUCAUAUUUAGCAGGCCAAGUUGAGAAAGACUAACAGGCUCUCGUUUGAAUUUGUGCAUUCCAGAUCUGUAUAAUUCUGGGAGUGAUAUUGAUGAUUUUAGCUCCCAUUGGUGCCCUGAGGCAGAUCAUCCUCCAAGCCAAGACCUUCGAAGUGUUCUCAUGAUGAUCUUCCCAUUGCAAAGAGGAUGGAUUUGAUUGAUUGGCUGAGAAGUUGAAUAAUGGUGCUUGUCCCAAGAGCCAAAUGAAACAGUUGGGUCUCGUCUUAAGAGUUCUAUAGUCUUCUGUUCUUUUUAUUUGCUUGUACAGUGCUCUGUUAAAUAUGUCACAUCAAAUAUUAAACACAAUGAAGCAUAUAAUAAUAUAUCCUCAAGCCUUAUGAUUAAAUGAAAUUAUUAUUAUUAUUAUUAUUAUUAGUAAAUAUGUUAGUUUAUAUCAUCACACUCCAUUUUAAAAUUGAUUUUUACAUUAUAUGAACAUAUUUUAUUUCUAAAUUUUGAUUCCGAAAAUCCUUUUGAAUUUUUUAAGAGCUUUUUAUUAGCUAUAAAUGUUUUCUUGAAAAUAAAAAAUAGUUAUUACUCGUAUAUUUUAUUUGUAUUACAUGAGAAAAAUUUUAUACACAAAUUUUAUAAUUAUUAAUAAAAAAUAAUAGCAGAGACUUUUUAUAAGUAAUGUUUUAUGUCGAAAAAUUUACGUUUUUUAACAGUUUUUUUUAUUGGAUUAAUUUAUUUUAUUAUUUAACAAAUUGAUAACCAUUUAAGAUAAAUUGUUGAUUUUAUUUUCCUUCCAUUUUUCCUUAACUUUUUUUUUUGUGGUUAACCAAACAAAAGAAAAUAAAUUCUUUUUUUUUCCCUUGAAUUUUCCAUAGAUAACCAAACAAGUGAAAAAAAUUAUAUUCAUUUCCUUACCUUUUUCUUUCCUUCCAUUUUUCCUUUCAAUUUUCUUUCUCUCGUAUUUUCCGGGAACCAAACAGAGCCUUAGUGAUUCAAAAGAUGUUGACCAUGAUGGAAAGACGGCUCAUGAUCUCAAACUGUUCAGUUUUGAUUCUAUUGUGGUUGCCUCAAAUAACUUUUCAUCUGAAAAUAAACUUGGAGAGGGCGGAUUUGGCCCAGUUUAUAAGGUAAUUAUAAUUUCAUUAGGCCAUAGCAUGUAAUAGGAAUAGGGCAUUCUUUGUUUAAGUACCCCAAUUAAAGCUUCCUUGUGGAUUAUUUUUGCAGGGGAAAUUACCUGAGGGGCAAGAAAUUGCAGUGAAGAGACUUUCAAGGGGCUCCGGACAAGGAUUGGUGGAGUUCAAGAAUGAGAUUAGACUGAUUGCCAGACUCCAACACAUGAAUCUUGUUAGACUUUUGGGUUGUUGCAUUAAGGGAGAAGAAAAGAUGUUAAUCUAUGAGUUCAUGCCCAACAAAAGCUUGGACUUCUUCCUCUUUGGUUUGAAUACUUCCCUUUUUUAUUCCUUUAAUCUGCUUAACUUUUCCUUAUGUUCUUUAUCCUUUUUUGCUUGAAACAAUUUACUAGUCGUGUUGUGUUCACCCAAAUUUUCAGAUCCUGCUUGAAGAAAGAUAUUGGAUUGGAAAAGACGUCACAAUAUCAUUGAGGGGAUUGCACAAGGACUUCUUUACUUGCAUAAAUAUUCAAGACUAAGAAUUAUUCAUAGAGAUCUAAAAGCAAGUAACAUCCUACUUGAUCAUGACUUGAACCCCAAAAUUUCUGAUUUUGGCAUGGCCAGAACUUUUGGGCGAAAUGCAUCAGAAGCAAAUACAAAUAGGAUUGUUGGAACAUAGUAAGCAUGACUUUUCCUUAUCUACUGCUUCUUUUUCAAUCUAGUGAAUUGAACCUUCUACUAUGGAUGCAGUGGUUACAUGCCCCCUGAGUAUGCCAUGGAAGGAAUUUUCUCAGUAAAAUCAGAUGUUUAUAGCUUUGGGGUGCUACUGUUGGAGAUUGUGAGUGGCCGGAAGAACAAGUGCUUUUAUCAUAAUGAUGGUGCCAUUACCAUAAACCUGGCAGGAUACGUAAGUCCGCUAAAUCUCAUAUUUGUCUCUACAUUAUUAUCAACACCUGGUGUAUCCUUCCAAAUUUUUCAUACUAACCUUGUAAGUAAAUCAACCCUAAAAUGAACUGGAAUCAGGCUUGGGAGCUAUGGAAAGAAGGUACUAGCUUGCAGCUAGUGGAUCCAAUGCUGGAGGAUUUCCACUCAUCAACCCAAAUGUUGAGAUGCAUUCAUAUUGCUCUCUUGUGUGUACAGGAGAGCGCAGCAGAUAGGCCUACAAUGUCAGCUGUUAUCUCCAUGCUCACCAACGAAACUGUGCCCCUACCAAACCCAAAUCUACCCGCAUUUUCCAUUCAUCAUGCAGUGUUAGAGCUAGAUUCACACAAAGGCGGGCCAGAGAGCUGUUCUGGAAGUGUAAACAUUUCAGAGAUGGAAGGUCGGUAAAGAAGAGAAUUUCAAGGGGGGAAAGGGAACCUAGAGAACAGCAGUUUUUGUCCUAACCUAUUAGCUAUUUGUCUAGAUUGAUUCGUAUUGGCAUCAUAUAUUUAUUAUAUAUAGAAUCAACUAGGUUUCCCUCAAGGUAAUCUUUUUUAAAACCUUUUUGAAUUUAUCAGAGCACAAUAGAAGCUGGUUUAGUAUCAUUUGAAACAUAGUUUGAAUCUAUAUUCUGCGGCUCAUUUAUGUUCAGUUAUUCAUUCUCAUUAUUGGGAAGGCAUCGGAUGGACUACGGCAUACGUUGGCAUCAAACAGAUGAUCAAAGCUAUGUUCUACGCCAUACGCAAAGAAGAGUACUCCAGACCACCAAAGUAGAAAGUAGAGAUAAUGUAUGACUGAUCCUCAUUCAAUUUGCAUAUACACCACCGGUUAACCAAACUUCAUCCUCCAUGCUUCAGGUAAUCCAUAGCCAAGUUCUUCUCCCACGCGCUGCAAGAGACGUAGGUCUUCAAAUCGAAAUGUCCACCUUCUCCUAAAGCGCAAGAUUUUAUUGAGAAUCAUCCCUUUCUGGAGGCCAUCUCUACCGCCUCAUCUACGCCAACUCAGAAAUUCAAAUCAUGAAAGGCUGAAAGCCCAUGUUAUGGGUUCCAACAUCCCCACCCCCCCACUUACAAAAUUUGCACACAUACAUAAAAGCUUAUAUAUUCAAGCGACACCUAUCCCCACAUCACCAUGAUGCCAAAGUUAACUCUUUGCCCAUUUCCAGCCAAAAAGGAGACAACCUAUAUAAGGAACUCCUCAUCAGCCAUGGUUUGAAGUAUUGGCAAAGACUGGCACUGCUCAGCCAAGUCGUAUUUGCCUUGACCAUGACCAUGAUCAAUCCAAGAUAAAAUUUGAGAAUUUUACAGUUGAUAAUGACUCGGUUUCAUACUUAAUUCAACCAACUCCAACUCACAACUCUACAACUCUAAUUCAAUGGAAAUAGGAGUAAACAAAAUUUGAGAAUCUCUACAUGUCCAAAAGUGAACACAUCUAAAUUAUCAAACCUAAGCUUUUUAGAGUAAGGGAGGCAAGAAUCACAAACAUGAUUACUAAAGGCAAACAACAUAAAAGGAUAGAAAAGUCAUGCAAUUCUAGUAAGUUUAGGAUGUCAUGAUCCUCAUGUGUUAAUCAAGUGAACAAAUGAGGAAAUGGUACAUCAAAGGCACAUAAGGAUAUAUCCAUUUAAUACCAAUUUUAUCCUCAUCCUCAUGUUUCAAUUUCAACCUCUUAUCAUCCCAAUGAAAUUGCCAUUUUGUGAACCUAUAUUUUUUAUUUAUGUUUCCGGUCAAAUAACAAAAUUUGGACUCUGAAAAAUUUAUUAUGAAAACUAAUUUUUUUAUUCUCUUUUGAGGCUGCCUUUAAUUUUAUUCAUUUUUAAAACAAUAAAGAAAACAAAAUUUAAAAAAUAAAAUCUUGUUUGACUCCAUAGAGGAAAAGCUAGUCUAGAAAUGAGAAUGGAUAUGGAAGCACUCAUCUAAGUUCUCACAUUAUUUGGUCUCUAUUAGUGAGCUAAGACAUGAUCUGAAAUUUGAUUUAGUUUACAUAAUCUUGCAAAAUUAGUUAUAAAUUUUAUUACCAUUAAUACAAAAAAUUUGUCACGAGAUACAAAAAUUUGAUUCAAUUAAUUUUUUUUUUUUAAAAAUCAUUUUAUGAUUUUAGUAAUUAAUAUAAAAAUUAGCAUAUAGACUAAAAAAUAUAAUUUAAUUUAUUUCUUAAAAAAUUAAUAAAUAAAGUAUUUUUCUGAUUUUAUUAAUGUCAAUUUAUAAAGAAUUAAUAUAUAAAAAAAUUUGUGCCACAUAACCUUAAAAAAUUAAUUUAUAAAAUAAGUUUCUCGUUUUUAUUAAUUUACAAAAAGAAAUAAAAAAAAUUCUAAUUUAUUUCACACAAUCUCACCAAAUUAAUUUCCAAAGUGAUUUUCUGAUUUAUUUUAUUAACAUUAAUAUAGAAGGAAAAGUUUAAAUUUAGAUCCAUUCAAUCUUACCAAAUAAAUUUAUAAAGUAAUUUUAUUUUAUUUUUUUCAAAUUUACUAAAAUUAAUAUAUGGAAAAGAAUUGAUUUAGUAUUUAUCAACUUUACAAUUAAUUGGUAAAACAAAUUAUGUCAUUAUCAAUAUGAAUUUAUAAAAGAUUAAUAUAUCAAAUACAAAUAAAAUAAAUAAAUAAAAUUUUGAUUGAAUAUUUAAUAGUUUACAAUUAAAAUUCAAAGUGAACUAUUUAAAAUUCAAAUUCCUCUCUCAUUUUUUAAAUUGAACCAUAAAUGUACAUUGAAAAGUUAAAAUAAAAUAAAAAAUAAAAAAGGGAAAAAUUAAAUAAAUAAAUAUAAUUAAAAUAAAAAUAAAAACAGAAAUAAAUAAACAUGUUUGGGUCAAGAGUGAGUGGACCUACUCUGUAUUGGAGGAAAAUUAAAUGGGCUUAAAUUUGGCCCAAAGUGAAUGUGCCUACAAUGUCAUGGGUUAGGAUAAAUUUGGGUUCUACACAUUUAGACUAUGCUUGCUUCCUAGAAAAGUAGAAAAGUUGGUGGGAAAAAUAAAAGGAAAGAAAAAAGAAAAAGGAAAUAAAAAAAUAAUUUAAAGUCAAUAAUUUUUUUUUAUAUCAUACCUUAAAUUCAAUUCACUUAUUUAGCUAUUCUAUAUAAAGAUUAAAUAAUUUAAAAAUAUGAAAAUUUCUUGCUAAUUUUUAUUACAUUUGACUUUCUUUAUUAUUUUUCAUGUUGAAACCAAAUUAAAAAAAAAAUUUAUAUAUUUUUUUUCCUUUCUAAUUAUUUUUUGGAACAAACCAUAGUCUAACUAUUAUGCAUAUAUUCCUAUAUUAACAACUGGUUGUUUGAGAUAACUUAUUUUAAAAUUUUUCUAAGAGAUGAAGUAAAUGUCAAAAUUUUAAAGGGUAAUAGCUGUUACUUUAACAAUUUGAGGGGCUUUUUUUAAAUAAAAGAAAAAAUUUAUACCGCAACUUUAAAAAAUAAUUCUUAAAAAAUGAUAGUUGGACAAAUAUUGACUGAUUUACGGCACUUUUCGCCACGUGGAAUGUGUCUUUUGAAGAGACAGCUUCCAUAAUUUUCAAAUAUUGAUAUUCACUAGAAGAAUUGAAUUUAAACUAAAGGUGUCUUUCAAAGAGACACCUUCUAGAAUUUCAAAAAAUUAGAUUUAUACUAAAAGUAUCUCUUAAAAAGACAUUUUCCACAAUUCCACAAAAUCUAAUAUAUACUAUAAAUGUCUCUUAAAUUUGAUUUUAUAUUAAAAAAAUUAGAUUUAUACUAAAAAUAUCUCUUCAAGAGACACUUUCCACAAUUUCAUAAAAUUCAAUAUAUAUUAAAAAUGUCUCUAAAAGAAACACCUUUCACAAUUUCACAAGUUUUAAUUUAUACUACAAGUGUCUCUUGGAUUUGAUUUUAUAUUGAAAGAGACACCUUCUGCAAUUCCAAAAAAUUUGGAUUUAUACUAAAAUGUCUCUUAAAGAAACAUUUGCCACAAUUUAAAAAAUUCCAAUAUAUACUAAAGGUGUCUUGAAUUUUAAAUUUCAUCUUCAACAAAUUCAAAAAAUAUUAAUUUAUACUAGAAGUGUUUCUCAAAUUUGAUUUUAUAUAGUUGUCCUUUUAAAAAAUACAUUUAGUAUAUAUUGGAUUUUGUGAAAUUGUAGAAGGUGCCUCUUUAAGAAACACCUUUAAUAUAAAUUCAAAAUUUUUUUGAAUUAUAGAAAGUGUUUACCUUCAAUAUACAAUCAAAAUCAAGAGACACUUGUAAUAUAAAUUAAAAUUUGUGAAAUUGUGGAAGGCGUAGAGUUUAGUAUAAAUUGGACUUUUUUUGGAAUGGUGGAAAUUGUUUUUUCAAGAGAAACCUUCUACUAUAAAUCCAAUUUUGUGGAAUUGUAGAAAGUGUCUCUUGAAGAGACACCUUUAGUUUAAAUUCAAUUAUUUUAAGUAUAUAUCGUAGAUUUAAAAAUUGUAGAAGAUGUCUCUUCAAGAGACACCUUCAAUAUAACAUCAAAUUCAAGAGAUAUGGAAAUAGGUUGCAUCAAAAAAAGUAAAAAUAUGAUAUAGUUUUUUUUCCACACCUCUCCUACAUGUCCAAAAAUGCCAUAAAUUUGGAAUUAUUUUCCAAUUUACGAUAUUUUAGAAAAUAAUUUUUAAAGGGAAAGUUGUGAUUUGGGCUUCCCAUCCCAACAUAAUAGCAUUUUAGAAUCCCAACAAUGGGAAAUAUGAGAAUCAACUUUUAACAUGAAAAGUAUUGUCAUUUUUGUGCACUCUGAGCCAACUCCAUCUUCUGUGCCCAAAUGGCCCCUUUGUUUCUCUAACUUAGCAUCCUCAACAUCAUCUUAACAACCCAAAAUUUCUCUCAUUUUAGUUUAGAAACUCAACUCCAAAACUCCAAGGCAGUGUCAAAACACGUCUUUCAGCUCAUCUAGGAGCCAUGUGAGUAAAAAAGAAUCUAGGAAAACUGAAAUGGAGCUUGGGUGGAGAGAGUAGAAACCUAAAAAAUCAAAACCCUAACCUCCAAACAGGUCCUAGACUUGAAAAUCUGUGUCCAAGAUGGAUCGGCAAGAAAUAACACCAAACAUCUGUUCUAGACCACUAAAUCGGUGAAGCCCUUGAAGAACCGGAGGAAAUAAUGCAAAAAAUGAAACGUAGGAGACUUUUAAAGUAUUGGGUCCCAACGAACCGGUCAAUUGAUCCUAGACCAAUCAUCUUUGGCAUUUUAGUAACUGUACCUUAGGUACUACCUUAAUAGCCUUUAGAUACUAGCUUAAUCUACUUUAGGUACUACCUUAACCUACCUUAGUUAAACCUGCAUCUUACCUGUGUGAAGGCUUAAAAAUUCAUUUGUGGAUAUUAAUUAAUUCAUUUGUGACCCUUAGAGCAUGUCAUUAUGUGAUUAAUUAGUGUGGCCAAUUGGUUCACCUUUGGUAUUUUGGGGACUAUACCUUAGGUACUACCUUAAUAGCCCUUAAGUACUACCUUAAUCGACCUUAGGUACUACCUUAAUAAAAAUUGGGUACUACCUAUUUGAAGCCUCAGAAGUUCAUUUGUAGAUAUUACUUACUUCAUUUGUGACCCUUACAGCAUACCAUAAUAUGAUUAAUUAGUGUGAUUAAUUAGCAUACCAUUAGAACAUGAUCUAAGGGCCAUAAAUGAAUUAAUUAAUAUCCACAAAUGAAGUUUUGAGGCUUCAAAUAGGUAGUACCCAAGUUUUAUUAUGAUAGUACCUAAGGUCAGUUAAGGUAGUACCUAAGGUAGAUUAAGGUGAUACAUAAGGACUAUUAAGGUAGUACCUAAGGUAUAGUUAUCGAAAUAUCAAAGGCGAACCAAUUGACCAUACUAAUUAAUCACAUAAUGGCAUACUCUAAGGGUCACAAAUGAAGUAAUAUCCACAAAUGAAGUUUUGAGGCUUUAGAUAGGUAGUACCCAAUUUUUACUAAGGUAGUACCUAAAGUCAGUUAAGAUAGUACCUAAGGUAGAUUAAGCUAGUACCUAAGGGCUAUUAAGGUAGUACUUAAGGUGCAAUCACCAAAAUACCAAAGGCAAUCGAUCGAGGACUGGUCGACCAGUUUGUCAGAACCCAAUACUUUAAGAGUCUUCCACACUUCAUUUUUUGCACUGUUUUCUUUGGUUUUUCAAGGGCUUCAUCAAUUAAGUGGUCUAGGAGAGAUGUUUGGUGUUAUUUCUUGCUAAUAGAGCUAUCUUGGACACGAAUUUGCGAGUAUAGGACGCAUUUGGAGGUUAAGUGUAGACCCCUCUUAGGCCAAGGGGUAUUGUUGGGCACUUGGUGAGCUAGGCAUUUUAUUUGAGGAUUGGGGAACAACUUUCCAUGAAGAAGCUGCUAAGACAUGUGACAAAAGAUGUGACCACCUUGCCAUGGUGGUGGUUGAAGCAGGUAAGAAAAGAAAACAGAGAAGUACCGUGGAGCUGGGUGACGGGAGACUUUUUGGGGAGUGGUAGUUGUAGGAAAGAAGAAGCAGAGGUUUUGAGAGGAUGUGAGGAAAGAAGGGUUGGGAGAGAAAAAUGGAGGAAGUUUUUUAGAUAGAGGUUUGGAAGGGGGUGUGAGAAAGGAAAAUAGAGCAAGAGAGGUGGAGAGGAAAAACAAAAAGCUGGACUGAGAUGAGGGGAUGAGCCGAGGGAGGGGUGGUCCAUGGGUGCUUCGUUUUGGAAAGAUUGAGAAAGAGUGAGCUAGGUAGAAAAAUAGGGUUGCAAAAACAUGGGAUGAUCGAUUGGUUUUGGAGGAGAAAGGAUAGUUGGACCCACGAGUUUAGGUUCUAAUAUGAAUGACAUAUGUGGAGUGGAUUGGGUGUAUGGAGGUAGUGAUCAUGGUGAUCCAGAUUUAACACAAGCCAUUUCCCACUUGAAAUAGACCACCAAAUUCUCCACCCCCUAGUUGUAUUUGGCCACAUGCAUAAAGAGCUGGCACAUGGAAAUGGCCACAGUAAAAUGAUUGUUGUUGGGAAAGAUGACACCACAUGCCUUUGGUGGGCCAUCCUUGAAGCACAUGCCCUUAUCUUUUUCUUUUUCUUUUUUUUUUAUUCUUUAUCCUCACAUGUCAAAGUUUGAUUUUUGCAAAUUUCUUUUAAAUGAUUUUCAAAAUUCCAGUUUUUCAAAUAAUCUUAUUUCCAUUCCAAUUUGCAAAUUUAAAUUUCAAAAAAAAAAUUCCAUUCUCAAUAAUUUUUCAAAAUUCCAAUUUUUAAAACUUUAAUCUUCGAAUAAUUUUCCAAAAUUCUAAUUUCCAAAUUUAAUUUUUAAAACUUCAAUUUUCAAAUAAUUUUUCAAAAUUCCAUUUUCAAAUCAUUUUCAAAACUCUAAUUUUUAAAUUUCAUUAUCAAAACUUUAAUUUUCAAAUUUAAUUUUCAAAACUCUAAUUUUCAAAACUCCAAUUUUCAAAAAUUCAAUUUUCAAAUAAUUUUAAAAACUCUAGUUUUCUUUUAAAUAAUUUUAAUUUCACUCCAAUUUUCAAAUAUUUUUAAUUCUACAGUUUUUCAUCCUUUAUUAGGGUUUUGGAUAAAAAAUAAUCUCAUUUUUAAUAAACUUGCUACAUUUUCCUUCAGUUAAGCACUUUCACAAAUUUUCUUUGAUUUUCAAAUAAUUUUUGUUUCUCUUGAUUUUAAAUAAGUAUGAAUAUGAUUUUCAUAAUUCAAAAAAAUAAAAUGGAAUUUAUGAGAUUAAUUCAUGCAAAAUCAAUUGGCCUUUGGUAGGAGCCCUACAUAUGAGUUUUUCCUUCUAAUUGUCAAUUGUUAUGCUUAAUGAAUAUUAUUUGAACUUUGUCUUACUUUUUGAUAUGCAUGUGAUAAUUUUAUACUUGAGCUACAUUUGUUUCCGUGAUAGCGCACUAUUUCUUAUUGCUAAGGUACGCUCUCACUCUCACUUUGUUUAUUUAUUCAUUAUCAUGACUUACUUUUAAUCUAUGAUAAUUUUGGUAUCCAUUGAUUUCCUAAUUAAGUAUCACACUUGCUUCAUCUUAUUUAGUAGAAACCCAUUUUUUAGGGACUUAGAGGGGUGCUACAAUCUUUUAACGUACCUUCCCUAUAAGUAACUUGACCCCUGAACCUGACUUUGGUUUUUCACAUACCUGUGUUUCCUUCAGGAGUCACACUUAGUGUUUUUCUUUCUUGUUUUGUUUUUUUCUUUUUUUAAAAAAUAUAAAACAAAAAUAAGUGGUGACUCCAAGUAUUUUCUAAAAAUCAUAAUUUUUCACAAAUAAAUGAAAAGCGAGUGUUGUCAUCGAGUGGGAAUGCAUCGUGCGAAAUGUGGGGUUUGCAUUAGGGUUUCGAUUUUUUUUGGUACUUGCUCUCUCUACUCAAGCUCCAUUUCGUUUUUUCUCAUAUUCUGUUGGACUCCCAUGGCUCCUAGACGAACCAAAAGGCAUGUUUUGACACUGCCUUGGAGUUUUGGAUUUGGAUUUCUAAACUAAAAUUAGAGAAAUUUUGGGUUGUUGGGAGUGAAGAAAGAUGAGAGAAAGCUUCCAAAUGAGAGAGGGUGACCUAGAGGUUGGGAUGAUGCUGAGGAUGUUGAGCUGGAAAAACGGAGGGGCAAUUUAGGCACAAAAGAUGGAGCCGACUCAAAGUACACAAAAAUGAUAAUGCUUUUCAUAUUAAAAGUUGAUUCUCAUAUUUCCUAUUGUUGGGUUUUGAAAAUGCUAUUAUGUUGAGAUGAGAAACCUAAAGUACAACUUUCCCAUUUUUAAAAAGUCCAUACAUUUAUCAAAAAUUCCCAAUUUGAGUUGUAAGACCCAACACUCGAUGGGGAGCAUUAUGAUUAUGAGGAGGUUGCCUUGUUGACAUUGUAAGAUUCUUUCCACUUGACGAGUCACCACUGUCAGCACCAAAGCUCCACCCCCCAAUAAUGCUCAAUUUUUAGGAAAAUUAGGUAAGUAAAUCCUAAAUCAUGCCCUCAUCCUUCAGUGGUUUCUCCUCUUAUUUGCGAAUGGGUUAGAGGUUGGGUUUUUUCUUCUUUAUCUUGUAAUGUGUCUGUUUGGAAGGGCCUUGCUCUUGUAAUGCACACACACACAAAGAAUUAAUAUAUAUAUAUAUAUAUAUAUAUAUAUAUAUAUAUAUAUAUAUAUAUAUAUAUAUAUAUAAAUUGUGCCACAUAACCUUAAAAAAAUAAUUUAUAAAAUAAUUUUCUCGUUUUAUUAAUAUACAAAAAGAAAUAAAAAAAAAUCUAAUUUAUUUCACGCAAUCUCACCAAAUUAAUUUCCAAAGUGAUUUUUUGAUUUUUACAACAUUAAUAUAGAGGUAAAAAUUUUAAUUUUAGAUCCAUUCAAUCUUACCAAAUAAAUUUAUAAAGUAAUUUUCUUUUCCUUUUUUCAAAUUUACUAACAUUAAUAUAUGGAAAAUAAUUGAUUUAUUAUUUAUCAACUUUACAAUUAAUUGGUAAAAAAAUUUACAUCAUUAUCAAUAUAAAUCUAUAAAAGAUUAAAUAUCAAAUAAAAAUAAAAUAAAUAAAUAAAAUUUUGAUUUAAUAUUUAAUAGUUUACAAUUAAAAUUCAAAGUGAACUAUUUAAAAUUCAGAUUGUGCCAUGGGUGAAUGUGCCUACAAUGUCAUGGAUUAGAAUAAAUUUGGGUUCUAUGCAUUUAAACUAUGUUUGAUUCCCGGAAAGUUUAAGGAAAAAUAUAAGGGAAAGAAAAUAGAAAACAAAAGUAGAAGGAAAGAAAAAAGUGAAAUAAAAUAAAAAAUAAAUUAAAAAUUAAUAAAUUAAUUUUAUAUCCUACCUCAAAUUCAAUUCACUUAUUUAUCUCCUUUAUAUAAUGAUUAAAUAAUUUAAAAAUAUAAUUUUUUUUUACUAAUUUUAAUUAUAUUUUACUUUCUUUAUUAUUUUCCAUACUAAAACCAAACAUAGAAAAAUUAUUUGUUUCUUUGCAUUUAUUUUCUUUUCUUAGUACUUUCUAAUAAUCAAACAUAGCCUUAGUAUUAUGCAUAUAUUCUUACACAAACAAUUGGCUAUUUGAGAUAACUUAUUUUUAAAAAUUUCUAAGAGAUGAAGUCAAUAUCAAAAUUUUAAAGGGAUAAUCUUAUUAUUAUAAAUUUUUUUAUUAAAUAUAAAGCUACUUCCAUGAAUAAAAAGAAGAAAAAAAUUAUGAGAAGUAGCUUCAAUUUCUUUCUUUUAUUUUUGUUUUGUUAAGCUUUUUUAAUUUUAAAGUUACCAAUAAAUACAAUAUGUGUUGUACGUGUGAAAAUAAUAACUUAAUGUAUUUAGACCACUUUUAAUAUAUGAAAUUCUACAAUAGGAAUAGGAAUGUAAGUGUGAUUUAUUAGUGGUCCUAAUCGUGUGCGUGCACGGGCGGAGCCGCCUUGUUGUGCCCAGGAGGGGCGGCUUUGGAAAAAAGGAACUUCAUGAGUGCCUACAGCGAGGGUGGGGUAGGCGAUCAGGAUAAGAGCUGGAGCUUGCCUUCAAAAAGAUGGGUCGGCGGUCAAGUUAACAGCUGGAGCUUGUCUUCAAUAAUGGUGGGGUGGAUUCCGUGGAGGCUUUUGCCGAUGUAAAACUACAAGACCUUAAAACCUGUAUAACACUGAUCAAAGUAUUGAAGGCACGCUUGUUUUGUGCCUAAGAAAAAGCAUGGCGUCCUCUCUGUCCUGUCCAGGCAACUCCUUGACCCAGUCAAAAACCCUCUAUGCAAAUCAAAAGGUUAUGUUCAUAUACAGAGAGAAAGAAAGGGAAAUAAAAACGAAGCCUGUUGAACGUCCUUCCACCGGGUCACCUUAUACAAAGAACAUUGCCCACGUGGUCACACGAGUAGGUGAAGGAUGGAUCCAUACAAAGGCAUAUAGAAAAUGAAACUUGGAUUCAAACAAGUCUUUUGAGUUACAACUAAUAUAUGGAAAAGAAUUGAUUUAGUAUUUAUCAACUUUACAAUUAAUUUGUAAAACAAAUUAUGUCAUUAUCAAUAUGAAUUUGUAAAAGAUUAAUAUAUCAAAUACAAAUAAAAUGAAUAAAUAAAAUUUCAAUUCAGUAUUUAAUAGUUUACAAUUAAAAUUCAAAGUGAACUAUUUAAAAUUCAAAUUCCUCUCUCAUUUUUAAAUUGAACUAUAAAUGUACAUUAAAAAGUUUAAAAAUUAAAAUUUAAAAUUAAAUAAAUAAAUAGAAGUAAAAUAAAAAUAAAAACAGAAAUAAAUAUACAUAUUUCGGCUAAGAGUGAGUGGACCUACUCUGUAUCCGAGGAAAAAUAAAUGGGCUUAAAAUUGGCUCAAAGUGAAUGGUCAAGAAUGAAUGUGCCUAUGAUGUCAUGGGUUAGGAUAAAUUUGGGUUCCAUAGAGUAUAUUUGCUUCCCCAAAGUUUGGGGGAAAAUGCGAGGCCAAAAAAUGAAAGAAGAAAAAUGAAAGAAAAAUAAAUAAAGUAAAAAAUAUAUAUUUAAAAUUAAUAAAUUAUUUUUAUAUCUUACCUCAAAUUCAAUUCAUUUAUAUGUCUUUUAUAUAAAUAUUAAAUAAUUUAAAAAUAUAAAAAUUUCUUACUAAUUUUUAUUACAUUUGACUUUUUUAUUAUUAACUAAGCAUAAAAAAAUAAGAAAAAAAUAUAAAAUUAUUUUUUUAAUAUUAUUUUUCUUUUCUUAGUGUUUUUGGAACCACACAUAGUUUUAGUAUAAUGCAUAUAUUCUUACAUAAAUGGUAUCUUAUUUCAUUACUAGUGGGUGGACUUUUGUGGUGACUAGUCAAGUAUACUGAAUCUUACAAUGCCGACCUCGAUAAGGUAACCCCCUCACACUUAGAAUGCUCAAUUUUUAGGAAACUCAAGUAAAUCCUAAAUCAUGUACUCAUCCUUUGGUGAUUUCUCCUCUUACUUGCGAAUGGGUCAGGGGUUCGGUUUUUUCUUCUUUAUCUUGUCAUGUGUCUGUUUGGGAGGGCCUUGCUUUUGUAGUGCACACACAGACAGCAUCAAACCUGGGGAAGGGCUUCAAUUCUCGAAGCUACUGGUUUCGGCACAAGGGACUUUCACACUGGGGUUCUUUAUCUUGGACACCCGCAGUUAUUUAGGAAUCUGGUACACAAGUGAUGUUAACAACAAGAAAGUUUGGGUUGCUAACAGAGACAACCCUAUAUCUGGCACCAACGCAAAUCUCAUGCUGGAUGGCAAUGGAACAUUGAUGAUCAUUCACAGUGGGGGUGAUCCAAUUGUCUUGAAUUCCAAUCAAGCAUCCAGAAACUCCAUAGCUACCUUGCUUGAUUCUGGAAAUUUUGUUGUGUCAGCGUUAAAUUCAGAUGGAUCUGUGAAGCAGACACUAUGGGAAAGUUUCGAUGAUCCUACAGACACGCUCCUGCCUGGGAUGAAACUAGGCAUCAACUUGAAAACCGGGAAAAACUGGUCACUUGCUUCGUGGAUAAACGAACUGAUGGGAUAAACGCAAACAAUGCACAACCAGAUUUUAUCCCCUCUUGUGAGAACCUAAUAGGAAUCAAUUUAAUAGAGUAACAACAAUUCACCCAAUGCAACAAGAAUAUGAAUACCAACAAUUUUUAGCGUGGAAAACCUUCCCAAAUGUGAGAAGUAAAAACCACGGGACCCUUAGGCCACUUAAACCCUCCACUAAUAUAAUCAAUGGGUUACACAAUUCUCUCUAGAUGAAACUAGAGGUUUACAUCAGCCAUAUCUCAAGACAAUUAGUCUUGGCAAAUACAAAACAACUUGCAUAAAACAAUGGAGAGAUCUCACCAAAACAGAGUCACUGUUCCCGGACACAAAUCACCACUGUUCCAAACUCCAAAUCCAAUCUCCACCGUUCAAAAUGAAGAUCAAUGAGUUAAGAACGUGCUAGCCAAAAAUCAUCUCGAUCAGACCACGGAUUAAUCUCGAUCAAGGCUGAAUAUCAGAACUGCCCGGGUGAGAAGAAAUCAGCAACAAAGACGCACUGUUCACGGACUGAAACAACAACCUUCCGAAACUCCAAAUCCGAUCUCCACCGUUCAGAUUAGAGAUCAAUGUGUUGAAAAUCUCUCCUUCAAAUUUCAGGUCGAUCGGACCACACACGAAGCGGGAUCGGCCGUUUGAUGAAAUCUGGACAGUAAAGAGAAGAAAAGAAAUUAGCGUUUUUCUUCUCUCUAACUUCAAAAAAUCAGUGGCUUUGGUCCUUUUUCUCUCCAACUUUCUCUUCUUUUUUCUUCUUACUCUCCUCCUAGGGUUGCAAAGAUGAAGAAGAAGAAGAGAAAAUGGUUUCUUCUUCCCUUUUAUACAUUAAGGCCUAAGAAGCCUUAUAUGUUUGGGCUUUGGGCUUUCCUCCACAAGAAGGAAAUAACCCAACCCAACACGAACAAGUGCCUGAUCCUGGGACUUUCACUCUAGAAUGGAAUGACACACAAUUGGUAAUGAAACGCCGAGGGGACAUCUACUGGAGCAGUGGAAUUCUGAAAGAUCGGAGUUUUGAGUUCAUUCAAACUCACCAUAACAUCUACUAUUUCAUCAGUGUUUGUAAUGACAACGAGAUCUACUUCAGCUAUUCAGUUCAAGACGGAGCUAUUUCAAAGUGGGUAUUGAACUGGAGAGGGGGAUUUUUUGACACUUACGGAACUCUAUUCGUGAAGGAAGACAUGUGUGAUCGUUAUGGCAAAUAUCCAGGGUGUGCAGUGCAAGAGCCACCCACUUGCAGGACUAGAGACUUCCAAUUCAUGAAGCAAUCGGUUCUCAAUUCAGGAUAUCCAUCAUUAAUGAACAUAGAUACGAGCUUGGGCCUUAGUGAUUGUCAGGCUAUAUGCAGGAACAAUUGUUCUUGUACUGCUUGUAAUACUGUAUUCACCAAUGGAACUGGAUGUCAGUUUUGGAGGGAUGAAUUGCCACGAGCCCAAGUGGGUGAUGCAAAUCAGGAGGAGCUCUACGUUUUGUCCUCAUCAGAAGACAUAGGUAAGAGGCUCUAUGUAUUGCAUUCCGAGAAGUAGCCAAAACAAAGUACUUGGUAAAUCUCACAUCUUCAUCGAAUUUACAAUCCUACAAAAAAAGUCCUACUGUAUAAUCGUCUACCAUUAGAGGACCUAUAGCAAAACCAUUAAAGACCCUCUCUCUCUCUCUCUCUCUCUCUCUCGUUCUGCUCUAACAAUAAAAUUUAUUAACUUCUACCUAUGCAGGGAAGCCUUGGUGGAUAUGGAUUAUCAUUCUCGUUGUAGUAGUAUUUCUGUUCAUGUUAGCUGUCUUUUGUUGUUCACAGAGAAACUCCAGAGGUAGUAUUUUAACUUUUGUAGAUAAUAGCAAUGCCAUUUGUUAAUGGGUUGGAUAAUUGGACUUGUGGCUUCUGGUAUAACAGGGAGAGUAAGGAGAGAAGUUCAGUUACAUGAAGUUGGGCCUUCUGGUACAACAGGGGAUAGAGAGGGGAAGAAAGGUCAGCCACGUGAUGUUGUGGUUCCUGGUGGUAAAACAGCGGAUAAAAAAAAGAAGAAAGUUACGUUCCUGUUGCGUACAGACGAGUGACGAGAGGCCUGAAAUCUCAGAUGUUUGCUCCAUGCUUAACAGCAAAACUGGGGACCUACCCAACCCAAAUCCACCCCCAUUUUGCACUUAAGGCGAGCCAGGGAGUUGUUCUGCUCUGCUACUUGAGAGAUGGAAGGCGGGUCAAGAUGAGAUGAGAAUUUGAUUCCCUCGUUGUAAGCUUUUCUUUAUUUACGUUUUGUUAAUUUAUAAUAAGAUGACAACUGAACUGAAGCUAGUUUUGUGAUCAUUUGGAACAUAUUUGUACCCAUGUAUUCUGGAGCUCUAUUUGCCCUUUUGCUCUCCAAAACAUCUUAUGAUAUACGUCUAUCUAUAUCCAUCUCAGCCAAAGUAGGCCAUAUAUAUGUUCUAUAAUUCAUUAUUUGCCAUUGAAUAGAUGAUCAAAACACAAGGUGGCAACAGUGUGCAUGUGAUUUAUGUCUUACAGUCAAGAGGAAAUCUACUCACAGUAAAAUUAUUCAAACAUUACUUAACAUCAACUAAGCAGACUAAAACAUAGAAACAUGAUUUAUAACAUUUGUCACCCGUCACAGAAAGAUAAAUGUCUUCAUGAGGAUGCAUAAUAUAAAUAGCUUGAAGGUUGCUUCCCAAACUUUUAAUACCAGAGCAUGCAUCUAAGCAACAAGCAGAAAACAUCAUCCUAGCCACUCAACAGGCCAGAUUAUCAAUGAAAUCUGAAACUGAGAACCUCGUAGGUAUAACAUCCUUCAACCAGUUAUACUAGGACCUCAAAACCCUUUAUGCAAAUCAAAAGGUUUCAGUUGAUUAUACAUUAUUUUCCUAAACUUCAAUACAUGGGAUAUUCAAAUUAUUAUUUAUGCUAAGGUCUAGUUGUCCAUUUUUGGACAGAUAUGUUCAUAUACAGAGAGAAAGAAAGGGAAAUAAAAACGAAGCCUGUUGAACGUCCUUCCACCCGGUCACCUUAUACAAAGAAGAAACUUGGAUUCAAACAAGUCUUUUGAGUUACAACUUAUACGCAAUGAUCCAAAGUGAUUUUCUGAUUUAUUUUAUUUUAUUUUACUAACAUUACUAUAGAAGGAAAAGUUUUAAUUUUACAUCCAUUCAAUCUUACCAAAUAAAUUUUUAUUUUCAAAUUUACUAAUAAUGGAAAAGAAUUGAUUUAGUAUUUAUCAACUUUACAAUUAAUUUGUAAAACAAAUUAUGUCAUUAUCAAUAUGAAUUUAUAAAAGAUUAAUGUAUCAAAUACAAAUAAAAUGAAUAAAUAAAAUUUCAAUUCAGUAUUUAAUAAUUUACAAUUAAAAUUCAAAUUCCUCUCUCAUUUUGUAAAUUGAACUAUAAAUGUAGAUUGACAAGUUAAAAAAUAAAAAUAAAAAUUAAAUAAACAAAUAGAAGUAAAAUAAAAGUAAAAACAGAAAUAAAUAAACAUAUUUGGGCUAAGAGUGAGUGGACCUACUCUCUAUCCGAGGAAAUAUAAAUGGGCUUAAAAUUGGCUCAAAGUGAAUGUUGAAGAAUGAAUGUGCCUAUGAUGUCCUUAGUUAGGAUAAAUUUGGGUUCCAUAGAGUAUGUUUGCUUCCCCAAAGUUUGGGGGAAAAUGCAAGGCCAAAAAAAUAAAGAAGAAAAAUGAGAGAAAAUAAAAUAAAAUGAAAAUAAUUUUAAAAUUAAUAAAUUAUUUUUAUAUCUUAUUUCAAAUUCAAUUUAUUUAUAUGUAUUUUAUAUAAAGAUUAAAUAAUUUAAAAAUAUGGAAAUUUCUUACUAAUUUUUAUUACAUUUGACUUUUUUUUUUAUUAUUAACCAAACAUAAAAAAAUAAAAAAAAUAAAAAAUUACAUUUUUAAUAUUAUUUUUUUUUCUUAGUGUUUUUUGAACCACACAUAGUUUUAGUAUAAUGCAUAUAUUCUUACAUAAACAGUUGUCUUAUUUUAAAAUUUUUAUACGAGGUGUCAAUGUAAAAAUUUUUAAUGGCAAUACCUUUUACCAAGUUGAGCUGCAAGACCCAACAUUGGAGGGGGAGCAUUCUGAUUGUGAGGGGGUUACCUUACCGAGGUCGGCAUUGUAAGAUUCAGUACACUUGACGGGACACCAUUGCCAACACCAAAGGUCCACCCUUCGGUGAUGCUCAAUUUUUAGCAACCUCAAGUAAGUAAAUCCUAAAUCAUGCCCUCAUCCUUUGGUAGUUUCUCCUCUUAUUUGCGAAUGGGGUCAGGGGUUGGGUUUUUUCUUCUUUAUCUUGUCAUGUGUCUGUUUGGGAGGGCCUUGCUCUUGUAGUGCACAAAGAGACAGCAUCAAACCUGGGGAAAGGAUUCAAUUCACGAAGCUACUGGUUUCGGCACAAAGGACUUUCACACUGGGGUUCUUUAGCUUGGACACCCGCAGUUAUUUAGGAAUCUGGUACACAAGUGAUGUUGACAACAAGAAAGUUUGGGUUGCUAACAGAGACAACCCUAUAUCUGGCACCAAUGCAAAUCUCAUGCUGGAUGGCAAUGGCACAUUGAUGAUCAUUCAUAGUGGGGGUGAUCCAAUUGUCUUGAAUUCCAAUCAAGCAUCCGGAAACUCCAUAGCUACCUUGCUUGAUUCUGGAAAUUUUGUUGUGUCAGCGUUAAAUUCAGAUGGAUCUGCGAAGCAGACACUAUGGGAAAGUUUCGAUGAUCCUACAGACACGCUCCUGCCUGGGAUGAAACUAGGCAUCAACUUGAAAACCAGGCAAAACUGGUCACUUGCUUCGUGGAUAAACGAACAAGUGCCUGAUCCUGGGACUUUCACUCUAGAAUGGAAUGACACACAAUUGGUAACGAAACGCCGAGAAGACAUCUACUGGAGCAGUGGAAUUCUGAAAGAUCAGAGUUUUGAGUUCUUUCAAACUCACCAUAACAUCCACUUUUUCAUCAGUGUUUGUAAUGACAACGAGACCUACUUCAGCUAUUCAGUUCAAGACGGAGCUAUUUCAAAGUGGGUAUUGAACUGGAGAGGGGGAUUUUUUGACACUUACGGAACUCUAUUCGUGAAGGAAGAUAUGUGUGAUCGUUAUGGCAAAUAUCCAGGGUGUGCAGUGCAAGAGCCACCCACUUGCAGGACUAGAGACUUCCAAUUCAUGAAGCAAUCGGUUCUCAAUUCAGGAUAUCCAUCAUUAAUGAACAUAGAUACGAGCUUGGGCCUUAGUGAUUGUCAGGCUAUAUGCAGGAACAAUUGUUCUUGUACUGCUUGUAAUACUGUAUUCACCAAUGGAACUGGAUGUCAGUUUUGGAGGGAUAAAUUGCCACUAGCCCGAGUGGGUGAUGCAAAUCAGGAGGAGCUCUAUGUCUUGUCCUCAUCAAAAGAUACAGGUAAGACUCUCUAUGUAUUGUAUUCCUAAAAGCAACCAAAACAAAGUUCUGGGUAAAUCUUACAUCUUCAUAGAAUUUACAAUCCAAAUACAUGAUCGAAAAUUCAAAAAAAGUCCAACUGUAUAGUUGAUAUUUCAACUCAUCGUCUACCAUUAAAGGAGCUAUAGCAAAACCAUAAAAACCCUCUCUUUCUAUCUUGAGUUCUGCUCUAACAACAAAAUUUAUUAACUUCCAUCUAUGCAGGGAACCAUUUGCAGAAUAUAAGCAUUAUCUGUGGAGUGGUAGGUCUGGUCAUAAUACUUAUCUUCUCUUGUUUACCGAGAAAUUUCAGAGGUAGUUUUUUAACUCUUGUAGAUAAAAUUAAGCAAUGCCAUUUGUUAAUAGGUUGGAUAGUUGAAAUUUUGGCUUUGGUAUAAUAGGGUAUAGAGUAAGGAGGGAAGUUCAGCCACGUGAUGUUGAGGUUUCUGGUGAUAUAACAGGGGAUAGAGAAUUGGAGAAACCUGAGCAGAUUGUACCGAGUGAUUCAGAAGAUAUUGACAGUGUCAAACAGUUCAGUUUAGUUUCUGUUAUGGCUGCCACGAAUAACUUUUCAGAUGAAAAUAAACUUGGAAAGGGUGGUUUUGGUCCUGUCUAUAAGGUAAUUAUAAUUUGAUUAAGCCCAUAGCAUGUAAUAGGACAUUAAUCUUUGUUUAAGUACCCAAUUAAAGUUUCGUUAUGGAUUGUGGAUUAUUUUUGCAGGGGAUACUACCUGGGGGCCAAGAAAUAGCAGUGAAGAGACUUUCAAGGGAUUCUACACAGGGACCAGAGCAGUUCAAUAAUGAAAGACUGAUUGCCAAACAACAACAUAGAAAUCUUGUCAGACUUUUGGGUUACUGCAUGGAGGGAGAAGAAAAGAUGUUAAUCUAUGAGUUCAUGCCCAACAGAAGCUUGGAAGACGUCCUCUUUGGUUUUAAUACCUCCCUUUUUCCUUCCUGUUGUUUGCAUAACUUUUUCCUAUGUUUUUAUGUUUUUUUGCAUAAAACAAUUUACUAGUUGUGUUCACCCAAAUUUUCAGCUCCUGCUGGAAGAAAGAUGUUGGACUGGAAUACGUGGUGCAAAAUAAUUGAGGGGAUUGCACAAGGACUUGAUUACUUGCACAGACAUUCAAUAUUAAACAUGGUUCAUAGAGAUCUAAAAGCAAGUAAUAUCCUACUCGAUCAUGACAUGAACCCCAAAAUUUCUGAUUUUGGCACUGCCAGAAUUUUUGAGCGAAAUGCAUCAGAAGCACAUACUCGUAAACUUGUUGGAACCUUGUAAGUGCCUCGACUCUUGUUUAUUUAUCUGCUUUCUUCUUCAGUCUAAUGGAUUAAUUGACCUUUCUAUUACGGAUGCAGUGGUUACAUGCCACCUGAGUAUGUCCUGGGGGGAGCUUAUUCAGAGAAAACAGAUGUUUAUAGCUUUGGGGUCCUGCUGUUGGAAAUUGUGAGCGGCCAGAGGAUUAUUCCCCCUGAUUCUAAGGGUGACAACUUAAGUCUUAUACGAAAUGUAAGUCCGUCAGAUCUCAUAUUAGUCUCGACAUACAUUAUUAUCAAUACCCAAUGCAUGCUUCCAAAAUUUUCAUACUAGCCUCGUAAGUAAAUGGUCCGUAAAAUGAACUGGGUUCAGGCUUGGAAGUUAUGGGGAGAAGGCAAUAGCUUGAAACUAGUGGAUCCAGCGGUGGUGGGUCCCCACUCAACAACCCAAAUAUUGAAGUGGAUUCGUGUUGCUCUCUUGUGUAUACAGAAGCAUGAAGAGAGGCCUACAAUGUCAGAAGUUUGCUCCAUGCUUAACAGAACGGAGCUACCCAAGCCAAAUCCACCCGCAAUUUUGCGCUCAGAUGAGCCAAGGAGUUGUUCUGAUAUGCAAGUGUAACUACUUGAGAGAUGGAAGGGUAUGCUUUUCUUUAUUUACGUUUUGUUGAUUUAUAUAAGAUGACAACUGAACUGAAGCUGGUUUUAUGAUCAUUUGGAACAUAUUUGUACGCAUGUAUUCUGGAGCUCUAUUUGCCCUUUUUCUCUCCAAAACAUAUUAUGAUAUAUGUCUAUCUAUAUCUUCGUGUCUAUAUAUUUAUCUCAGCCAAAGUAGGUCAUGUAUAUGUUCUAUAAUUCAUUAUUUGCCAUUGAAUAAUGAUCAAAACACAAGGUGGCAACAGUGUGCAUGUUUAUGUCUUAAGAGUCAAGAGGAAAUCUACUCACAGUAAAAUUAUUCAAAUAAACAUGCACACUCACCUGCUUCACAGCUAGCACGCUCACCUGCCUCAUUGCUCCAAGAAGCGCCCAAGUGAUACCUAAUCAGGCAAGUAAAAGAACCCAAUUAAUCCUUUGACGACACAAAGAGGAGCACUCAUACCGACAAACCAGACAAUGAAAGCAAAGAUAAUCUAUGACUUGUUCAACUUGCACAUGUACAAACCAGUUAACCAAACUUCAUCUUCCAUGCUUCAGGUAAUCCUUUUUUUUUUUUCUCUGAUGAGAUGCUUCAGCUAAUCCAUAGCCAAGUUCUUCUCCCACACAUUGCAGGAGAUAUAGGUCUUCAAAUCUGUUGCUAGGAAAUUUCCAACAUACUCAUGAAGCUCAAUAAAACAGAACCAAUAAACAUAAAUUGACGGAUAAAUUCCAAUUUAAGAAAUAAAAUAAAUAAAUAAAUAAAACACUUAAAUAAGAUUUGGAGAUAACUAUUACAUUAUGUUUGGUUCUCAGAAAGUACUAAAGAAAAAAAAAAUAUAAUGAAAUUUGGUUUCAUUAUAAAAUAAAAUAAAUAUCAAAUAUAAUUAAAAUUAGUAAGGAACUUGCAUAUUUUUAAAUUAUUUAAUCUUUGUAUAAAAGUGUUACGUAAGUUAAAUGAGUUUAAAGUGGGAUAUGAAAAUAAUUUAUUGACUUUAAAUUUUUAUUUUUUUUCUCUUUUUUCUUCCUUUUACUUUUUCUCUCUAUUUUAUUUUCUUUGUAUUUUCCCUCAAACUUUCUAAGAAUGAAGCAUAGUCAUAAUGAAGAGUACGAAAACAACAAACACAAAGCCCAAUACGACCCAAUCUCAGGAAAACAAAACCCAUAAAAUUAAAUUAAUAGAUCAAUUAAAGUAAUUUUGAUUUAGGACCCAAAAAAGAAGCCAAAAACCUAAAAUAAGAUAGCAGACUAUAAUUCCUACAUACACACCUUACUUGGAAACAAUCCCUUAAAGUAAAACUAAUAUAUCAAUUCAAUUUAAAUAAACAAAAUCCAAAUUUAAAACAAUUGAAAAAAACUAGAGUAUCACUUUAUACCUUUGAUGCAGUGCAAAAUUUUUGUGUCCGUCUUAGUUUAUGAUAAAUCAGGCAUGCCAUUAAAGCAACUGAAUUGCACAGAAUUUGCUGGGACUAGUUCAGUGCAAACAAAUGCUCAGGUCUAUAGAACGGAUCCCACUCACGCUGCGUCCAUUCCCCAUCAAAUAUAUCACAGUUCGUCAAUGAUUCUGAUCAAUCCUCUUUCCCUUGCUGUGCAAAGAAACUAGUUCCUUCACUUUGGUUCUCCAACAAAGAAGUCAUAACUAAGACACCACAAAGUCAAUAAAGUUGUCUCUCUCCCCAAAACUGCUAUUUCCUGUACAAGGAUUCUUCACAAAAACAAAACCAACAAGUAACCUAACAAAUAUCCAGAUGUCAAACCAAAAAAAAAUUUUGGCAAUGAAUCCAAGUAGAGGUUGGGAUUUUAGAGCAUUAGCAACUACCAUAAACCAUUAAUUGCAACCCAAAAAAUAUUAAAAUUCUGAACAUUAGAACUGAGAAUCCUAUAGGUCUACUCAAGGGAGACUAAAGAGGGGGAAGAAAGUUACCAUAGGUUAAAUGAGGGAGACAAAAAUUUAAAUGCUGAGUUUUUGGUUGAUUUUGUGCAAAAUGAGGAUGUUGAAACUUGUUAUAGAGAAGUAUACACCUUGUGAUAAUCUUUAAAACCAUUAAUUAACAAAAUAUGAUCUGUUUCACAAAUGAAAACUUGUACCUUAUUUCUUUGUACAGACUAAAACCCCAUGGUUCAAUAAGGGUAUCCCACACUACAAGUGUAGAAAAACAAAUAUAAGUUACAUCGUUUUUUCAAAAAAAAAAUAAAAAUUGAUUUAGUCUUUAUAAGAUAUAAAGGCAAAAGCCUCGAAACACUUUCAAUAUGAGCAAAAUAGCAUCUAAUCAACAGGAAAGCAAUGCUCAAGCACUAACCUCAAUAGAUGUCUUUUGACCUUCAUCUAAAAGUGGAAGGAAUAAGGUGAGUUCAUGACUCAGUAGGAAAGUUUAUAACUAUCCUAUGCAUAUCCUUGAAAACCUUGAAUCAAACAUAUAGCGGUAUGCAUGAUAAACACUUUAUAACCAUUAACAAAUAUGCAAUAAUAUCAAACAUGUACACAUGUUGCUAAUGAUUUCAUCUCUGCUUUGCCUCAUUCAUCGUUUCACACAUGAUAAGCUGUUAGCCCCCACCAAUGUACAUAUCAACCAUCAAUGCUCCCAAAGAUAUUCGACCAUAAAUAAUGACUAUUCUAGGACUAUCACCAAAGAAUAAGUCAUAUCCCAUGUCUUUUGGGACUACAACACAAAGGCAAGACCAACCCCAUGUAUUUACGGACUAAAACUCAAGAGUAGGACUAACCCCAUACAUCCACAUCAAAGUGUCUUUCUCGAGGGCUUUAGGGACUUUCACCCAAGGAUCCACGGUCCCAGAUAAACAAUAUAUUGAAAGAUAGUGCCCACAACUUCUCAUAACCACUUCCCACAUAUCAAGUUAUUCUUUGGAUAUUAUCUGUCAUUGUUCCAUAUUGUUCUUGCAAUGUAACCAUACCAUGAACCAUUUUCUCAAUAUUGAACUUGUGAAUCCUCAUACCAAUACAUAUCCAAAUAUCAUUGCAACAUUUAAAACAAUAAACUAAAAACACCAUUGCACAUUAAAGCACUUCAUGAAAUCAUAAUAAAGGUAUGAAAAUUUCCAUAAAUGCUUCAAGAAAUUAAACAAAGAUACACAAGGGAAUGGUAUAAAAUUUCCUACCUUACACCAACUUCUCUUUUGCAAUCCUUCUAUGUGGACACCCUUAGCUAUUACAAGGAACUAAAAUGAAACAACAUAAUUUAGGUUUCCCAACCAUAAAAGUUACACAAUUAAGACUUAUGACAUUUUCCUUAUUGCUAAUUUUAAUAAUUUAAUGCUAAUAACUUUAAUUUCCAUAUUCUCUAAUCAUCAUGCUCAUAGGUUUUCAAAUCAAAUUUAAGGUGAGUUAAACAAUCUGUACUAUGCAUAUUGAUAUUCCCCAAUUAAUUAGGAUAAAUUAAUUAUUUUGAUUUUCCUUAAACCUAUUCCAUUAGCAGGCUCCAAGUGUUCAAAUAAACCUAAUUAAUCACAUGAUUCACUAAUCUAUUUUUCAAUUAAAGCAAACUAAACAAACAAGCAUGUGAUUAUUUCGUCAAAAGAUACUUAAAUUAAAAUACUUAAAACCCUAAUUAACUUUAAUUUAUAAUAAAAACAUGCUUAUAACUAAUUAAACUCAAUUUUUAAACAAACUAUACCAUUAAUUUGUUUUAAAAGAUCAUUUGGAACCCAAAUUUACUAAAAUCACUAACUUUAUCUUUUUCUUUACCUUGAUUUCUUCACUUUCUCUCUUUAGCUUCUCUCUCUAGAGCUGCCAAAUUGCUGCAAAGAUAGGGUUGGAAAUGAGGGCUAGCAGCCCUUAUAAAGUGAUUCCUAAGCUAGCAUGCAUGAGGUGGCAAGUUCUAAGGUUGCCACUAAUUACCAAUUCUCCAAAUUGCAACUUAGUCCCUUUACUUGUGCUAUUUUAUGUUUUGUAGCUACCCAUUAGUCCCUUAAGUUUUCUUAAUUUUGAUUAACCCCCAAGAAGUUAAUACACAUGCUUAAAUUGUUAACUAAUCAUACUUAACCUUAAUCAAAGUUUAAUUCAUAAUUAUAUAAGAUUAGUGUUAAACUAGUUUAAGCCUCUAAUUAAACACGUUUAAAGUUAAGUACUAAGAUAAUCAUUAUUGCUUAUUUAAUUCAUUACUACUAAAUAUUGCAAUAAAAGUAUUUUUUAAAAACAAUGUUAAAAGUUAGACAUGAAAAUAAUUCUACACAAUUCAAGGGAUAUGAUACCUAUACUUGAGGGACUAAAACAAAAAAAAUUACCUUACCCAAUAAAAUGGUACAUGUUUAAUAAUUUAUUUCAAUUUGGACCAUAAUUCUCAUUCAUACGAUAUAUUUAUGUAUAUUUGGAAUCAUGAAUUGUAGGAAUCUUGCUUCAUCCACAACAUAAACAGAUAAUGCCUAAACAUGGUGAUGGUGUUACAAUGCAAAAUUUACAAAUCCCACAUGCAGAUAUCUUUAUUAGACAAUAUCACAAGAUGAAUGCUUAGAUGACUAAUGGCAUGAUAGGCAAAAAAACACACUAUCCAAACGACUUCCUGUGGGAAUCCCUCCCUGAUAAAAUGAGUAUGGAAUGAUAAUCAAAGUUAGAGUGGAGAUUAGAGAAAAUUUUAGUAAACCUAAAGUGGGGACGAGGUCCUACUCCCUUCCCCAACCAAUCUGCCUUGAUUGUUUAUAUAAUAUACAUAAUUUUAUAUUUCAAAAAUUAAGAAAAGAAUUGAAUAUGAAUUCCAAGAUUCGGGAAUAAGCACAGAACCAGGAUUCCCCUAGUGGGAAUUCCAUGCCCUCAAAUGGACAAGGGAUGGGGAGCCCUACCCAACCCUGUCUUUCUUACACCUCUAAUUAGAAAAAUUAGCAAAUUAAAUCCAUAAAGAGAAAUAAAUAAAUAAAUAAUAAGAAGAGGGAGCUAUUCUUCAAACUUUUUUGAGUUUUCCCUUGACAAUGUUGUGAUGAAAAGUCCAAGAAAGCCCAAAGAAAAAGAAUAGAAAUGCUCACCCUUCUCUCAAGUCUCAUCAGUCGGUCCCUACCCAAAAUCUAGCACCAGGCUGUUUUCCAAAGAAAGGCCGAAAAUUCUCCCUUGCCUACUUGAAAUCAAUCUUAAGAGAUUCAUUUAUAAAAAAAAAUGUGGACAAAGGAGAAGUAUGCCCAUACUCUCCAAGCAAUAUCCAUAAUUAGACUAGUAAGUGUAUAAGACUGGGCUCCAAAAGGAUGCUGCGAGAUAUCUGGAAGUUCACCCAUGACAUUUUCAAUGUACUGUGAAGUUGAAGGCUAAAGGAUAAACACAAAGCAUGAAAGCAUAGACAUGCGAAACUUGGAAUAGCAAAAAUGGAAAGUAGCAUGUGCCUUAGCAAUGCGAUUUUGUUUCUGUGUUUUUCAUGUAUGUGAUUGGGAGUACUGCCUUAUAUUUAUAGUGCAUAGAUAAACACCAUCAAACCUGAGGAAGAGCUUCAAUUCUCGUAAAAAUUACUGGUUUUUGCCAAAAGGACUUUACUUUAGGCUUUUUCAGCCUGGAAUCUAGUAGUUAUUUAGGAAUAUGGUUCACUAUUGAUGCUCAGAAGGAGAAAGUUUGGGUUGCUAAUAGAGACAAGCCUAUAUCCCAUACCGAUGCAAACCUCACACUGGAUGCAGAUGGAAAAUUGAUGAUCAAGAAGCUAGGAACUCAACAACUACUUUGCUUGAUUCUGGAAAUUUUGUUUUGGAAAAGUUCAAUUCAGAUGGAUCUAUGAAGAAGGAACUAAGGGAAAGUUUCGAUAAUCUUACAGACACCCUCCUACUUGGGAUGAAACUAGGCAUCAACUUGAAAAUCGGGCGAAACUGGUCAUUUACUUCAUGGAUAAACGAACAAGUGCCUGCUCUUGGGACUUUUACUCUAGAAUGGAAUGGCACACAAUUGGUGAUGAAAUGUCGAGAGGGUACCUACUGAGUAUGGAGCUAUUAGCCGGUGUACAAUUCCAGCUUCUUAACAAAAAACAUUGAACUCUUUUGAGGUAUAUUCACCUCCAUUAUCAGUUCUGAGCACCUUAACCUUCUAGCCACUUUGAGUUUCAACCAUUUUCUUGAAGCCUUUGAACACAGAGAGCACUUGUGAUUUGGUUUUUAGAAAAUAAACCCAAUUAAUUAUACUGAAAUCAUCAAUAAAUAAUGCAAAAUAUACAUUGUUGCUCAAUCAGGUUGUGCUCAUUGGUCCACAAAUAUCUGAAUGAACUAAUUCCAGCUUGUGAGUUGCUCUCUUGGACAUAUUUUGAGAGAAUGAUUUUGUGAUGUUGUUUCCCUAGCUCACAACUUUCACAAGUUUGAGCAUUAACUGUGAUUUCAAGCAUGUCUUCAACCAUACCAGCUUCUUGCAUGAACUUCAGUGACUUCAAGUUGAAAUGACCAUAUCUUUUGUGCCAAACAACACUCUCAUCAAUCUUGGCACUAAAGACAUGAUCUUCAACUAAAUCAAGCUUCAAAUAAAAGCUAUUUCCAUUCAUUUUAAUUUUUGCUAUCUCUGUUCCAUGUACAUCAGUGAUAAAACAAAAAAUUUAUUUAAAAGAGACUGCAUAUCCAUUUCUUAACAUUUGUGUAACACUAAGAAUAUUUUGAUCUAGUUCUAGAAUGUAAAGAACAUUAGUGACAAUUUUUGUACCUCUCUUGGUGUUAAUAGCAAUUGUCCAUUUUCCUUUGGCCUGCACAACUUCACCAUUUCCCAACUUGACCUUUGGUUGAACUGAUUUGUCAAUGGAGGUAAAAAUUGACAAAUGUUUGGUCAUGUGACUAGUGCAGCCAUUGUCAAUGAGUCAAGUAUUUAGUUCAUGAGAACUAAGUGCUUGUGAUGCCAUAAAUAAAUGCUUAUUAACAUUUUUGUCUUCUUCAAUCACAUUUGCAUGUUGUUGUGUUUGUUGUUGAGAUUGUUUUUUCUUGACUCUACAAUACUUCUCACUGUGGCCAAGUUUAUUGCAAAAAUAACAAUUAAAAUGAGGUUUACCUUUGUACCAACAAUCUUUCUCAACAUGGUUGGUUCUGCUACAAUGAGAGCAAGAUGAAAAGUUUCCUUUUCUUGAAGAUCCUUCAGCUUUCCCUUUGUUGUUCUUGAAGAACUUCUUUCCUUAUAGGUUUCCAGAACUCUUUUCCUUAUGAUUCGCUUGAAAAACACCUUUAGUAGCUUCAUCACCUCUCAUUAAGACCCUUUGCUCCUGUGCAUGAGGCUUGCUGGUUAACUCUGCAAUUGUGAGACUUUGCAAGUCACAAGACUCUUCAAUUGCAGAGAUCUUGGCUUCAAACUUUUGAGGCACUGAAACCAUGAUCUUUUCUACCACCUUUUGAUCUAUAAAUGCCUCACCAAGAAACCUCAUUUGGUUUACAACAUCCAUUAACCUGCUAGAAUAAUCUUUCACAGAUUCGUUGUCUUUCAUCUUCAUCAACUCCAACUCUCUCUUCAACGUGAGGAGCCUGACAGUUUUGACUUUGUCAUUGUCCUCAAAUUCACCUUGAAGCUUGUCCCAUACCUAUUUAUGUGUUUCCAAGUCCAUGAUUUUGGUGAAGAUGUGGUCUGCAAGUCCUGAAUGUAGGAAGGUGAUGUGUCUUUCUUGAGUUUUUCCUCCUCAUGUGCUUUCAUCUGAGCAACUGUAGGAUUUGCUCCCAAUGGUGGUGGAUCAGCUUCAAACAUCACAACAUUCCACAAACCUUGAGACCUUAAGUAAAACCUCAUCUUGACAACCCAAAUGUGAUAGUGUUCACCAUUAAACACUAAAACUACAGAGGAAGUACUACUGGAAGUAGACAUGUUUGCACCACAGCUGCCUAAAAAAAAAAAUCACUCAACCUCAUUGUGUUUAGCACUCAAAACACUCAAAGAAACUUUGCCUCACAGCCCAUAGGAACAAAGCUCUGAUACCACUGUCAGAAUCUAUAGAAAAAUAAAUAAAUCAGGAACUAGAACUUGCAGAGAAAAAUAAAUAAUUUGAGAGUUAAGAAUUGAAGGAAGGCACACAUCUAUUUCACAAAUGAGAAUGCCUAUUUAUAGGCUUACAACCAAACAGAAAUUGCAAAAAAAAGUCUCAACUACUAGCACUACUACUAAUUGAAAACAGAAAAUUAUGGAGCAAGAAUCUGAUAUGAAACAACAACAAAGACUAAGUCUAACUAAGACUUUUUUAAACUUCAGAGGCAAACUCUCAUGAGUUUUAAUAGUUCUUUGUGAAUACAUUGCAAUACUUGCUAUUCACAACAAGGGGAUAAACAUAGCAGAAAGAAAUGAAAUAAAAGAUUAGGGGGAGUUCUGAAGAAACAAAAAAUAGUUUGCAAAAUAAACAUGAAUUUCAAUAGAUAAUAAUUGCUCAUAGUGUAUAUAAGCAUCCAGGAACGUCAACAAAAUGCUCAAUGGUUCCAGAAGCAGAAAAAUGGAAGCGAUGGUAAUCUUGCAACAAUUUGGAAUUCAAUAAUUGAACCAUAUGAUAUGAAAAGUCUUUAUCCUACAAAGCAAUAAAGACAAGUUGUACCAAAUACCCGUGGUGCUAAACAUAAUAUCAUCAAGGUUCCAUUAAUAAAAGAACUAGGUCAUAUUUCUUUUCCCAAAAGACCUUGAAUCGAAAACUUCUGACUCUAUAGGGAAAUAAACAAUGAUCCUAGAAAAUAAGAGAUCACCCAACAUAAAAAAUUUAAAAUAAAAUGGUGAGAAGGAAAAAUAAAAUAAAAUAAAAAUAAAAACACACUUGUGGAAGCAUCCCAAAACUAUACGAUUAGAGAAUUACAUAAUAUUCAGAUUGUAUACUGCUUAACAAGAAGGAAUUAUCUAAAUUGGUCACAACUAGUGAGGGCGGUUUUAAAGGGCAAGGGAAAAAUGAAUCAUCUCACUGGAACAAGCCUAAAACUUGAAGAUUUGCUAUUCAUUGUUUGGGACAAAGAAGAUUCUAUGAUUAUGUCAUAGUUAUGGAAUUCAAUGUUACUUGAAAUCAACAGAAGAUGCAAUUUGGGAAACCAUUUGGCAAAGGUACUAAAAAAUACAGGAUGCUGCCUGAAUUUGUGAAUUGAAUAUUAAAAUCUCCAUUACAAAACAGGGUAGCUGAUCGAUUAUUGAGUAUUACAAUGUGAUGAAGAGUCUAUGGCAAGAGGUAGACUAUAAUCAAACAUUCAAAUGAAGUGUUUUCUAUCAUCCAUGCUGAAGAAAGCUGAAAAAGGAUGAUGCUUGAUCCACCACCAGUGGAUGGAACAACCAUGAUUGUAAAGAAACCAAGUGGAGGAGCCAAACCAAAUGGUACGAAUCAGAAUGUUAGCAUGGAGCAAGGAAGACAGGAGUUGAUGAAGAACUUAACAAAGAAGAAACUAUGGUGCUCAUACAGAAAGAAAGCAUGUCACACCAAAGAAAAAUGUGGGAAACUUCAUGGAAAACCACAAGGUCUCAAUCGGGGUGAUGGUAUGAGGAGCUUGUACUUCUUACAUCAUAACUAUUUUUUUCUCUUCAACAGAAAGUACAUCUUCUGACCAUUAGUUUCAUUUUACCUCAUCAAAAUUUCAAAAGCUGAGACCAAAACAACCUCUAAAAGAUGUGUAGCUCUUAGAUCACAAAGAGUCAAAGCGAUAGAAAAUACCUUAAUCCAAAAUCUUAGAGAAUCUUCAACAGAUUUAAAUGGUGGUAGAUGACUAUCUGCAGCACAUACAGCAACAUCAUCACGUUCCGUGCGGGCAAUUGGUCUAGCACCGGGUUUCAAUUCUCUUAUAAAAAAUUCAUUGAAUGCCUACAUAUAAAAGUUAAAAUUCAACUCAUUCAGAAAUUCAACUAUAGUAACUGUUCCAUUUAUAGAAAUGAUACCAAGAUCCAACAAUGGUAAUAACAAUAACCUCACCAUCAACUAAGAAGGUUAAAAACCAACAAAACCACAGGGGAAGUGAUAUUGCUCCAUCUCUGUGCAAAAAUCUACUUUUGUCUUUCAAUUCCAAGCUAAGCAAUGAAAAUUUAUAUGUUCCAUCUUGAGAGGGAAAUGUCCUUGUUAAUGAGGGUAUUAUUGAGUAUUAAUGUUAUUACAAGGGUACAGUAUAUAUAGUUUAUUACUGUAGUUUAUUAUUUUUCUAAUCAAUAAAAACAAGAAGAACAAACACGUUCUCUUCUCUGAUUCCUGUUGUCUAACAAGAUACACAUAAGAUUUAACACAGACAUUAUAAAUCCUUCGGUAAACAUAUCAGUCAGAAAAUUAUUAGCAUGAAGUUGAAAUGAAGGCAGUCUAAUGUGCCAUAGCAAAAUAGAGAUAAUAUAGUCAACAAUCAUUAAACAAGCACAGAAAUGAGAAUUCGUGUGCAUCAGGGGGGAAAAAGUUUGUGAUAUUAGAUACAUUGCACCUUCCCAUGUACAGCGUUCAGAAUGAGCCAUCUAUGAACCCUAAUUAGUGAAAUUGGCUGGGCAGUGUUGCUGUGUGUAAAUUUGACAUGCAGUGAGGGAACAGGAAAGUCCCAUCAGAGCAAAGCUCAAAAAAAGUGUGUCAACCUGUAAUGUGAAUCAUGAGAUGCCAAGAUGAAUUAUAAUUAUUAUUUUAUUAUAGACAAUAUCGUAUAAACUAUUGUAUAUAUGGCAUGCAUACAGGACUUAUAUUGCAUGAUGCUACUGAUGUAUGGAAUCAUAAGUAAGUAUUUCUCUCUUAAUCUUUUUGAGUAAUUAUGUUGUAAGGAUCCAGUUGUGCUAAAGAAUUAUUUCAAACUCAGUUAUCAACCAUUUCCUAAGUAAUUGAAAACAUUUCAUGGAAGUUAUAAAUCAUGGUAACAAGAUUAUAGUUCCUUCAUUAAGAGAAAUUGUCGUGCCUCAAAGAACUUAAUGAACUUAGGUAUAUCUUUAGCAGAUUCAACUGAAUUCAUUCACUUUCCCUGCUUUUCAGAAAUGCUGUACAAAACUUCUUUUGCACCUGCAUCCAAAUGGACAAACAAUUUAAGUUGUGCAAGAAAUUAAAUGCUGAAGGAGAAAAAAAUAAAAGGAGAAAAAAAUUGCAAGUUAUUGAUUACAAUAACAUUAUGUUGAUUUCAGAGAUAGUGCUUAUGGAAAAGCAUAAUGUACAAGUUUAAUUCCUCAUCAUUGUUAAAUAUUGAUUAUUCAUUUCAUAUAUGUUGUUUCCUAAUAGAUAUUUAAAAUGCAUUCAAGGAAAUCUAUUUACAGUUAGAAGAAGAAAAAAACAGCAAAAAAUGUGUAAAAGCAGUGAAGCCUCUAAAACAAUGAACAGUUAAAACUUCAGUCAGAGUACAUGUUAUUGUUAACAAAAAGUCACUAAAAGGUUAGAAUGAAAUGUAUCUCUUUAAACAAAAUGGCACAAGAUCACCAGAAAGGCAGUUGAAACCAAUAAGGAAUGUAUGAGCAAGAUAAAAAAAACAAUAUGAUUGCUUUACAUGGCAUGACCAUAAACACUAUCUAACCAAUGUCUUACUAAUUUUUUUAUCUUUAAGACAUUAAACCUGUCAUUCUGAGCAUAAUGUUUUUAGACAAAGAUGAUUAAAUUAGUCAUCCUUUAAAUGUGUCUGUCUAUUACAGAGAAGUUCUGAUCCUUGCAGCCUCUAAUUGCAUUCCAAAGGAUUAUGAUCCAAGAGAAAAACAAGUAUUUAUAAUUAACAUAAAUUUUUGAAACAACUAGUCAAUAAAUUAGAGUUACAGGGAACACCCCAAGGCAACAAGCUGUUAAUAUGAGAAUAUGGGAGGCUCAAUUCAGAGCUCAGAACUAUUAUUAUAAAAAAAUAUUUUAAAUGAAGCAGGAAUUUCAUUGUAGGAAAAUUAUGGUUGUUGAUGCACAUUCUCUUAAUAACAAUCUUGUUCGGUUGGAUGUACCGUAUGCCAUGACAACAUUAAAAAUCUUCAGCACAAUGUACUUGCAGCAAUGCUUUCCAGCCACAGGAAUCUUUCUAGUUUUGCUAGACAAGUCUCUUGACUACAUCUUUUUUUUUUUGUGUGUGAUGAUCGGUAGCAUUUUUUCUUGAAUACAUCCUUGACAAAGGACAUGUCUAACACAUAUCCAUGGCCGGUUAACAUGUGUGUGCAUAUACCUAUAUAUAAAGGAAACAAGAAAAUCAUUUAUUAAAAAAGUGAGAGUGACUACAUGAAACAGUGAGUAUCCUUCAAGAGAGCUGUCUGAAAAAGAAAAGAAAAAAUAAAACAUUUAUACAUCCCCAAAAGACCUAACAGAAGAACCAAACGAAAGAACCCACAUUGUGAAUGCUUUAGAAUGAAGGGGAGGUCUCCAAUAGAAAACUCAACUACUAUAGCUCCUUCCAGAGCCCGGUGAUUCACUAACUGGUUAACCAACCGAGGAUUCCAACUAAAGAAAUAAGAGCUCAACAAUUUUGCGACUUCAAGCAUGAAAAUGCCCUCUCAGUCCCUGGGUCACUUAAGAAAGACAAUAGCCAAAGGCGCCUGGACCAAAAUAUUAAAAAAAACUCAAUAGUAAAGAUUCACUAAUCCUGCUAGGUAAGUAAGUAUUCCCUCCACAAUGGCAAAAUUGAACCUGCUAGCUUAGAGAAAGCUAUCAACACCUAUGCCUCUAUAGUCUAGGAGAACUCCCCCAAUUCCUAUUUGCACUAGGUUACCUAGAGAACAACAAUCAACAAUAAGUUUGAGGCAACCAAGGAAUGGAACUACCCCCAAUUCAUUUUGGCAAUGUCAUAGAAACAAACAUCUCUUUGAUCCCGCAAAAUCAAACUAAUAGGAUGCAAGAGAAUUCUUUAGUUAUAGAAGCUCAAAUAAAGGAGAGGUCGUAUACAAUCAAAUUAACCAUUAUAAAAAUUUGUUAAAGAAUUUGAAUUAGUCAAGUUAUUUGAAUUCACUUCUGCUUUUGUUAUUUCAGAUUAUGUCGGAUUAGGAUUUUUAUGUUUUUUAAAAUUCAAAUAAGGGCAUAUUGUUUUCUAUAACAAUUCUGUCGUGAUCCUAGGAGUAAUUUCAAGGUUUGGUUGAUAACCCUAACCUAAGUCUAUUUAAAUGUAUUGCCCUAAAAUAAUAAGAUGAUGAUGCAAAUUAGUUUUAUAUGUGCUUUUAUGGUAUCAGAGCCUUGAACUCUGAAAAAUACCUAUGGCAAAAACAACCAUGACAGGGUCCUCACAUCGAGAUGACUCCACAUCUAUGACAUCUGAUCAAUCCCAUGCCGAUUAGUCUGUCACGACAUUUCCUAGCAGGGACAACAACUCACUCCAGAUUACAGCGCACAGGCUGAAGGGCAAAAAUUACCUUCAAUGGUCCCAAUCCGUGAAGAUUGUUAUGCGGUAGAGGCAAAUUUAAGUACCUCACUGAUGAAGCCAAAGCUCCAGCAGCAACUAAUCCAGCAUAUAAAAUUUGGUUUGCUGAAAAUUCUUUAGUGCAUGUCUGGUUAAUUAACUCGAUGGAACCCAAGAUUAGCCGCCGAUAUCUAUUUCUCAAGAAAGCCAAGGAUGUGUGGGAUAUUGCCCAACGAAUGUACUCCGAUCUUGGCAAUGUGUCACAGGUGUUUGAAAUUUGGUCAAAAUUAAAGGAGAUGAAGCAAGGCACCCAGUCGGUUACUCAGUAUUUCACUGACUUGGAGGAUAAGUGAUAAGAAUUGGAUUUGCUUAUUGAUGAAAACUCAGUGUGUGCAACUUGCAAUGUGGAGCAAUAACAAAAUCUUGAGAAUGAACGGGUGUAUGAUUUUCUUGUUGGAUUAAACCGAGAUCUUGAUGAAGUCCGAGGAUGUGUUUUGAGUCAAGUUCCAUUCCCAACAAUUGGAUUUGCUUAUUGAUGAAAACUCAGUGUGUGCCACUUGCAAUGUGAAGCAAUUACAAAAUCUUGAGAAUGAACGGGUGUAUGAUUUUCUUGUUGGAUUAAACCGAGAUCUUGAUGAAGUCCGAGGAUGUGUUUUGAGUCAAGUUCCAUUCCCAACAAUUGGAUUUGCUUAUUGAUGAAAACUCAGUGUGUGCAACUUGCAAUGUGAAGCAAUUACAAAAUCUUGAGAAUGAACGGGUGUAUGAUUUUCUUGUUGGAUUAAACUGAGAUCUUGAUGAAGUCCGAGGAUGUGUUUUGAGUCAAGUUCCAUUCCCAACAAUUGAUGAAGCCUUUUACUGAAGUAGAGAAGAAAAUCGUCGAAAAGUUAUGUUGUCUUAAAGACUGCCGAGUGCACCACCAACAAAUUGAAAGCUCGGCCUUGAUGACCAAAAACAACUUGCAACCAGGAAAGAACAACAACAAUUCAAGAACAUCACGCCGAGGAGAACGAAUGUGGUGUGAUCACUGUAGUCACCAUGGACACACCAUGGAUAUAUGCUGGGAGAUUCAUGGAAAACCUGUAAAUUGGGUUCUCCAGAGAUAGACUGAAGGUCGAGAUUUUCAAGCUCAAUAAAACCAAGACAAGCAAGGAAUAGAUUCUUCAACACAACAUCAAUCUACAAAUUCAUCAAUUCCGUUCAACAAGGUACAACUUGUGCAAUUCUGUCGUCUUCUCAAUCCAUCACCAGCCCCAUCUUUGUCAAUUCCUGAUCUAGGGUCAUGUUCUAUAGCACAAUUUGGUAACCACUUAGCCCUAACAUCUUUGGUUCACUCUAAGGAACCUUGGAUCAUUGAUUCAGAUGCCUCCGACCGUAUGACAGGUGGUUCUCAUUUUUUCCUCUUUUAUAUUUCAUGUCCUAGUUCUAUUAAAAUAAAAAUUGCAGAUGGAUCUUUAUCUUCUGUUGCUGGAAUAGGUUCAAUAAGAGUUUUUAAGCAUUUAAUUCUACACUCAAUCCUUCAUGUUCCUACCUUAAAAUGCAAUUUGUUAUCCAUUAGUAAAAUCACUCGUGAUAAUAAUUGUGUUGCUAACUUUCAUUCUUCAAUGUGUCAAUUUCAGGACCUGUCAAUAGGGAGGACGAUUGGCAAUUCUAGAAUUCAUGAAGGGCUUUAUUAUCUUGAGAACACACACUAUGAGGGUCGACAAGCUUUUGCGUCAAGGGUUACAUCAGUUUCUGUUUUUAGUGCUAAGGAAAUAAUGUUGUGGCAUCAUUGACUUAGUCACCCUAAUUUUUGCAUACUUAAAAACAUUUGUUACCUUCGUUGUUUAAACAUGAAGAUUCUGUUUCUUUCACUUGUGAUAUAUGCCAAUUUGCAAAACAUAAAGUACCAUUUUCUCCAAAACUCUAUACACCCUCAAUGCCUUUUACCUUAAUUCACAGCGAUAUCCGAGGUUCAUCCAAAGUUACCACAAUGCCUGGAAAACGGUGAUUUGUGACAUUUAUUGAUGAUCAUACAAGAUUCACUUGGGUAUAUCUUCUUUGAGAUAAAUCAGAGACUUGUUAAGUGUUCCAAAAUUUCUACAAUAUGGUCCAAACCCAAUUUCAGAAAAAUAUUUGUCUUACGAAGUGACAAUGGGAGAGAAUAGUUUCAAUCUAUCUUGGGAGAUUAUUUAUUGCAUAGGGGAAUUGUUCACCAAAGCUCGUGUGUUGACACCCCACAACAAAAUGGUGUCUCAGAAAGAAAGAAUAUACAUUUAUUGGGUGUGGCUUGUGCUCUUAUGUUUAUAAUGAAUGUUCCCAAAUAUUUGUGGGGGGUGUCAUUUUAAUCGCUGCAUUUCUCAUUAACCACCUACCUAAUCGCACCUUGACCUUUAAAUCCCCACUAUCCAUGCUUUCACACAUGUUCCCACAUCUCAAUAUGCUUACAAAUACCCUUCCACUCAAGACAUUCGGUUGGACUGCAUUUGUCCACAUUCAUUCUCAACACCUAACCAAACUUGAUCCUCGAGCCAUCAAAACAAUCUUUCUUGGUUCUUCUCCAAUCUAAAAAGGGUAUCGGUGUUACUAUCCCCAAACCAAGAAAAUGUUUGUCACCCAAGAUGUCACAUUUUUUUUAAGAAAUCCUGUAUUAUUCACAUACUUUGCUUUAAGGGGAGAAUCGAGACUGAGAAGCUCCUAUGUGGGAUUGGGAUACCGUUGUUUUACUCAUAUCUGAGAUCCCAUUGCAACUUACAAUAUUACCUGAGACUGUGGCUACUCCAUCCAUGAUACCUGAGCUCACCUCAUCUAAAACCUCACCACCAACUGAAACAUUGUCACAGUAUUCACCUACAGUACCAAUCCCAGCAACAAAGGCAAAUCCAACCAUACCAAAUUAGCAAAAGUUAUAGGUUUACUCUCGGAAAAAGAGUUCUCAAGGAAAUAAUCCACUCAUGAGCACUAUGCACUGUCCGAAAUCUGAACUUAUGUUAGGAACUGGGUUUUCAUCCUCAAGUAAUCUUGAAACCAUUUUUGAUAGACUAGAUGAACCUAUUGCACUUAGAAAAGGUGUUAGGUCAUGUACACAACAUCCUAAUUCUAAAUUUGUGUAAUAUGAUAAUCUAUCUCCUUCGUUUCGUGCCUUUACGACAAAUGUUUCUAGAAUUGAUGUUCCUAGGACAAUAGAAGAUGCUUUAGUUGUUCCCAAAUGGAAAAAUGUUGUUCUUAAGGAGAUGUGAGCCCUUGAUAAGAAUGAUACAUGGAGUUUGAUGGAAUUACCACAAGACAAGAGUGUGGUUGGAUGCAAAUGGGUGUUCACUAUUAAAGUGUGACUAGAUGGCUCAAUCGAGAGAUACAAAGCAUGAUUGGUUGCAAAAGGUUUCACACAAACAUAUAGUAUCUAUACUAAGACAUUUCAUCCCAUUGCAAAGCUCAACACAAUUUGUGUCCUAUUAUCACUAACAACAAAUUUAGACUUGCCAUUGUAUCAACUUGAUGUGAAGAAUGCAUUCUUAAAUGGAAAAUUGGAGGAAGAAGUGUAUAUAAGCCUACCACCCGACUUUGAAGAAGAUAAAAAAGGUAAAAUGGUAUGCAAACCAAAGAAGUAUCUAUAUGGUCUCAAGCAAUCUUUGCGUGCAUGGUUUGAAAUAUUCUCAAAAGUGAUCAAGAGUCAUGAAUAUUAACAAGGGCAAACUGAUCAUACUUUGUUUGUCAAAUGCUCAUCCAACAAAAGGGUUACGAUCCUGAUAGUAUAUGUUGAUGACAUAAUACUCAUAAGAGAUUACUUCAAUGAAAUGGAGGUGAUCAAAAGAUUAAUGGCAAUGGAAUUCAAGAUUAAAGAUCUUGGAACUAUGAAAUGGAAUGAAAUUAUUCAAGGAGAACAAUGGAAUGAAAUUACUCAAGGAGGAUAAUGAAAAUUAAAAGAUUUAUCAAAUCCAAAACCAACCAAACCUUUAACAAAUCCUUAAAAAAUUAUACAACCACUACUACAAAAAUUGUAAAUAAUGAUGUUUAAUUCCUUGGCACUUUUAAAAAGUGACAAGGAAUGCAAUGAAUAGUAAUUGUAUAAAAGAAUAAUGGUGUUUUAUAAACAUGGUGUUUUAUGUAAGCGUCAUUGUUGCACUUCAUCAUUCUUGGCAGUUGUAACAAAGUGUCACUGUCUUCUAGUAUUUAUAUGUAGUCAUAUUUCCCCAUUUCUCAAACAUCCCGUCUUGUCUCAACAAACAUCCCGCCUCAUCUCAACAAACCUAGAAAACUAAACCUAAAAUCAUCCCUGAUUUCUUGUCUUCAGCAAACUCGUAGGAGACGCCCAGCUAUCGAACUAUCGAACCAUCAACUACUGACCGGUGAUAAUGAGAGUACCUCAUCGAAGACACCCAAAAACACUUCAUUGUGUUAGGUAAUUUCUAACAGUGGGUAAAAAAACAAUAAUAAUAAUAAUAAUAAUAAUAAUAAAAAGAAAUAGAAUUGGAAUCAUGCAUUUUCAAAGCUUGAACGCAGUCAAUCUAUUAGAGUUUUCAAGAUCUAGUAUUUCUGUUGGAAAAGUUAAUUUUUUUGGUUUGUAGUUGGUUGGUAUUCAGAGUGGCGUAGAGAACUUCAAUGGCUGGAAAUGGAGAAGAGGGGAAAGCCUUGGCUGGUAGCAUUGGUGGUGGUGUCUUUGUUGUUUCAAAAUAUUAGGGUUUCGUUGGUCUCUCAGGAUUGAAGUAAGUAGUUUUUCAUUUCGCGUGUUUGGUUGUAGGGAAAGUGGAUAAAUCAACUACAAAUAUGCAGAAAAUUUGUUUCAAAAUUGAGUUUGGGGCUUUGAAUUUUAAUUUAGUUUAAUGUUUAUUUGGGUAUGUACAGGUUUGGUUUUGUUCCAAUUUCAAAGAGAAAGAGAGUCAUGAGAGAUAUGUUUGGCCUUUGGUGAAUUGGGAUAAUGGGAGCUUCACCUCUGUUCGUGGUUUGAAGUGGAGUGCUCCAAUUGGAAAGCAGCGAUUUUGUGAGUGAUUCUUCCCUAAAAAAACAAUUGUAGAAUAAUUUCUAUUGUGCUUUGGAAUGAAAUGAUUCUUGUUGCUUCUUCUCAGUUGGAGGAGCUUUGCAGCAUCCCUCGUUGAUUGCUCCUUCCCGAGAACGAAAUGAAUGUGUUUGAGGAUGAUUUUGAAACAUGGAGUCCUGAGGGCAGUCCUAGCAGGACUCCAGAGUACAUGCUGGGUGGUCACAACCCUUUGGAGCCCAGAAUAAUCUCAAAUGGAACUAUGGGCCUGAGCACUGAGACACCACUUUUGUGUAGAGUGUUUUCUUAGCAAGGAUUAAUUAAGUGAAAAUUCUGGCAAUAAAGAAAUUGACACUAUUCUAUUUUAGCCACAAUCCAAGUGAUUUUGUUAAAAUGAACACAAAAGUUUCUUGAUGAUAAUCAUGGCAUAACUGUUUGCAGACUGGGUAGAAUUCAACUUUUUACUUGGUUAUAAGUGUCAUUAGCAAGGAGUUUGGUGGAACUUCCUUUAACAUUAUUUCAAUAGAUGUGGUUAUAUGUAGAACAUGGAGUAAAUAAAUUAUCACAUGCCAAUACAAGUUUAGUAUUGAUGGAUACUAUUUGGGUAAUCUGAUGCAAGCUGACAUCCAAGCGACUAGCAAAACCUCUAGCCAUGAGAUAAUGAAGAACUUUAAGUUGACUAGUUUUGGUUUACUACCAAGGCUGAAAUUUUGACCUUUUUUGAAGGCUUGAAAAAGGUCCUUUCCUAGGGGAUGAUAUUUUCCCUUUUGAAAGAUAUUCUUCCAUAGUCAUUUCUUGUGCCCAAUACCAAGAGACAUGACUUCUAGAGCUACAAUCAUUAGAUGAUAGAGAUGUUUGAUUUAUCAAAAAAUAUGGAAAUUUCUUUCUAUUGGAAGCCUAGAUUAGCUAAUCAUGCAAUUAAUGGAACCUACACAUGGAAUUGGGCUAAAAAAAGAUGAUUCACUAAAAAGUUCUAGCUUGUUAGCCUCUGAUUUUUAUUUUUUUUAAUGGGCAAUAAAAGCUUAAACUGCAAUUGCAACUGUUAGGAUAUUCAAUACCUUAUUUGGAGAUUUCAUUUGGUUAAAGCAUUUAAAACUUGAAAAAAUUUUCUUAUAUCUUUCUCCUGAUGGCAAAAUUUGGGCUAAUUUUUUGUGAAUAUAUCAAUGUUUUAUUCCAUUUUUGAGACUUUUUACUUUAUUUGAUCUCGAAUCCUUAAUGAAGUCAAAAGAGUGACAAUUGUGGAUCACUUAGUGUAUGCACGUCUAUAUCAUAAAUUAUAUAUGGCAAUAUGUAGAAAGCAUAUCAAAGAAAUAAAAAUAAACCUUAAAUAUUUUUGGUUUUAUAGGAAUAUUCUAUAUAGGAUAAAUUCUAUAUGGCAAUAUUUUGGUUUUAUUUCCAUUUAAUACAAAAUGGAAUUGACGCCCUAAUAUUUUUUAAUUAAAUAUUCCUAUGUUAUCUUUAUACUAUUUUUAAAUAUUUUUUAUGAAUUAAUUAAAAUAUAUUUCAUUAAUUACAAUAUUUUUUAAUUACUAUAUUUAAUUAAUAAAAUAUUACUAUAUAUACAUUAAUUAAAUAUUUUGAUUCAAUGUAGUACGUUAAAGAAUUGAAUUAAAAUUUAGAUGUUCAUUAAAUUUAGUUUUAUUUUACACUUUUCUUCUUCUACUUUCUAUAUUUUCUAUAAAUUCUAUUUUAAUUUUGGAAAAAAGGAGGGGAAAAAUAUAAUUUUAGUAAAUAUAUUAAUUCUCUAAUCCAAAUAAGUAAAAUCAAUUUAAUAAAUAAAUAUAAUUAUAACACAAAUACUAUUGAAUCUACCUAAAAUAUUUUGAAGGUGGUUUGGAAGCAUUUAUCAUAAUGUUGGAAGUCUUUGGUAAUAAUUGAAAAUGUUUUUGUCAUAAACAUUUAACAUUUGGUAAAUUUUAAUUGUGAUUUUGAAAGUUUGUAUUACCAAAUGAUAAUUUUUGAACUAACUCAUGAAAUAUGCAUUUUUCACAAAUUAUUUUUUGGUAGCCUAUUAUAUAUAUAUAUAUAUGUAUAUUAUAAGGUAUUAAAAUAAUUUACCAAACCAUUUGAAAAUAGAAAAUAGUACAAAUAAAAUUGAUAACACAAAAUUUAAUUAUAACCUAAAAACAAUUUUAGGAUAUUUGGCUCUAAGGGGUAUUUGGGAUAAAUUUCCUGUUACCAUGAUUACUUAGUUUAGAUAUUUAAAAGGUUAAAAUUAUAAUUUCAAAAAAAUUUUAUUAAAAUUUUAAAAUUAUGAAAACCAUGUCCCAUGUUCAUUAUUGUGUGCUCCUAUAUUAUGAUAUAUGGUUUAAAAUUAAUUCUCAGUUUCUCCAUUAGGAUGCACUACUUAUUUAUUUCACAUAGGCAUCUAGAAUUUCUUCACAUUUUAUUUAGAUGUAUAUUAUAUUAUUUUUAUAAUAAAGAGAUUAAAAUUUUAAUCAAACAAAAAAUAUUUUUAUUUUCAUGAUUUUUAUUUUAAAUGAAAAAUAUAUAUGUUAAACCAUAUAUUAUCGCUAUAAUGCUUGUGAAUUCUUCUCAAAAACAGAAAUCUAAAAAAAAAAACCAAAUGCAAAAGUACGGCAUAGAGACAAGUUUAAAUUAUAUAGUUCACAAAAUACCAUUAUAGGCUAAAAUUUAGACAAAAAUAAAAUUAAUUAUUAAAUAUUGAUUGUUUUAUUAUUUGUUUUGUAGGAUAAUUACUUGAUGUGUAUUUAAAAUUAUCAAUUUAGAUUAUUUUGAUUAAAUUUUGUGUGGACCUUUUUGUAGAAGAUGUUGCUCUCUAAGUUGUGAAAAGGCUUUUAAGCCUCCAUGUUAAAUGUUAUAUAUUUAAGAUAAACGUGAUAGAAUGAGAGUUAUGUUGUCUUGUUGUAAUAUUCCAAUUAGUAAUUGUGUUUUAAUUUUACUCAACUAUGCUUUGCAUUAGAGUUCCCGUUCAAGUAUCAUUGUGAGACAAAAGUUUCUGUUAUUACAUAGUAAAAACAUUUUAGUUGUCAAAAGAUGAAAAUGGUUUUAUCUAUGCUAGUUUCACGUUGACAACUUUUAAAUUGUCUACCAUGUGAUAAAGAUCUUUUCUCUACAAAUGAUGCUUGAAUUGUCCGAUUGGAUAGUGUAGGAAAACAUAAUAUCUAUGAAGUUAAUUGCUUGUUCUUAAUUCAUUUUAAAUAAAUUUUGGUACUAUUUCCUCUUAUUCUCUGGGUACAUACUUGGACAAGGUGACAUAUUAUGUCUUGUCCAUUUUGUGUACUUGGAGAACCAUAGGGAAAUGCUGCUGAAUUUUUUUUAAAUUUAAAUUGAGCACAUUGGCAGUUGACACAUAGAGAUUAUGUAUUCCUAUAUAGGAUAGGAACCACUCCCUAAUUUAUGAUGUUGGAGAUGUUAGAUGGCAUAAAAAAUUGCAACAUAGCUUGAAUUGUAUAUGCUAAUAAUAUUAAUAUGCACUUGUUUAAUUGAGGUUAUGCAUCACCUUUAAUGCAAGUACUCAAGGUCAAUAACAUUUAUAGCUUCGUAAUCACUACUACAUAUAACACAUACAAUGACCUUUUGUUUUUUCUUGGCAUUUUUUAAAAUUUUCAAUAAUUAGCGUGUUAUUCCAAUAGUGUAAAUAUAUGUAAAAAGUCAAAAUGAUUAGAAAAUUAAUGCUCACCCUUUUUCUCUUAAAUCUAGCCUCUUAAACAAAUGUUAUAUUAAAUUGAUUAUUGAUUAUUCUUUGAAUAGAAGAAAGAGAGGUUGCUAAACGAAUGACAUAAAAAUUGUCAAUAUUUUCUUCCAUUUGAAGUUUGAUCACUGUUGGAAGUUUGUUAUUAAAAAAUGGACUAUUCAUGGAUCUCAAAGGAUAGAAGAUCGAAAGAGUAUGAGGAUGGGGUAGAACAUUUUAUCACAUUUGCAAUACAAAAUUCUGUAAAUAAAAACUCCAUUAAAUGUCCAUGUUUACAGUGUGGUAAUAUGAUAUUCCAUACUCCUCAAAAGACUAGAGAGCAUAUGUUUUUCCGUGGAAUUGAUCAAAGUUACCAUACAUGGUAUUGGCAUGGAGAGGUAGCUCCAAGUGGACCACCAACUACAAGAGUAGAACAUUACGAUAAAGUUCAAUUUGAUGAUGUGCAUAGUACAAUAGAAAUGGUUCAAGCUACACAGGAGGAUUGUAAAAAUGACCCAGAAUCAUUUCAAAGAUUGCUGAAAGAUGCAAAAAAACCUUUAUAUCCUAGUUGUAGAAACUUUACAAAAUUAUCUGCAUUGAUUAAAUUGUACAACCUAAAAGCACGCUUUGGGUGGUCUGAUAAAAGCUUUUCAAAGCUUUUAGAAAUGCUUGGAAAUAUGUUGCUUGUAAAUAAUGAGUUGCCUUUGUAUAUGUAUGAAGCAAAAAAGAAAUUGAAUACAUUGGGAAUGGAAUAUGAGAAAAUACAUGCAUGUCCCAAUUAUUGUAUCCUUUAUAGGAAUGAGUUUAAAGAUGCAUCGUCAUGUCUUACUUAUGGAACUUCAAGGUGGAAGACAGAUAAAACAGGAACUAAAAAGAGGAAGGGGGUUUCGGAAAAAGUAAUGUGGUAUUUCCCUCCAGUUCCAAGAUUUAGAAGAAUGUUUCAAUCAUUAAAAAUCGCAAAAGAGCUCAUAUGGCAUGCCGAAGAAAGAGAUUUCGAUGGUAAAAUGCGUCAUCCAUCAGAUUCACCAUCAUGGAAGCUAGUUGACCAUAGAUGGCCCGAGUUUUCCUCAGAAUCUAGAAACUUGAGACUUGCCAUUUCAGCAGAUGGCAUAAAUCUUCACAGUUCAUUAUAGUACAUUUUAAUAUCUUAAUAGGUGGCAACAACUAGCUAUACAAAAAUCAUUGAUAGAAGCAUAUUAUGGAAGAAAGCAAUGAAGAAGAAAGAUGGCACUUAUGAUGAAGUUGUCAUACCAGUGGUGGAGAAGAUUGUAAGUAUACAUUUUCUAACAUAUAUUUCAUUUAUUUUAAGACCUUAUUUAUAGUAACCAGUAUGACAUUGAAGUUAAUAACAUCAUUGUGGUUUUAGGACAAGAUGUUGAAAGAGUCAUGAGAAAGGGGUCGAAUUUUUAGUGGUAAUAAUGACAUACUUACAAAAGCAUUGGGCACUCUCGAAUACAGUGGUCGAGUACGGGCUAAAGGCAAGCAUUAUACACCACACCAAUAUUUCCAUUCCAUGGCAAAUAGUGUUAUGCGGGAAUUUAUGAAAGAAUCUCAAGAGCGACAAUCUAAGUUUGAGGCAGAUAUUUUAGCCCAACUUUCUCAGAUGAUGCCUAGCACACUUCAAUAUGAUGUUAGCAGCUCUAAUGUUAAGAAAAAUCAAAUUUUCCUGCCUCAAGCUGUUGAGCAACCUAAGUGUCAAGUUGAUGACCAUGUCCUAAUAGUGCAAAAAGAAAACAAGGUAUGUUGUGAUUAAUAUUAUGUUCUAUAAUUCCUAUGUGAUAACACAUAAAGUUAGAAAUUUCAUUUCAUUCAUCUAGUUGAAACUAUUCAAAUACCAACUCAUUAAGAGACAUUUUCAUCCUUCAAGAAUGAAAGUUAUAGGUUUUAUAUAUAGUUUUUACUUGUCUAGGUUUGUCCCACCUACAUGAUGAAUGAGCUAACUAUGGAAAAAACUUUUCUUAUGGUACAAGCACUAGUUUUUGACAUUUAGGGUUUAUAGGGUUUAAAACCUUUAUGUGAACAAGCAUCAUAUUUGACCUUGAUGAAUCAAUUUUCCUCAACUAACUCUUACGGUCCUAGUAAAAUUCUGAAUUUUCAAUGGUUGCAUAUAAGUAAACAAUCUUGUUUAAUUUUAUAGGUUAGGAAAUGCCAAUUGGCCAUAGGGACAAAGGAAAAUGUAGAUGUAGUUGGCACAAUUAUACUUGAAUGUGGUGUUAACUUCUUAGUUGUUGUGGAUGCUUCUUAAGAGCCAAAUGCACCACUUCCUAUGCCUAUUCCUAACCAAAUUACAACUAUUGGAGAGGCUCUUGUGUAUCAAGUUUUGUGGCCUGUCCAAAUGGUCAGUCUUACUACUCAUCCCAUCGAGGUACAAUUUUUUUUUUUUUUCAAUUUUCAUUAACAGUUUCUUAGUAAUAAUUAUAACUUAUUUUAUCAAGGACAAUAAUUAUAUAUGCAAUCAUACACUUUGUUUUUAGGAUUCAAAGAAAUUUAAGAAACAAAGGAAUAAAGAAACACGAUUAAGUUCUAAGGAUGAGAACCCCGUAGACAUUAAGAACUUUGCUACAUUGGUUGGACUACUACUCAAGGAAGGGAAGGUACAUGCAAUAAACAUCACAAAGGAUGUUUUUGGAGAGUCUUGUAAGAGCUUUCUUAUUAAUUAUGAUAUGGAUAUGAUAAUUUCAUCAACAGAGGUGUCAUCUAAUUGUCUUAUGUUCUAUAUAUGGUGAGGGGACAUUUAUUUUGUUUUUUGUCAUAUAUUUUAGUUGCUUCAUGAUAGUUUAAUUUUUAAUUAUAAUCAUAUUAGGAGAGUUGAAAUGUUAGUUACAUUAAAAUAUUAACUUCUUGUUAACGGUAUGUGAAAUUAAAUUAGGCACUUGCAUAAAAAAAUGGUUGAUGCUAAGAUGGCCGGACAAUUUGCUUUUGUAAAUCCAGCUUUGGUUUCCAAAGCUGGAAUGGGGGAAGCAAGCAAGGAAAAUAGGUAAAGGUUUAUUGCCAAUUGAUUGAUGAAUGCAAAUCAUGCUGACUUUAUUUUCAUUCCAUACAACCCAAGGUACAUUAUAGAACUUAAGUAAGCUAUGUUGGUAAACUUAUCAAAUCAUAAUUAAUAUAUAACUAAAUUUAUGUAAAAUUUUGUAGCUAUCAUUGGGUUUUGGUGGCACUGGAAACAAGGACUAUGAUUGCAUAUUACCUUGACUCAUUGGAAGACCAACCUUCUGAUGAUCUUAAGGAGAUUGUUAAUGUGUAAAUUUUUCUCUCAAUACAAGAGCAUGAAGCAUAAUUGGUAACAAAUAUUAUUUUCUUCAUGUAGGGUCCUUAGAAUUCAUCCACCACAAAAACAUAAAUCAUCAAAGAGGGAGCCUACUUGGGUUGUACUAGGGGUGAGUAAUUCAUAUAAAUUAAGUAAUGCAAUUUUUAAUACCAUUUCUUAAUUUUUAAUUAAGUACAAGAUAUCCUACAACUAACUAUAAAAUUGGUGUAUUCUACAAUGAUUUAUUUUUAUGCAUAAAAUGCCCAAUAGAACCAGGCAGUGUUGAAUGUGGAUAUUAUGUGAUGAGAUAUUAUUGCUGAUCAAGGAUGUCUUACAUCAAAGUUAUGCACUAUUUUAUUAAUUUCCAAUAUAUCAAUUUUUACCUUAUUUUUCAAUGUAAUUGAUUAAAUUGUUUACAUUACUCCUUAAUAGUUUCAUGGAAAAAAAAAUCGUAUAGCAAAGAUGAGUUGAACGAAGUACGAUCAGAAUGGGCAAUGCUGGUCACUUAGUUGAUACUUUCUUUUGUUUGAAGGCUUUGAAGACACUUUUUUGUAUGGAAAUAAAUCAUACUUUUGCCUAAUCCAACUAUCACUUUUGUUGAGGUUAAUAUUUUAUUUUUUUCUCUUUUGAACCAAACUAUGAUUAUAAGUAAAUUGUUUGAUGGAAUCACAACCAAGUUGAUAAUAUUUUCUUUCUAUUGUCAUGAUAUUUCUCUAGUUUCCCAUAACUGAACUAAGUUGUUAAUUGCAUGCAUGACUCACAGGCAUCCAAAGGGAAACUUUUUGAAGCUAAAAGUUGGAAGCUUUUCCAAGUUUCUAAUAGGUCAUGAGCUACUGCCACAAAAAAGGUUUUUUUUCAUAGGGAUAUCAAGUUUAUUAUUUCUUGCUUCCUAUUAAAGAUCUUCUAAAAGGGGAUAUACACUUGGAAUUUUGUUGUUCUCAUGUGAUCAUUUGUUUUCAUUCUCAACUAUAGAAUGUUCUUGUUGGUUCAAAAGGGAACAUGAAGAUUUCUAAUUUUGGCCAUGGUGUUAUACCACAACAUUGUAAGUUACAUCGUCACCCUCAUAAAACAUAAAGAUUUCUUCACAAUAUAAAUUUUUUGUUUCAUUGCUUAACUUAUUUAUUUUUCACUGAAUUUAAAACUACAAGAUGAUGGAUUACUAUAUAUUUAUAUACAACCAAUGGAAGUUCAAAUUACAUUGCUUAAUUAACUUCUAAUUAAGUUUUUUCAAGUGUCAAAAAUGUGGUUUGUAGUUUAAUUUUCAUUUCAUUAAAAUUAACGGUUCUAUUUUUAUCUUUUCAACCAAUUUGUAAACUAGGUAAGUGAUUGAGCGUAGCUCUAGAAGCUGCCAAUGAAGUAUCUCUAUGAACAUGAUCCCCUCAUGAUUUGCAGAAAUUUUAAGACCAACAACAUACUCUUAGAGGUAUGGUCUCUACUACUCAUAAAUUACCAUUAUAUUUUGUUCAUUCAGAAAAUUUAUAUUGGUGAUGAAGUUUUUAUUAUUUUACAUCAUUGGCUUGAUAACCAUGCUUUUAAAAUUUAAUAUACAUGAGAAAUAGCAAUUAAAAAAAUGAAUUCCGGUUUCUCACUUUAUGUGUUUGUAUUAUGGACAUUUUUAAGGUAAAGUUCCUUAAGCUUUACUUUUGUGUAAUGUAUUGAAUGAUAGGCUGGUGUUUGAAUCUCUAUUUAGCUUCAUAGAUAACCUGAAUUUAUUGUUAAAUUUUUAUGCAAUCAUAUCUUUUCCAUAUAGUUGUCACUUUGGUUCACUCACAUAAUUCUAGAUAUUUUCCCAAAUAUGUUUUAUUUUAAAAAAUAUUCAUCAUUAGAAGAUGUUUAUCUACUAUUAAGUUGUAGAUAUUCUUCUCUACAUUUUUUUAUGCAUGCCAAUUUAUUUAUUGUUAAGUUCUGGAAUUCAUAUAGUUGUUGCUAGCCUUGAUAGUGAUAAAUAAGAUGAAUGAUAAGUAUGAUACAAUUGGCCACUAUUUUGGAUGCAAUUCUGUAACGCAUAUCAUAUGGUGGGAAAUGAUAAUUCUUUUAACUUAACAAAAAACUUAGUUGAUAAAGUAUCAUGGUGUGAACCUUAUUUAUUUCAUGUUACUGAUUACUACUCAAAAAGUGCUAAUUGAUAGCCUAUAAUUAAUCCUUUUAAACACUUUUGAGUAGUAGUUCAGGCCUUUUAACUCAAUUGGCAUGUUAAGGACCCUUGAAAGGGAUUUUAAUCACUUUAUGUAAGUUUUGGUGUUUUUGUUAGUAAUUUGAUCACCGAAGCAAGCCAAGACUAAGGAGAGUUAUGAGGAAUCUUGGGCAAAGCUUAGAAGUCAUUUGCCAAGAGUAAAUCCGGAUUGCAAGGAGAAAAAGUAAAGAGAAUCUGCCAUGAAGCAUAUUCUUGAUGACAGUCGUAGCAGCCACUUUUGGAGCACUUUCUGAAGUCCAAUUGAUGCAUGCUAUAUAACAUUUCAAAGCUCAGGAAGUCAACAAUCUAAUGCUUCAAAUGGUACGCAAUUCGGAGUUGAAAUGAAGAAGUUGAAGCCAUUGCAAGCCAAUCACUCCGAGCUGAAGGAAGCAUUUUGCAAAGUGCUGCGAAAUCACCCUUUUGUUGCGAAGUGAUUCCGUAGCCUUUUUGUACAGUAGGGUGUAUUUCCUCCUGAAGAUGCCCGACAUAUACCGCGAGAGGGAAGCUGGGAACCUCAAGGUGGAAGCCAACUUCACAGCCCUACGAAGAUAGCAUGUUGUUGCAAAAUGAUUUCGCAGCCCUCUUGAGUGUCUGCGAAAUCUCGCAGACACCAUUUUCUCUUGCGAAAUGGUUCCUGGAGCCUCCCAAUAUUUGCUACCGACAUUGGGAGAUAUUUUACAUCAGAUUUUUGUUGUCUAAAUCCCAAAAUACUCCUUGUAAGCCACCAAUUACAAGAUUCCUUAGCUUUUAAAUUAGUAAAAAAGAGAAACUAUCUAUGUAAUAAUUAGUUUUAUAUUAUGUUCAUAUAUAUACCUCUCGGGAGCCUGUUCUCAAGGAGAGAUCCUUUUGUAAAAGUUUUGGGUAAGCAAGUAAAGUUCAGUUCUUUGUAUUGCCUUACCUUCUCACUUUGUAUUUUCAUUUUCUUACUAAGUUAUGAACUCUCUGAGGAGUUUUCCCCAGAGAAUGAGUAACUAAACCUCUAAUUCCUUGGAUCUAAGGUUGCCGGGGAAGGUUCCAAGUGCAAGAAUGCAAAGCUUUGUGGUUUUAGCUAGUAAUGAAGAGGAAGUGAAAUCCUUUAAUGAUUUCUAUGUUUUUAGUUAACUUAAAACACCUUAGAGUCACCUGGGCCAACACUUGGUAAGGCAAGUGAUUUCCAACCAUGGAAAUGCACUAGUUUACCCCUUGCGAGCCUCUGGGAGGUGACUUCAAGGUAGGAUUUUCUAGAAUAGCCAACACUUGGUAAGCUUUUGGACUCCUAGGAGACAUCCAUUAGUUAUCUCUUGCGAGCUUUUGACGGGUAAUCCAAGGUUAAAGAUCACCUUGAAUGGUUAAGGCUUAGUGAGAGGCUUAAACCAUUGCAAGUUGCAUCAGUGAGAGAAUUAAAGUGAAAUCUAAUUGAAGGAGUCUCUGUACAACACCGGUUAGAGAAUUGACUAUAUGUUGAAUCUCUAACGCGAGGAAAUGAACCAUCUGACCGGAGCCGUGUCUUUUGCAUGAGGAACCACCCCAGUGAACCUAACUCUCCAAGGAAUGUUUUUCUUCCUAAGUUAUUCCUAUUACUUGUUGUGUUAGUUAGUUUAAGUCUAAACCUUUACCAAUCAAAGUUUGUGUUUUAUUUCUUAAGCUAACCUUGAAAUGAAACAAGACCAAUUCACUUUGAGUUGGUAUCAUUGAUAGCUUGCUAAUCCUUCCCAGUGAACGAUCCUAGAGCCACUAUACUAUAGUAGCUUUUUCUUUGCUACCCUAGUAUAUGGUGUUAUAGGUUAUAAAUUUUGUUGAUUACUCCCUCAAUCAAGGAGCACCAGCUGGACACGAAUCAGCUGACGAAUCAGCUGAGACACCAAUUGGGCACGAAUCAGUUACACCAUAUUCCCAAACCUUCCUUUGUCAAUGUUGCGCAUUCGAUGAGGCCUAUUACUAUUAGAUGAUGCCUAAUUGAAUAUUUUAAUGGACUAUUGAUGUUGAUAUUCUCUUGUCCCAAGCUUGGUUUGUUUUUCUAUUUUCUUUUAGGCUAUACUAAAAACUUAAUGGAUUAUUGAUGUUGAUGUUCUCUUAUCCCGUAUUUGAUUAAUCUCUUGUUUUGUGUUUUAACUAUUGAUAGUAAUUUUGUUGUAAUUAUUCUUAGGGUCACAUAUGUCAAUUGUGAUUACUACUCAAAACAUGCUAUUUUGUAGCUUGUAAUUAGCUCUUUUAAGCACCCUUGAGUAGUAAUUAUUACCUUUUAACUCAAUUGGCAUGUUAGGGACCCUUGCAAUCAUUUCUAAUCAAAUUGUGUUAAUGUAGACCCCCAUUUGGGGCUCAUUUUCUGCAGUUUGCUUUUAGCCAGGUGUCACCAUCUGGGGGAAGCCACGUGUCACAUUUUGACUAGCUGCUAGAGAAUCACAAUAGUGGAGUUGGAGGAGCAAUCAGGGGUUGACACCUAUAAAGGUGAUUCUGAGAAAAUCUGCUAGCCGUUAGUGCAAGCUGAGAGGAGCGUAUGAGGAGGGGGGCAUCUAUCUCAGGCGAGGGAGGAAAGAGCGGUGGGAGAGAGAUAUUUGGGGGGAGCUUUUCAUGCUGGUCAGAGAGAUAUUUUAGAGAGGAAGAGGUUACUCUAAGGUAGGUGAGAGACAUAUCGAUUUAGGAGAGAAAUGAGGGAAGAUCCUUUCAGCUGAGGAAGGUAGCAGGCUGUUUGGUUUGGGAAGGACUUACAGAGGAGUUUAUUCAGCUGCGGGGAAUGAGGACUUUGGGGGGAUUCGGGCAGAGGUGGUUUGCCUUUUGGAGGCUGUUGGUGAGAGAGUUACAGAUAGGUAAGCUUGCUGGCUUCAUCGGCAUUGGAGGAGGAUUUAAAGCGCUUAGAGCUGAACAGAGCCUCACUGGAAAAGGGCACUCUCAGGUAUGAAUGCAACAGGUAUAUUGUUUGAUUUCAGAUCCUUGCUAUCCCUCUACAUUUCUUGUUAAUAUCUGGAUAUUUUUUGGUUUGCUUGGGGUGGAUGAUGAAGGCCACUUGUUGCUUGUUGAUAUAUAAUCUUGAACUCAUGCUUGCCAUUUGUUGAUCUUAAUGUACCUUGUCUCCGUUAUGAAAUACCCAAUAAUCCUUCCAAUAUUUGCAUUUGAUGCUAUUUUUCUCACCUAAGAAGAAGGGUCCACUGAUGAUUCAUGAUGUGAAGCCCCUUUUGAGGACAUUUUUAUUUGUUUCUUCUACGCUCUGUUUUCAUCGCAUUUUUCAUUGUCGAGGCCACUUCUAUUCUUGGAUCUUGUUCAUUAUAUGGACUGAGAGGGGGGUGAAGAACAUGAAGAAGCAGCAAGGUUGAGUAGAAGCUUGGGAAUUCCGAUGAAGCUACUUCAUGAAGCUGCAGGGCAUGUGGUUACAGUGGAGCUCAAGGGUGGAGAACUGUACAGAGGAAGCAUGAUCGAAUGCGAAGACAACUAGAAUUGCCAACUCGAAAACAUCACCUUCACUGCUAAGGAUGAAGAGGUUUCCUAACUUGAGCAUGCCUUUAUCCGUGGUAGCAAAGUCAGGUUCAUGGUCAUUCCAGAUAUGUUAAAGAAUGCUCUUGUUGGAAAUAUAUUCAAGCUCUGGCUCCAUCCGUGGUAGCAAAGUCAGGUUCAUGGUCAUUCCCGAUAUGUUAAAGAAUGCUCCUAUUGGAAAUAUAUUCAAGCUCUGGCUCCUUGGGAUUGAGUGUACCAGGAACAGGUCAUGAUUACUUAGCCUUUGGAGUGUCAAUUUCCAAAGUUCACUGCUCAGUCACAAAUUCUGUGGGAGUUCCUGAAUGCCAUUUGGACAGUGACUUCGAGAAAUCCACUUCUCCCUUCACUGAUGAUUUGAUUCCAUCCAGAGCCUCAGCAGCUGCUUCAGGCAUUGGUCUUGAAUAGUUUCCUGGUCAAAUUAUCAGAGGUGCAAGCCCAUUCAGACUUCUACAAGACCAUACUUCUGAUGACAGUACAGAAAAUGGUGAUGCGCUAUGUGCUGAAGAUGUUAUCCCUGUAAGCGCGUCACCAUCAGUCACAACUGAUACUGGUUUGCAUGGAGAUAUUAAAUAUAAUCUGGACUAUGGUUUAGGAUCUGAGCGCACUUGCAGGACUGAGAGGAGUUUUGAGUGACCUGAAUCACUAGUGGAUGUAAAAGAAGUUAAAACAUCCAUUGCUACCAGAACCACUGAUGAAGAUGUUUUGAUCCAUGAAAAUGAGACACCUAUUUCCCAUGGUGUUUCUGACAGGGAUGGCCAUGAAAAAAGUGCUGGUGGUGGUGUUGAUAUUGUUCCUGAGAGUGGGAAGUCUCAGAAGGAAAUGUCUCCACUGAAAAUCGAUGAGUUUAGGCGGUUGGUCGAAGAAUGUGCUAGUGACAGUGAUUCUGAUGAUUCAUGCUAUGUUAGGAAACAUGGUAAAUCUGGGGGUUUCUGGAGAGGACUAGUCAGUAAUGGCUGAUAUUCCUUUGGUUGACCAAGGGUUUUAUGGGAAUGGCAUCAAUUGUUAUAAGGAGGGGCUCAAAACUAUUGGAGUAAUGUUUGAAUAUGGCGAAGCCUAUGAGUUUAUGGGAAUGCACCUCAUGUCUCUUGCAGCUUUCUCCGCAUUGACUAAAUCCCGUCUCCAGUUGGACCUGUUUUACUUGACCAAGAAUGGAAAGCUGCAUCACCAAUUAGUAGCAUCCCUUCCAUUGACCAAGACCACAACGGCAAGGAAAUCCUUUGUUUCGAAAUGUAACUCCAGAUGCUUGGUACGCUAGUUGGCUUUAACAAAAAUCGCCACUUGGUCGCUAAUCACUUCAAGUCUCAAGCAUGCUCAAUUCAUCCAACAGUUGAGUCUAUUCUUUUGAUAUUUGAAUGCAUGGCAUUUCUGACUGAGCAAUGAUAUAUUAAUUUGUUGAGAUAGACUCAUUUCUCAUGGACUCGACGUACAAUAUUGUGUGGAUGAAUAAUGUGAAAGAAAAUUGAAAGCUCACUGUGAAAUUGCAGUAGAAACUCUAUGGAAUAUGAUGGAGGUGACGACACCAGCUCAGCAUCUUCAGGUCCACUUGAUAGGAGAGGUGCCUGUGAUAAUUGGAAGCAAUACCACAGGUGUCUCAUCUGUUCAGCAAUCUGUGUCUGCAAUUUUUAGUUCCCGUGGCUCCAAGCACCACAAGUGGCCUUAAUAUGGCAGAAACACUAGUUCAGACCCUGCUGGUGCACCCUACAGAAACCCAAAUAUUCCACUUACAUGCAUGAAUUUAUAGUCCCACACUUCCCGCUAAUGAAGUGCAUCAAACACGAGUUCUGCAUGAAGCCAUUGACAUUGCUGGGCAGAUUAUUCUCUGUAAUUUCCUACUUCUUGCGUGUCAUCCUUUUCAUGAAGUCUAUGGAGGAUCCACACCCUGUUUUCGGUGGAGUGCCUGAACUACUUUGACUGGCAAACAGUGAGUCUCAUGCACAGCUUCAAGAAGGCGCAACAACUCAAAUGCAAACAACACUGUUACUGGUGGAGAUCACAAGGAGAAAAAGAAGGGUCCCUCUACUAAAAAUUUAAUGGCAAAGAGAGGUCGCCAGAGGAAGCACAAUGAUACGACGACAUUUGGCCGCUGCGCGUGGGGACUUGGAGGCAGUGGAGCAGAUUCUGGACAAGGUAGAUGCUCAGAUGACGGGGACAUUGAGCUGGGCAGAUUUUGGUGCUAAAGUGGCAGAGAAUCAAAGCUCCAAUUAUGAUCCAGAGGGUGAAUAUGUGAGACAUUGGCUGCCCGAGCUGGCAAGAGUGCCCACUGAGUGGAUUCAUCAUCCUUGGGAUGCUCCCUUUACUGUGCUUAAAUCUAGCAGAGGUAGUUUGGAAUCAUGGGCUGCUCAAGCGAGUUGGGGUUUGCCAUGGCAUUAGUGGGAAUGCUUAUGUGUUUCUCUCACUGUACCGACUGACAUACAAAAUGGAGUUUGUUUUAGUGCCGUGCUGGAUGAGCUUGUUACUAAUGAUGAGAGCUGCCGAAGAUCUUAUUAGAUGGUUGCAUCAGCCAACUUAUCGGAAUCAAAGGUCUAAGUUGUGGUUAAACUAUUUUGAGAUGUAUGGCGGAAAACUCCUUGAUUUUCUCAACGAUAGAAAGAAACUUUGUAUGAGAGAAGAUAGAAGACAACAAGUUUGCAUUGUUGGACUGCAAGAAUUUGAUGUUUUGGAUGCACAGAUUGUGAAAGAGAUCCUUGAGAGAAGUUUCUAUUCUAUGUGGUGGGGUCUCUGUGGAUGAUGAGACGACCUUCAUUGUCAUUUUGAUGAGUCAGCCUGCUGCCCAUCUCAAAUAGCUUAUGGAUCAGAAUCCUAUGAGGUUGUAGCAUAUCUUCCUGAAACUGCCAUAAAAGUGGCCAACUCCACUCUGCAUGGUGCAUGGCCACUUUUAAGCCACAUGUCUUUCUGACUUGGUUUCACCUUUGGUUUUUUUAAAUAAUCCCUCAAAUCCCAAUUUUCAAAUAGUUUUCCAAUUUCUCGAUUUUCAAAUAAUUUUAACUUUUUCAAAUCUUCAUCCUUAGUUUUAGUUUUAUUAUGCCUCAAAAUAUCAAUUCUAAUAAAAUUUGCUUCCACUUUCUAUUCGGCAAGCAAUUUUCAAAUCUUUCAUGAUCUUUUAAAAUGUUUUUAAAAUAAGUAAGAAUUAAAUUCCGUAAUUCCAAGUGAUGGAAUUUAUGGAAUUGAUUCAUGCAAAAUAAAAGGGCUUUGGUGGGGGCCCAACAUCAAAUAAAUUUUCAUCAAAAUAAAAUUGAGUGAAAUGACACAUGUGUUAUUGAUGAUUUUGUAUUCAGUUUAGUGACAUGUAUGCUAUAUCUUGUAAUCAUUGUUUUGUACUAAUCUCAUUUUCUUGAUAGCGCAUAGUGGCUCGCUGCUCAGGUACACACUCAUUCCCACUCUGGUUAGUCUAUAUGCAUUUUCUGACUCUUAUAUGCGCAUGAUUGAUUCGAGUAUUCAUUGAUUUUCUCAUUGAUUUCCAUGUCAGCUUCAUCUCAUUAGUAGAGACCCGACUUUAGGGACUUAGAGGGGUGCUACGGUCUUUACCGUACCUUCCCGAUAAGUAACCUGACCCCCGAACCCGAUCCGGUUUUUCACAGACCACCUUUUCCAAAAUAAGGAGUCACACUUAGGGUUUUUCUUUCUUAUUUUGUUUACCCUUUAAAAAUAAAACAAAAAUAAGUGGCGACUCCAAGUCAUUUUCAAAUAAUCAAUAAAAAUCAAUUUUUCAAAUAAAAAUCGAGCUCUCCAUCGAGUGGGAAACGCAUUGAGCCGAAAUGCGGGGUCCACAGUUAAGUUUUGGUGUUUUGAUAGCUUUUUUAUCACCAAAGCAAAUCUGAGAUCGAGGAUAGUUCUUUGGAAUCCAUACAAGGAGUAUACUCGGACAAGGUGUCCAGAUAUACCAUCGGAAGGCAUCCGGACAACAUAUCCGGAUAGGAUGCUAUCGUUUCAUCCAAACAACAUUCCACUUGGGUAGGAAUUGCACCCGGCUGCCAUGCACUUUCCACUCCCGGAUGUUCACAUCCGAAAUUCUGACGCCGAAUGGGAGAGGAGGCGUUUUAACUUCUCCAGACAGACGUAUCUAGAUCAUUUGAUAGCCGCCUACCCGGAUGGGAGAGCAGCCAUUCUGCACAGUGCAGCGGUGUUCUCCUGAAGCUUCCUUCUAUUUCCGACCGACAUCUUAAGAUAUUUGCCACCGAUAUUUUAGGAUAUUUUGCUUUAGAUAUUUGAUGUCUAAAUCCCCAAACUCUCCUUGUAAUCCACCUAUCAUAGGAUUCCUUAGUUUUUAAGUAAGUAAAAAUGGUGAAUAACCUCAUAUAUAUAGUUUGUAAUUUUCUUGGAAAAAUAUAUCAUCGAUGUAAUAGACAAAAGGAAGAAAUAUAUUGUAGAGAGCACUUGCUAUGUUUUUGCUUAAUAUUUGUUUUCUCAUUAAUUUUCUUUCUAGCCAAACAAGCUUUGAGGAAGUUUCCUCAGAGAAUGAGUGGCUAGACUUUUAGUUCCUUGGAGUUGAGGUUGCUGGGAAAGGUUCCAAGUGCAAGAAUUAGUAGCUUUGUGGUUUUAGUUUUUAAUGAAGAGAAAGUGUAACCUGUUAAUGGUUUUUUUAUCUUUUUAGUUAACUUAAAACACCUUCAAUUCACUUGAGCCAACACUUGGUAAGGCAAGUAAUUUCUAUCUAUGGAGAUGCACUAGUUUACCUCUUGCAAGCUUUUGGGAAGUGACUUGAAGGUAGGAUUUUCUAGAAUUGCCAACACUUGGUAAGCUUUUGGACUCUAAGGAGACAUCCAUUAGUUAUCUCUUGCGAGCUUGAGAAGGGAAGUCCAAAGUUAAAGAUCACCUUGAAUGGAAAAUUCUAUGUGAGAGGCACGAGCCAUUGCAAGUUGCAUCAGUGAGAGGGAAUUAGAGUUUGAACCCAUUAAAGGGAAGUAUCUGUAUAGCACCAGUUAGAGAAUUGACUAUAUGUUAAUUCUCUAAUGUGAGGAAAUGAACCAAAUGACCGGAGCUCUGUUUUUGCAUAAGGAACCUUCCCUGUGAACCUAAACCUCCAAGGAAUGUUUUUCUUCAUAAGUAAUUUCCAUUACUUUCUUUUUGGUUAGUUUAAGACCAAACCCUUUUCACUCAAACAUCUUUACGUUUUCUUUUGAAGCUAACCUUGAAAUGAAAGAGCACCAACUCAGAUUUGAAUUGGUAUUAGUUGAGAGUUGAAAACCCUUCCCAGUGAACGAUCCUAGAGUCACUAUGCUAUAGUAGCUUUGUCUUUGCUACCCUAGUUCAUGGUGUAAUAUGUUAUAGUUUUUGUUGAUUACUCCCUCAAUCAAGGAGCACCAGCUGGACAUGAAUCAACUGAUACACUGACUGGGCAUGAAUCAAAUUGGUAUACACAUUUGUUUUCCUAUUAUAUUUUCAUUGUCAUUUCUUUCUCUCUAUUUCUAGAAGUAUUCACUUACAUAUCUUUUUUUGAAAUUGUAAUUGAUUUUAGUUUUUUGUGCAUGUAGGUCAUCUUUUUGGGAAAUUAACCUUGUAGUUGGAUAAGUUAGCAUGAAGGAGUAUGUUGAAGACCAAAGCACAAUUGGGUUGCAUGUAAAGAAAAAUGGACUAUGUCAAGGGACUAAACUUUAAAGUUAUGACUUCUUUUUUUUGUUAUUUUAAUAUAUUUUAGCUUUUUUGUGUUUCUUGUUUAUGAAAUACAAGUUCUCUAUUUGUGAUUAAAUACUGCAAUUUAGAAAUGUAUUACCAGGUGAAAAAUUAGGUGCAACAACUAAUUUCAUUGGUACAUACUUUUUUUUCUUAUGUGUAUGCAUUAUUUCAAUAGCAGGUGAAAAAUUAGGUGCAACAAUUAUUAAAUUAAAACUAAAUUUAAAAUUAAACAAUUAUCUUCCUUGAUGUUUUUACUAAGUGUCAAGGAAUGAGAGUAACCACCAGUAACAUUUAUAAAACCCAAUAAUGGCACUAAUAAAUGUGUCAAUGUAGUGUGAACAACUAACAAUGAUACUUUUUAAGUGUCAAGGUUCUCUUCAAUGGCGCUUUCUAGAAAUAUCCUUAUAGUUCGAUAUUUGAAACUGCUAAACAAUGACACUUAUAGAAAGUGUCAAGGUUUCUUCUAGUCAACAACGGCGCUUAUAAAAGUGUCAAUGUAGUUUGAUAUAACUAAUGAUGACACUUUUUUUAAGCAUCAAGGUUCUCUUCAAUGGCGCUUUCUAGAAGCGUCAUUGUAGGCAAAUACUUAUUAUGACAGGCUAGUAGAUGACACUUUGGGGAAGCACCAUUGAAUGUAUUUCUCGACACUUAAAAAGCGUCAUGGUUAAUGUUUUUUCUUAUAGUGAACAUACAGAUGGUACUGUUCAAUUAGAAUUUAAUCCAGCUUCAAAAUACUCAUUUACUCAAGAAGUUCUCUCUACAAGACCUUCAACUUCAAGUAAAAAUUUGAAAAGCGUUAAUUUUGCUCCAAAUAUUCCUAUUCCUAUUUAUCAACAACAAGAAUCUCCUCCUAUGUCCCCUACUCAUUUUGAUAUGUGUCAUUCUCAAGUCAAUAUUAUUCAUAAGAAAAAUUAUAAGAGAACUCCUUUUAAGCCAAACAUUGAAUGGAUAAAAUUAGAUUAUUUCUCUCCUUACAAUAAACCUAGAAAUUCUUUAAGAAAACACUAUGAAAAUUAUAUGAAUCAAAAUAAAAUAACAAUUCUUUUUUUCCAUUGGUUUUUCAAACUUUGAAAGAAACGAAAUUAUAACUUUAAGAUGGGAAGAAGGAUAUCAACUAGCAUUGAAAACCUAGAGAAAUAAUUCAAAAAAUAAUUUUAACAAUAACCUCAGAAUUAGGUUCUCAACCACCCCUAAAUAAUCAUUAAUUUAAUUUUGAUAAUAAUUCUAUUUCUGCUUCACCUUUUAAAAUCCCAAGAACAAAAUAUGAAUAAAGUUUCAUAAUUUACAAAGAUAUUAGAUAAGUUCAACAACAAUUAAAUUAUAUAAAUAAUCAUCUUCAACAUAAGAAUCAAUAAACAAAAAAAAAAUUCUCAAUUUUUGUUUUCUUCUACCCCCGGAGGGAGGAUAGGAGAAACAUCAAAAUCGUCAAUUUUUCCUCAACUCUAUCAUUAUCAUCAUCAUCAUCUUCUGUUAAGUUUUUAAACCAAGCUUUCAUUAUUCUUAUAAAUGCUGCUAAAUAAAAAACACAACUCUCUACUCCAACAAAAACAAUGUUAAAAAAAAAUACAACUUAGAUUAGAUAAACUUAGUAUUAAUGGUAUCAAUCAAAAUAUGAAUCAAAUUCAAACCAUAACUAAAGAUAAAUCAAAAUGACUCCAAAUUCAAUAAAUACACCUCCUUUAAUAGUUGAUACAAUAUCUAAUAAUUUUGUAAGUAGAAAAAAUUAUUAUUCAAAGCCUGUUUUUCCUUAUGUACAAUUAGAAGAAAGAAAUUAUCAAUUAGCUGUAAGUUAUAAUGGUAGUAGUUUUUAUUAAUGAAAUAUAAGUGGUACGAGUGAACACCAAAUAAUUAACCUACUUCAUGAAAUGAUGAUGGUUGUUAUGCUUAUAGAACCAAGACUAAUAAUUAUGAUUUUCAUGUUGUGGAUGCCUUAUUAAUAAGGUUCACUAAUUUACUUAAAGGAUGAUGGGAUCAUUAUUUGAGUAAAAAUGAUAGAGAAUAUAUAUUAAAUGUGAAAAAGAUAAUAAUUAAAGAAGAAGGAACAUUAGUCCAAACUUAUGAGAAAGAUGUUGUCAAUACUUUAAUAUUUGCAAUAACAAAACAUUUUAUAGGGGAUUCAGUAUAUUUUCAAGAAAAAACAUUUGAAAUUCUCAAUAAUCUUAGAUGUCCAAAACUUCAAGAUUUCAAGUAGUAUAAAGACAUGUUUUUAGUCAAAGUCAUGGCUAGACCUGAUUGUGGAAGUCAUUAUUGGAAAGAAAAAUUUAUAUUAGGGUUACCCACUUUAUUUGCUGAAAAAGUUAGACAAAGAAUUAGAAAUGUAUAUAAUGAAAGAAUUCCUUAUGAGUCAUUAACAUAUAUAUGGAGAAUUAAUUACCUUUAUCAAUAAUGAAGUUUAUCUUUCUACACUGAUCUCAAACUAAAGAGUCAAAUGAAAAAAGAGAAACAACAUAGUAAGAAAGAGUUAGGAAAAUUUUGCUCAUAUUAUGGGUACAACACUAUAGUAGCCCAUUCAAAAAGGAAAAAUAAACAAAAUAACAUAAAAGGCAAGAAAUCAUCAACUGAGUAAAAAUUCCAAAAGAAAUUUGUAAAAAUACUAAUAGAUCAAAACCUUCUAAUAAAACAACUUUAAAAAAGAAGAUACCAACAUGUUAUAAAUGUGGAAAAGUAGGUCAUUAUUUAAAAGAUUGUCAAUUAGAAAAUAAAAUUAAUUAAUUAGAAAUAAGUGAUUUACUAAAAAAAAAAAUUAUAGGAUUAAUGAUUAGUGAAGAAUAAGACUAUUCAAUUGAAUACUAUGAAGUAGAAGAAGAAAAUCAAAUGUUAAUAAUUCAAGAAACAUCAAUUGAAGAGUCCAGUCAAGAUGAAUCAGAAAAUGAAAAGGAAUGUGAUGAUAUUUGUGUAUGCUCUUAUAAAUCAAUAAAUUUGAUUUCAAAAAAUUCAAAAACUUCCUCGAACAUUUUUAUUCAUAAUCAUCUGUCACUCAUAAAUUCAAUAUAUUUUCAAUUUUGGUAUAUUAAAGAUAGGUUGUUUAGAUAUCUUAAUUAUAUGUCAAAAAAUAUACUAACAUUUAAAAUUUUCUUAUGGAUGGAGCAAGAAUGGAUAAGUGCUAUAGUCAUCAAGGAAUUGCAUUAUGUAUUAAACUUUUGUUUCACUUAGGUUUAGAUAUUCCUAUGUGUGUUUGCCUGAGAGACGCUAUGGCAAUAAAGUUUAUUGAUUCUAUCUUUAGUAUGAUUGAUUUAAACCUUGAAAAUGGUCCUAUUUAUUUUAACUAUUAUCCAAUUUUUUCCAUGAACACAAAUGAUUCAAGUAUUUUAUCAAGGCACACUUACAUUCUUGUCUUUCAAAUGGAAUUUCCCUACACAAGGGAUCAAGUUUUGGACAUGCAUUUUUUAUGUUGCCAUAAUGAGAAGUUAAUUUUACUACACAAUAAAAGGUAAGUCAUAACUUUAAUGUUAACAACUUAACAACAAUAUAACUUAAGGUCCACUUAAGUUAUUAAGUCAUAACUAUUAAGUUUUAUCAAACACCCAAUUCUAUGUUGUAAUUUAAAAGAAUGACAAGAUAAUAAAAACUUAGAUGGACAUUGAAUGCUUUUCUUUUUAUUUUUUAAUUAAUUUUAUUUUAAAAAAUGUAAAAUAUAAAGAUUCUUUAAUAAUGCUUUUAAUUUUUGUAAGCAAUAAAUAUGUUUAUAGUUUUAAUCCUAUAUUUGAGUUUUUUAAACAAAAUAUUAAAAUGUGUGUUGAUAAAGAUGUAAUAAUAUGUAGAAAAUCAAGGGAUAAUUUUCAAUUAUUUCUUCGUAAUUUUUAUUGAUUGUUUUAUCCAUAUAUAGUAACCUUUUAUAAAAUAAUACUCUUAAGAGGAAAAAUUAUUAUCCUAAUGGGGUGAUUGAUUUAUUAACAAAUAAAUAAUUUAUUAAUAAAUAAAUAUUUAUUAAUUUAAAGAUCAUCUUUCUUAUGUAUGGUUGUGGACCCCGCAUUUCAGCUCAUGCGCUUCCACUCGAUGGCGAGCUCGAUUUUAUUUGAAAAAUGAUUUUAUUUAUUAAAAAAUGACUUGGAGUCGCCACUUAUUUUUGUUUUAUUUUUAAAAGGGUAAACAAAAUAAAAAUGAAAAACCGAGUCUGGGUCCGAGGGUCAGGUUACUUAUUGGGAAGGUACGAUAAAAUAAAACAUCUGGUUUGAGGAGGGUAAGUAAGAGAACAACUCAUGGGUAUUUUGGUCCUCCUUUCUUGGACUCAAUGAUCUGGUUUGAGGAUGAGUCAUUGGAAGCUUCAGUAGAAAUGGCCUUCACCUCCACUAGUCCAACUUGCACAUCCAUGGUACCAGCAACAAUGGGCUCCUUUCCAUUGCCACUAGAGCUUCCAUUCACAAUGCUUCCAAUGGAUGAUUGAUUCGCAUGUAACUCCAAAUGGGUCAUUUAAUCAAAAACAUUUAUAAAACCUAUGACCUCAUACUAGUGUAGCAAAGCUACUAUAGUAUAGUGGCUCUAGGGUCGAACUUUGGGAUGGGUUUUCAUUCUACCAGUGAUAUACUCAUGAUUAUGAAUUGAAUUUAAUGAUUUCCUUUAUAAAAAAAAACUUAGAGUUUAAAAGAAAAUAAAAUUUGUUUUGAAAGUGUUUGAAACUAAAUUAACAUAAACUAAUUAAAAAUGGAAGAAGGAAAGUCUCCCGGAGCUCAGGAUUGCUAGGAUCAAGUUUAGAAUGCAAAGUGGAAAAUUCCGGAUUUUUCUCCUCGCAUUGGGGAUUUAACCUAUAGUUAUUUCCCGAACCGGUAUAGGUUUAACAAUGAAGAUUUAAUCCAUAAUAAUCAAUAUAAAUGGUAGUCAAAGUCCAUUAAUGGCUUUAGACACUAUAGGUCUUCACCUUGAACCGCUUUCCAAUGACUCGUACAUGAUAACUAAUGGACUAAUAUGGAUCUAGCAAUAAACAUCCAUAAAGACCUGAAGCUUACCAUGUAUUGGUCAUUNNNNNNNNNNNNNNNNNNNNNNNNNNNNNNNNNNNNNNNNNNNNNNNNNNNNNNNNNNNNNNNNNNNNNNNNNNNNNNNNNNNNNNNNNNNNNNNNNNNNGUCAUUUAAUCAAAAACAUUUAUAAAACCUAUGACCUUAUACUAGUGUAGCAAAGCUACUAUAGUAUAGUGGCUCUAGGGUCGAACUUUGGGAUGGGUUUUCAUUCUACCAGUGAUAUACUCAUGAUUAUGAAUUGAAUUUAAUGAUUUCCUUUAUAAAAAAAAACUUAGAGUUUAAAAGAAAAUAAAAUUUGUUUUGAAAGUGUUUGAAACUAAAUUAACAUAAACUAAUUAAAAAUGGAAGAAGGAAAGUCUCCCGGAGCUCAGGAUUGCUAGGAUCAAGUUUAGAAUGCAAAGUGGAAAAUUCCGGAUUUUUCUCCUCGCAUUGGGGAUUUAACCUAUAGUUAUUUCCCGAACCGGUAUAGGUUUAACAAUGAAGAUUUAAUCCAUAAUAAUCAAUAUAAAUGGUAGUCAAAGUCCAUUAAUGGCUUUAGACACUAUAGGUCUUCACCUUGAACCGCUUUCCAAUGACUCGUACAUGAUAACUAAUGGACUAAUAUGGAUCUAGCAAUAAACAUCCAUAAAGACCUGAAGCUUACCAUGUAUUGGUCAUUCAAAGUGAUUCUAAGGGAUUUAAAGCAAAACUUUAGAUUUAAAAGCCAUUUAUGAAUUCCAACUACCUGAAUUUAAUGCACGAGUGUUUUCCACCUUGCAUCUGGACUUUUCACCUAGCUUCCAUCACUCCAAGAAACCAAAAGUUUAGCCUCUCAUCCUCUGAGAAAACAUCCUCAGAGGUUGUUUGGCUUCCAAGAAAAAGAAAAUAGUAGAAAGAAAAUGGAAAACGAGAGAGCUCUGUAAAAAUUUCUAAGUGUCAAACGUAAUACGUAUAUUUCAUAUCCAAGAGGUAAUUUCCACCCCUUAUAUAGUCUUUACAAAAGCAAAAGCUUGUGAUUGGUUAGUUACAAGGAUAAGAAAGGAAAUUACAUCAAAAAAUACAUAGGAAAAUAUCUAAAGUGGAGUCGGCAAAAACAGAGCAAAAUUUGCACCACGCAAGGGGUGUGCGAAAUUUUCGCACACCAUUCACACAGCUAAGGGGAAUUUCGCACACCUGGAGCAGUUGUCUUCCGAAAGCCAUAUCUUCCUCGUUUCAGCUCCAAAUUAUACACGGUUUGAAGCGUUGGAUUCUUGACUUCCUGAGCUUUGAAAUGGUAUAUAGCAUGUAGAAAAUGGACUUCGGGAAGUGCUCCAAAAGUGCCAACGAAGACUGCAGCUGCUGUCCUCUGUUUUCCUCCUUGCUUCUCUUUGCUUUUCUCCUUUGAUUGGCUUGUCUUAAUGAUCCAAAAAGAUGUCAAAACACUAAAACUAGCCACAAAUAUGAUUAGAAGACAUUGCUAGGUCCUUAACAUGCCAAUUGGACUAAAGAUGGAGAACUACUACACAAAAGUGCUUAAAACAUAAUGCAUUAAAGGUGUAAAAUAGCACUUUUUGGGUAGUAAUCACUCCCCCCAACUGACACAUUGCUAGUCCCUGAGCAAUGAAGGAGAGAAAAAGAAAGAAAAAUAGAUAAUAUAAUAAUUUACAAAAUCAUGCUGAUCACUCCAAAAAAUAACCAAGUGGCAUGAUUGGAUCAAACACUCUCGUGGCAAGUCAAGGAUAUAAAACUCAAUCANNNNNNNNNNNNNNNNNNNNNNNNNNNNNNNNNNNNNNNNNNNNNNNNNNNNNNNNNNNNNNNNNNNNNNNNNNNNNNNNNNNNNNNNNNNNNNNNNNNNNNNNNNNNNNNNNNNNNNNNNNNNNNNNNNNNNNNNNNNNNNNNNNNNNNNNNNNNNNNNNNNNNNNNNNNNNNNNNNNNNNNNNNNNNNNNNNNNNNNNNNNNNNNNNNNNNNNNNNNNNNNNNNNNNNNNNNNNNNNNNNNNNNNNNNNNNNNNNNNNNNNNNNNNNNNNNNNNNNNNNNNNNNNNNNNNNNNNNNNNNNNNNNNNNNNNNNNNNNNNNNNNNNNNNNNNNNNNNNNNNNNNNNNNAAUGAGGUCAAUGGCACCAAGUCGAUAUUUUCCAAAGUUAGGGGGGGUGAGAAAGUUUUCCAUCUUAUAACUGGAAUCUAAUGUGUUCAGUGUGUGAAAAGAUUAGAGUGGAAGACUUAAGCUGNAAAACAAAAGAAGCUUCAACAAUUUAUCAACUUUAAUAAGCAUAAUACAAACUCUGAGACUAUGGCAAUAAGAUAAGAAUUUAAUUUCUCCCAUUUACUUUUGAGAAUUUAUCUUUGAGAAAACAAAGAGAGUUUGCAAAAAAUUUGUUAGCAAAAUAACUUAACAAAUUCAACAAAUUACUUCCUCAACUCUCCCCUCAACUAAGAUGAACAUUGUCCCCAAUGUUCCAAAAGCAAGCGAUAAAAUAAGGGAGGAAGUGAUACCUCCUGAUAGUAAGGGACUCUGAAUGAACAGGAGAAACCACAUGUUGCAUAAGAAAAGGAAAAUCAUAAGAGUGAUGAAAAGAGGAAAUAAAAUGGAAUAGCUAAAAUACACUAAAAGAGAAGAUGUCUAUAUAAACUGAGAAAGUACAAUAUACAAAAUAAACAUGGAAUACAUCCAAUCCCAGUAUAAAAGUGGUCCAAAAUAUAUAAGACAUCCCAAAACGUAGCAUAUAGAUACAAAAAAAGAAGAGGAGUGAUCGUAUGAUCAAGUAGUAGGCUCCUCUGGUGGAUAGGAGGGGUCCUCCGCUGCAACUGUGGAAGGCACCGCUACAGAUGGAGCUGGUGGCACAAGACCGAGGUGCUGCUGAAUCUCACGGAGAAUGAGAGUCUGCUGGUCCUGCUGAGUCUGGAAGUGGUCCAUGCGCUCCAUAAUGGCCGUCUGAGUAGUGGUCAAAGUCUGGAAAGAAGUGAGCAAGGCACGAUACUCUGGACCAGGGAUAGUAAUGGGCGACUCUGAUGUAGGAGGAACAACAGGUGGGGCAUCAGAUGAUGCUGCCUCCGGUACUGGCUGUGGAGGGUCUGUAGUGGACGGAGCAGGAGGGACUUCCCUUGGCUCGGAAAGUUCUGGGGACUGGCGAUGGAGCCAUAUCUGAGUCCAUUGGUCAAGAGAGAAGCUCUCUCGACAAUGGCGGCGGGGCUCUGAACGAGGGUCUGUAGGAAAACCCAUAUGCGCCAAAACAUGGCAUAGCAGCCGAGGGAAAAGUAAAGGAAUGGAGUCUGCCCUCGCAAGAUGCCGCGUAUGCACCUUCUCCUCAAAAUGGAGGAGAGCGGCCAUAAUCAAAUGAUGGGGGCCAAAAUAGUAGCCCUCAGAGAUACGGAAUAAUGCCUCCAUAAUGGCCCCUCGUCUCUGUACUUUAUGCUGAAGAGGAAAAAGAUUGGCGCGAAGCACCACAUCAACUAGAAGCAUCUCUGGGGGAAGCUCUCUCCUCAAAAUGGUCCUCUGGGAAGAUGUCCCUCGAGAUAGGAUACGAACCAUGUCCCACUCAGAAAAUGGGACCCAGCGUCUAAAUGUAGCGGGAUCUACUGGUGCAAAAGGGAUAUGGAAGGCAUCGGCAAUCUGUCUAGCCCCCAAAAUACUCUGGCGUCCAUCAAUGGUAAAAAGGAUCAAGGCAGGUACUGGGACGCCACGAGUAGUCAUAGACUGGUAAAAGUCUAAAGCUACUCGAGGAUAAAAGAACUGGGGCAGAGUCAUAAAGGGUAUAAGAUGGUACCUCUCAAGUAGGCGAUAUGAAUCCCGCAACUCAGGCUGCUGUCGCAUAAGAGAGUGAUCAAAAUAUGCCUCGACAUGAAAGUCUCUCGAUCGGCAAUCUGAAUUGCCCUCAAUGGGCAAGCUGGGUCUACGGCGCCUGGCGGAAGAAGGCUGAUACUGUGAAUCCCGAGGUGCUCUGGAGGAAUCUCCUGGCUUUGAAGUCUUGGCUCUCUUUGUAGGAGGACUCCGAGGCAGAACUUGUGGUGGGGCCACAGACGUGGCAGAUGCUUUCCUCGUAUGGUAUCUGCUCUGAGGGGCAGAAUCAGGUAAAUGUGAGGGUGCAGCUAGUGGGGCCCGCACAGGGGCAGCUCUCUGACUGCUCUGGGGGGCUGUGGUAGAUCCUCCUUGGGUCUUUGGCAUGAUGGAGCGAUNNNNNNNNNNNNNNNNNNNNNNNNNNNNNNNNNNNNNNNNNNNNNNNNNNNNNNNNNNNNNNNNNNNNNNNNNNNNNNNNNNNNNNNNNNNNNNNNNNNNGAGCUUUGAAAUGGUAUAUAGCAUGUAGAAAAUGGACUUCGAGAAGUGCUCCAAAAGUGCCAACGAAGACUGCAGCUGCUGUCCUCUGUUUUCCUCCUUGCUUCUCUUUGCUUUUCUCCUUUGAUUGGCUUGUCUUAAUGAUCCAAAAAGAUGUCAAAACACUAAAACUAGCCACAAAUAUGAUUAGAAGACAUUGCUAGGUCCUUAACAUGCCAAUUGGACUAAAGAUGGAGAACUACUACACAAAAGUGCUUAAAACAUAAUGCAUUAAAGGUGUAAAAUAGCACUUUUUGGGUAGUAAUCACUCCCCCCAACUGACACAUUGCUAGUCCCUGAGCAAUGAAGGAGAGAAAAAGAAAGAAAAAUAGAUAAUAUAAUAAUUUACAAAAUCAUGCUGAUCACUCCAAAAAAUAACCAAGUGGCAUGAUUGGAUCAAACACUCUCGUGGCAAGUCAAGGAUAUAAAACUCAAUCAUCAACACGAGUCAUCAAAUAACUUACUUAUCACAAUAUUCAAAGAGCGGUCAUUAUGCAAAUUUGAGUAUCAAAAUAAUUUCCACUUCCAAAGGAUCAAUUCUUAAUAUUCCACAAAAAUCUAAGUGUUAAGGCGCUUAGUUUCCAAUUAUAGUAUGUCAAACUAUAUUCUCCCCCCAACUAAGGUUUUUCUCCAACUUUAGCAACACUAACUCAUAUAUAAAAGGCUAAGAACACACCUUUCCUUUUUUUUUUUUUUAAGUGUCACUCCACCCAUCCACCCAUGUAACGAGCAGUGAGGUCGGGGAACUCCCAACCAGUAAAGGCUUAGGACACCAGGCUUUAAAGAUUUUCACCAUAUGCCCCUCGGACCUUGCUCGGGUUUCAAAGCAAGUGAAGCAAAAAUUAUUUUCAUAAGACACAUUGGCCUUUAAUAAGGUGUCCCAACACUAAUAGAAUGAGGUCAAUGGCACCAAGUCGAUAAUUUCCAAAGUUUAGGGGGGUGAGAAAGUUUUCCAUCUUAUAACUGGAAUCUAAUGUGUUCAGUGUGUGAAAAGAUUAGAGUGGAAGACUUAAGCUUGAAAACAAAAGAAGCUUCAACAAUUUAUCAACUUUAAUAAGCAUAAUACAAACUCUGAGACUAUGGCAAUAAGAUAAGAAUUUAAUUUCUCCCAUUUACUUUUGAGAAUUUAUCUUUGAGAAAACAAAGAGAGUUUGCAAAAAAUUUGUUAGCAAAAUAACUUAACAAAUUCAACAAAUUACUUCCUCAACUCUCCCCUCAACUAAGAUGAACAUUGUCCCCAAUGUUCCAAAAGCAAGCGAUAAAAUAAGGGAGGAAGUGAUACCUCCUGAUAGUAAGGGACUCUGAAUGAACAGGNNNNNNNNNNNNNNNNNNNNNNNNNNNNNNNNNNNNNNNNNNNNNNNNNNNNNNNNNNNNNNNNNNNNNNNNNNNNNNNNNNNNNNNNNNNNNNNNNNNNNNNNNNNNNNNNNNNNNNNNNNNNNNNNNNNNNNNNNNNNNNNNNNNNNNNNNNNNNNNNNNNNNNNNNNNNNNNNNNNNNNNNNNNNNNNNNNNNNNNNNNNNNNNNNNNNNNNNNNNNNNNNNNNNNNNNNNNNNNNNNNNNNNNNNNNNNNNNNNNNNNNNNNNNNNNNNNNNNNNNNNNNNNNNNNNNNNNNNNNNNNNNNNNNNNNNNNNNNNNNNNNNNNNNNNNNNNNNNNNNNNNNNNNNNNNNNNNNNNNNNNNNNNNNNNNNNNNNNNNNNNNNNNNNNNNNNNNNNNNNNNNNNNNNNNNNNNNNNNNNNNNNNNNNNNNNNNNNNNNNNNNNNNNNNNNNNNNNNNNNNNNNNNNNNNNNNNNNNNNNNNNNNNNNNNNNNNNNNNNNNNNNNNNNNNNNNNNNNNNNNNNNNNNNNNNNNNNNNNNNNNNNNNNNNNNNNNNNNNNNNNNNNNNNNNNNNNNNNNNNNNNNNNNNNNNNNNNNNNNNNNNNNNNNNNNNNNNNNNNNNNNNNNNNNNNNNNNNNNNNNNNNNNNNNNNNNNNNNNNNNNNNNNNNNNNNNNNNNNNNNNNNNNNNNNNNNNNNNNNNNNNNNNNNNNNNNNNNNNNNNNNNNNNNNNNNNNNNNNNNNNNNNNNNNNNNNNNNNNNNNNNNNNNNNNNNNNNNNNNNNNNNNNNNNNNNNNNNNNNNNNNNNNNNNNNNNNNNNNNNNNNNNNNNNNNNNNNNNNNNNNNNNNNNNNNNNNNNNNNNNNNNNNNNNNNNNNNNNNNNNNNNNNNNNNNNNNNNNNNNNNNNNNNNNNNNNNNNNNNNNNNNNNNNNNNNNNNNNNNNNNNNNNNNNNNNNNNNNNNNNNNNNNNNNNNNNNNNNNNNNNNNNNNNNNNNNNNNNNNNNNNNNNNNNNNNNNNNNNNNNNNNNNNNNNNNNNNNNNNNNNNNNNNNNNNNNNNNNNNNNNNNNNNNNNNNNNNNNNNNNNNNNNNNNNNNNNNNNNNNNNNNNNNNNNNNNNNNNNNNNNNNNNNNNNNNNNNNNNNNNNNNNNNNNNNNNNNNNNNNNNNNNNNNNNNNNNNNNNNNNNNNNNNNNNNNNNNNNNNNNNNNNNNNNNNNNNNNNNNNNNNNNNNNNNNNNNNNNNNNNNNNNNNNNNNNNNNNNNNNNNNNNNNNNNNNNNNNNNNNNNNNNNNNNNNNNNNNNNNNNNNNNNNNNNNNNNNNNNNNNNNNNNNNNNNNNNNNNNNNNNNNNNNNNNNNNNNNNNNNNNNNNNNNNNNNNNNNNNNNNNNNNNNNNNNNNNNNNNNNNNNNNNNNNNNNNNNNNNNNNNNNNNNNNNNAAGCCUAAACCAUAAGCAUUCAAGCCAUGGUUUCUUCAUAAAAAAACCCAUUGCCGCCGGCCAUGGGUGCUCCCAAUCUUCAAUUUUCCUCUUGAAAAGCUCCCAAUUUUCAAGCCUUCUCAUCAUGACAAAUCUCUUUCAUACCUAAGCCAGCUUUUCCCACCCUCAAAGACCACAAAUUCUCACCAUCUCAGGGGGGGGUGGUGUGCGAGAUUUUCGCACAGGGGAGGGGGGGUGUGCGAAAUUUUCGCACAGGGUACUAUUCACCCGUGCGUUUGAAGAAUUGGGGCUUGUUUGAGAUGGUGAGAAUUUGUGGCCUUUGAGGGUGGGAAAAGCUGGCUUAGGUAUGAAAAAGAUUUGUCAUGAUGAGAAGGCUUGAAAAUUGGGAGCUUUUCAAGAGGAAAAUUGAAGAUUGGGAGCUCCCAUGGCCGGCGGCAAUGGGUUUUUUAUGAAGAAACCAUGGCUUGAAUGCUUAUGGUUUAGGCUUUGGUUUGGUAAGAACAAGGUUUGGAUUGGAUUGUGGAUGGAUUUAGAGGGUUGGGUGAAGAUUUGAAAGGAUUUUGAUGGUGGAAGGAGAUGAAAUUGCCGAAAAUGGGAAGUGGUGAAUAGUGGAUGCCGUGGCUAUGGAGUGGAGCUAUGGAUAAUAAUGGCUACCAUAGUGGUGCUGAUGAUGAUGGAUGAUGAAGGAAAGGAGCUUUGUGGAUGGAAAUGGGUGAUCGGAAGAGAGGCUUUGAGAGAAUUGAAGAAGAAGCUAAGACUUUGAAGUGGAGAACAAAGCUUUUAAAGAGAAAAAUGAAUUUCGCACAGGGGAAAAUGGUGUGCGAAAUUUUCGCAUACCUGUGAUUCUCCAAGACAGAGAGCAUGGUUUUGAAAAUUGGCGCAAAAAACGAAUUCGCACAAGGUUCGCACAAGGUUCGCAUUCCUGUGAAAUUCGCACAGGGGACCGAGAGCAUGUAAUUUUUGAAAAGUGGUGCAAAAAUGGAAUUCGCACAGGGUAAAUGGUGUGCGAAAUUUUCGCACACCACAAGGGGGUGUGCGAAUUUUGCUGAGCCUUGUCUUAUCUCCCCUGUUUUCCCUUGUUUUCACCAAGACUUCAUUCUUCAAGCCUUCCUACCUACAUGUUAGCACAAAAAACACAAUUCAAACCACAUUAGAAUGAAAUUAAAGUCAAAAAUAGAAAUCAAAACAUGCAUAAACACAAGAAAACACUAGAUUAAACUAAAAUCAACUUAAAAGAAAACAAAAAGAGGAUGAACUUUUUAGUAUUUGGAGAGACUAAGUUCAACCAUGAACCAAGUGUUUUCAUGUUGGAGGUGGAUCAAGGAGGAUGAAUUCCUCCUUGUCUCGGGAAAAAGAUUCAAUAUAGGGUUUGAGACGAUGCCCAUUAACUUUGAAAGUUCGAGUGCUAUUGAAGUUGAGUAGUUCCACUACUCCAUUUGGUUGCACUUCAUGAAUUAUGAAAGGACCCGUCCAUCUUGAUUUCAAUUUUCCCGGAAAAAGAUGAAGCUUAGAGUCAUAAAGCAAGACUCUUUGUCCCUUGGCAAAAUUCUUUUGAUUUACCAAAUGAUCAUGCCAUUUCUUCAACCUCUCCUUUGCAAUUUUUUGAAUUGAGGUAAGCAUCAUUCCUCAUUUCCUCCAAUUCAUUCAAAUCCAAACAUCUUUUCAACCCAGCUCUUGUCAAAUCCAUGUUGAGUUUUUUUAUUGCUCACCAUGCUUUGUAUUCAAUCUCCACUGGAAGAUGGCACGCUUUGCCAUAAACAAGGCGAUAAGGGGACAUUCCAAGAAUGGUCUUGUAAGCGGUCCUAUACGCCCAUAAGGAAUCUAGGAGCUUAAUAGACCAAUCCUUCCUAUUCACAUUCACCACCUUCAUUAAUAUAUUCUUGAUCUCCCGGUUGGCUAACUCAACUUGGCCACUUGUUUGAGGGUGAUAGGGUGUAGCUACCUUGUGCUUAACCCCAUAUUUGGCUAGAAGAGUCUCAAAAGGUUUAUUGCAAAAGUGGGUUCCUCCAUCACUGAUAAUGGCCUUAGGCACUCCAAAUCUUGCAAAGAUGUUGUCCUUGAGGAAUUUAAGAAUCACCUUAUGAUCAUUGCUCCUACAUGGGAUUACUUCUACCCACUUAGAGACAUAAUCCACUCCCACCAAAAUGUAGGAAUGUCCAAAUGACAUUGGAAAUGGUCCCAUGAAGUCUAUCCCCCAAACAUCAAAGACAUCCACUAUCAAAAUGGGAUUCAAGGGCAUCAUAUUUCGGUGUGUUAGCUUACCAAGCCUUUGACACCGAUCACAUCCCUUGCACAUAGAGUGGGCAUCCUUGAAAAGAGAGGGCCACCAAAAACCUGAUUGGAUCACUUUCAUUGCUGUUUUCUGGGAGGCAAAAUGACCUCCACAUGCAUUAUCAUGGCAAUGGGAAAGAAUUCCUAAUUGCUCUUGUUCAGGAACACAUUUCCUUAUGAUUUGAUCCGCACAAUAUUUGAAAAGAAAGGGCUCCUCCCAAUAAUAGGCAUGGAUCUUAGCAAAGAAAUGCCUCUUGUCUUGGGCACUCCACUCACUUGGUACUUCUCCAGUAACCAAGAAAUUUGCAAUGUGAGAAUACCAUGGAGCUACCUCUAUUGACAUGAGAGACUCCUCAGGGAAGUCAUCAUUGAUAGGCAAACCAUGUGAGUCAUGUGAUAUCACAAGUCUUGACAAGUGGUCAGCUACCACAUUUUCUACUCCCUUUUUAUCCCUGAUUUAGAGAUUAAAUUCUUGGAGCAAAAGGAUCCAUCUUAUCAAUCUUGCCUUGGCAUCUUGCUUGGUUAGCAAGUACUUCAAGGCGGAAUGGUCAGUGAACACCACUAUAGAGGACCCUACCAAAUAAGCACGAAACUUAUCCAAGGCAAAAACUACUGCCAACAACUCCUUCUCAGUAGUUGUGUAGUUCCUUUGAGCCUCGUUCAAAGUUUUGCUCGCANNNNNNNNNNNNNNNNNNNNNNNNNNNNNNNNNNNNNNNNNNNNNNNNNNNNNNNNNNNNNNNNNNNNNNNNNNNNNNNNNNNNNNNNNNNNNNNNNNNNNNNNNNNNNNNNNNNNNNNNNNNNNNNNNNNNNNNNNNNNNNNNNNNNNNNNNNNNNNNNNNNNNNNNNNNNNNNNNNNNNNNNNNNNNNNNNNNNNNNNNNNNNNNNNNNNNNNNNNNNNNNNNNNNNNNNNNNNNNNNNNNNNNNNNNNNNNNNNNNNNNNNNNNNNNNNNNNNNNNNNNNNNNNNNNNNNNNNNNNNNNNNNNNNNNNNNNNNNNNNNNNNNNNNNNNNNNNNNNNNNNNNNNNNNNNNNNNNNNNNNNNNNNNNNNNNNNNNNNNNNNNNNNNNNNNNNNNNNNNNNNNNNNNNNNNNNNNNNNNNNNNNNNNNNNNNNNNNNNNNNNNNNNNNNNNNNNNNNNNNNNNNNNNNNNNNNNNNNNNNNNNNNNNNNNNNNNNNNNNNNNNAAACAGUAGAAAGGAUGUCCUGAGACUCUCUCAAGGACUUGGUCCAUGAAAGGCAAAGAAAAAUGGUCCUUCCUAGUCACUGAAUUCAACCUCUAUAGUCUAUACACACCCUCCAUCCUGAGGUAGGAUGUGUAGAGACUUCCUCCCCUUUCUCAUUCUGGACCACAGUGAUUCCAGAUUUCUUUGGGACUACUUGGGUGGGGCUCACCCACAAACUGUCUGAAAUGGGAUAUAUGAUCCCAGCUUGGAGUAGCUUCAGAACUUCACCCCUCACCACCUCUUGCACGUGAGGAUUCAACCUCCUCUGGGGCUGCCUCACUGGUUUUGCAUCAUCCUCCAUAUAGAUAUGGUGGGUGCACACCAAAGGGCUAAUCCCUUUCAGAUCAGAAAUUUUCCAUCCAAUGGCUUUCUUGCAUUUCCUGAGGACUCCCAAAAGAUUAUCCUCUUGAUCAAUAGUAAGAGUUGAAGAAAUCACCACUGGACAUUUCUCAUUUUCCUCCAAAUAUGCAUAUUUCAAAUCAACAGGAAGUGGCUUCAAAACAAGUUUUGGAGGGUCCUCCACAGUUGCUUCUUGUGAGUCUUCCUGGUUGAACACUGGUAAGAUCUCUUCCCGUCUCCUCCAAGGAGACAUGAUGGCUAGAACAUCAGAGGGUUCAGGUAACCCUUCUUCAAACAUUUCAAGGUUUUCACUCAAGCUCUCUUGUAAAUUCUUGUCAUAAUGCUCUUCAACCAAGGUGUUGAUCAAGCACACCUCCUCCAAUCCUUCCUCUUCUUCUGGGUGAAGAUGCCUCUUGCAUAGGUGGAAUAUGUUUAAUUCCAAGGUCAUAUUCCCAAAUGUGAGCUGCAUCACCCCAUUUCUACAAUUGAUAAUGGCAUUGGAGGUAGCUAGGAAAGGUCUCCCAAGGAUGAUUGGUCCAUAGUUUGCUUCCUUCACAAUGGGAUCAGUAUCAAGCACAACAAAAUCCACAGGAUAGUAGAAUUUGUCCACUUGAACUAGAACAUCCUCUAUCACCCCUCUUGGGAUUUUGACUGACCUGUCAGCUAGGGAGAGAGUGAUGGUUGUGGGCUUCAAUCCUCCAAGUCCCAGUUGCUUGUACACAGAGUAUGGGAGCAAAUUCACACUUGCCCCCAAGUCUAGUAAAGCUUUCUCCACAUGUGUCCCUCCAAUGUUGACUGAAAUGGUGGGGCAUCCCGGAUCUUUGUACUUAACUGGAGACUUACUCUGAAUGAUAGCACUUACUUGCUCAGUGAGGAAUGCAUUCUUUGUCACAUGUAACCCUCUCUUGACCGUGCACAAGUCCUUUAGAAACUUUGCAUAUGUGGGGACUUGCUUGAUCAUAUCAAGUAAGGGUAUAUUCACCUUCACUUGUCUCAAGACUUCAAGAAUUUCUGAUGAAUUCUUGAUUUCCUUCUUUCCAUGUAAAGCUUGAGGAAAAGGGGGAGGCAUAUGUUUCUUCAUCAUAUCCUCUUUAAUCACUAUCCUUGGCUCUUCUUCAAUGCUUGAUUUGGAUGCACUUUUCUUCCCACUCUUCUCUUCUUGGUUAUUGCUCUCUUUAACCAAGGUUUUCUUUGACAUGAGUUCUUCAUCUUGCCUUAACUUAGGCAGGGGUUGAUCAACCUCUUUUCCACUCCUUAAAGUGAUCACAGCUUUAACCUCCCUCAACUUUGAAGACUCCCCCUCUUGGGUUUCAACUUCAUGAACACCCUUGGGAUUUUGGCUUGGUUGAGAGGGAAACUUUCCCUUCUCAUUCACAGUGUUGAGGUUGGUAAGCCUAGAGAUGGAGUAUUGAAUAUUAUCUAUCUUCUGAGAUAGAUCAUUUUGCAUCCCCUCCAUUCUCUUAAUUUGAGAACUCUCAACAUUUUCAAUCUUUUGAUGCAAUUGAGAGUUGAUUGCCUUUUGUUCACCCACAAAGUCACCCAUGACUUUACUUAGGUUCACAAUGGCUUGCUCCACUGAAGAGGUUUGUUGAGGUGCUUGGGUUUGGCCUUGUGGUUGGUAUGGAGGUUGUCUUGGUUUCCAAGAAAAAUUUUGGUGGUUUCUCCAGCUUGAAUUAUAGGUGUUUCCAUAAGGUGCAUUGUUGUUAGGCCUAAAUUGCCCCACAACAUUGGCUUGAUCACCUAACAUCUCCCUCACAGCUGGCAUGGUUGGGCACUCAUCUACCACAUGAUCACAUGAUUGGCAAAUGGUGCAUGGCAUGGCAUGGGCUUGGGUUUCGGAAAUGGCUUGGACUUCAUGCAUCUUUUUCAACUCAAGUUCUUCCAAUCUCCUUGCUAUUGUUGCCACUUUAGCUUUCAUGUCCAUGUCUUCACUUAAUACAUACAUUCCACCUUUUGGAUUUUGGGUUGGUUGGAAGGGAGACUUCCCUUUCUCUCUUGAGUUGGGCUCAUCCCAUCCUCUUGACACCUCAGACACAUAACUUAAAAAGUCCAUGGCUUCUUCCGGAUUCUUACUCAUAAAAUCUCCUCCACACAUGGUUUCAAGAAUUUGCUUCAUGGAGGAAGACAUCCCAUCAUAGAAAUAGCUCACCAAGAGCCAUGUAUCAAAGCCAUGAUGAGGACAAGCAUUGAUGGCCUCCAUAUACCUUUCCCAACAUUCAUGGAACUUCUCAUUUUCUUUUGCAGAAAAGUUUGAGAUUUGUCUCUUCAACCCAUUGGUCCUAUGGGUGGGGAAAAAUUUCUUCAAAAAUUCGGCCUGAAGAUCAACCCAAUUCCUUAUGCUCCUUGGCCUUAAAGAAUUAAGCCAUAUUUUUGCCUUGUCCUUCAAAGUGAAAGGGAAUAGCUUGAGUCUCAUCAAGUCUAUUGAAGCUCCUCCCUCUCUAAAGGUAUUGCACACCUCCUCAAACUCCUUGAUGUGGGCAUAUGGAUUCUCACUCUCCAUUCCAUGGAAAAUUGGUAGAAGGGGCACAAUAUGGGGCCUUAUAACCAGCUGCUCAAGAGGAGGUAUGAUACAUGAGGGUGCACUCAUCCUUGGUGGGUGCAUUCUAUCCCUCAUGGAUAAAUAUGCAUUGGGAUUACCCCCUUGACCUUGUUGAGAAUUCUGAUCCUCUGAUGGAGGGUCCAUGAUGUUAACACAAAUAUCCAACUCUGUGUCUUGAGGAUUCUCAAUCCUUACUAAUCUUCUCUCUUGGUCCUGAAUCCAAUAGGGAAUGCAAAAGCUACUACUUACCUGAAAUAAAACAAAAACAACAAAAACAAAAGAAACCUAGAAAAAAAAAAAAUUAAGGUUAGAAAGAAAAUGAAAAUAAACCUAACAAAAAUAAAAUGAAAGGAAAUGUAAUUAGUGAAAAAGGAAUUCACCAAACUUGUGAUGGAAAUCACAAGUAGCCUCUAAAAGGUUGCAUCACUGUAUUGUGGCACCAUCCCCGGCAACGGCGCCAUUUUGAUUCGCAUGUAACUCCAAAUGGGUCAUUUAAUCAAAAACAUUUAUAAAACCUGUGACCUCAUACUAGUGUAGCAAAGCUACUAUAGUAUAGUGGCUCUAGGGUCGAACUCUGGGAUGGGUUUUCAUUCUACCAGUGAUAUACUCAUGAUUAUGAAUUGAAUUUAAUGAUUUCCUUUAUAAAAAAAAACUUAGAGUUUAAAAGAAAAUAAAAUUUGUUUUGAAAGUGUUUGAAACUAAAUUAACAUAAACUAAUUAAAAAUGGAAGAAGGAAAGUCUCCCGGAGCUCAGGAUUGCUAGGAUCAAGUUUAGAAUGCAAAGUGGAAAAUUCCGGAUUUUUCUCCUCGCAUUGGGGAUUUAACCUAUAGUUAUUUCCCGAACCGGUAUAGGUUUAACAAUGAAGAUUUAAUCCAUAAUAAUCAAUAUAAAUGGUAGUCAAAGUCCAUUAAUGGCUUUAGACACUAUAGGUCUUCACCUUGAACCGCUUUCCAAUGACUCGUACAUGAUAACUAAUGGACUAAUAUGGAUCUAGCAAUAAGCAUCCAUAAAGACCUGAAGCUUACCAUGUAUUGGUCAUUCAAAGUGAUUCUAAGGGAUUUAAAGUAAAACUUUAGAUUUAAAAGCCAUUUAUGAAUUCCAACUACCUGAAUUUAAUGCACGAGCGUUUUCCACCUUGCAUCUGGACUUUUCACCUAGCUUCCAUCACUCCAAGAAACCAAAAGUUUAGCCUCUCAUCCUCUGAGAAAACAUCCUCAGAGGUUGUUUGGCUUCCAAGAAAAAGAAAAUAGUAGAAAGAAAAUGGAAAACGAGAGAGCUCUGUAAAAAUUUCUAAGUGUCAAACGUAAUACGUAUAUUUCAUAUCCAAGAGGUAAUUUCCACCCCUUAUAUAGUCUUUACAAAAGCAAAAGCUUGUGAUUGGUUAGUUACAAGGAUAAGAAAGGAAAUUACAUCAAAAAAUACAUAGGAAAAUAUCUAAAGUGGAGUCAGCAAAAACAGAGCAAAAUUUGCACCACGCAAGGGGUGUGCGAAAUUUUCGCACACCUGAAGAAGGUGUGCGAAUUUCGCACACCAUUCGCACAGCUAAGGGGGUGUGCGAAAUUUUCGCACACCUGGAGCAGUUGUCUUCCGAAAGCCAUAUCUUCCUCGUUUCAGCUCCAAAUUAUACACAGUUUAAAGCGUUGGAUUCUUGACUUCCUGAGCUUUGAAAUGGUAUAUAGCAUGUAGAAAAUGGAAUUCGGGAAGUGCUCCAAAAGUGCCAAUGAAGACUGCAGCUGCUGUCCUCUAUUUUCCUCCUUGCUUCUCUUUGCUUUUCUCCUUUGAUUGGCUUGUCUUAAUGAUCCAAAAAGAUGUCAAAACACUAAAACUAGCCACAAAUAUGAUUAGAAGACAUUGCUAGGUCCUUAACAUGCCAAUUGGACUAAAGAUGGAGAACUACUACACAAAAGUGCUUAAAACAUAAUGCAUUAAAGGUGUAAAAUAGCACUUUUUGGGUAGUAAUCAAUGAUGCUGCCAGAUUGGCUUGUUCUUGCUUUAGGGAAAUAGAGACCAGCAGGAAAGAGGAGGAAGGGGGAGAGAGAGAGAAAGGUUGGGUUCGAUGGGUCGUGUGGCCAUACAAAGGUAGGGGGAUGGUGGUGGUUUCAUCAAUGUUCACAAAACUAAUCAUUCUUCACUUGAGGGUGCAUUGAGGAUGACGAUAAUCUUCACCGGAAAAAUAACAAGUAGGACGGUGGUGGAAAAAGAUGCAUGAAGAUAAAAAAGAUUUGAAAGCUAGUGGGAAGUUUCGAGUGGAUUUAACACAUGAACAACAACGUAUCCCUUAUGUAACUCAUGCAAGUGAAACAAGAAUCAAGCAAACAAGACCUUUGAUGGUCAAAACAAGCAUCCACAUAUCAACAAAAAAACAAAACAAACAUCCAUAGAUCAAUAAGAAAUAGGGUAUGAUUGUAAAAAUGGAGAACCUAAAGUGUUAGAGAGUUAAACCUAAGCGAUUUCCCUCGGGCCAAAGUGGCUUCACUUCCAACAAACUCUCUCCUCUGGUAAAAUCUUCUCCUGCCAGCUUCCAAACCCCCCCUCCCCCUCCUCCUCCCUCCCCCUCCUCUUUUGUCUCUAAAAAAAAACGUCUUUUUUUUUUUCCUUUCCUCCGAAAAAAAAUCUCAUUUUUCAAAGCUAUAUCUUUACCUCUCUAUCCCUCAAAAUUGAAAAUCUUUCUCCCACUUCCUCUGUUUUUUUCUCCCCGAAUCUCUCUCUUUUCCCUUUUUUUGCUCUUCCUCUUUCUCUCUCCCUUCUCUUGCCAGAUAUCCUCUCAUGCCCUUUUUUCAAACGUCCCCUUCCAGUCCCAUCUAGCUACCAGAGAAUGGCUCCUUUUUAAGGUGGUUCGAAAAAUAACAAUAUAAAAAAAUAAAAUCUCAACCCCUCCAUUCAAGGGGGUAUACAAAUAUGCCCCUCUUUGGUAGAGUUUACGAGUGUAAGGAAUGUGAACACUGGAGUGAAAAGGAAGUGUGAAAAGUGAAUGAAAUGAAGUGAACUCUACCAAAGAACAAAGAAAGACCCCCGAAAGGUACAAGUAGAACAUAAACUUGCUCAAAUCAAUCAAAAGGCCUCUGAUCCUUAGAGGAAAACAUCCACCAAGGCGCCUCUAAAGCUACCCCAAGGGCUUAGACUCGCUCUAAGAUGUCUCAAAAGUAACUCAAAAAAUCGAUGUCAAAGAUGAGUAAUGGUCGAACCAUCUUCAAGUAUAGGAAAGAAUACACCCAAAGGGGACUGCUCUAUGUGAACUACGUGAGAAUGACAAGUGUAGGGUGCUUAACAACCUGACUGAAGUAUGUGUUGUGAACUCAAAGGACUGUGUCAUGAGUAGUGAAAAGGAAUAUCUGGAAGAUCGAUGACGAAUAGGCGAUAAGCAUAGGGUAACGAGGUGAGAAAAAAAAACCAGGACGAACGCAAAGCCAUGAAGGUAAGAGGUGCAAUGUCAGUGAAUAUGAAUGUCUGGAGCCAUGACUCUGAAUGACAAGGCUGAGGAGAAACGACUUUGAAUGCCAAAAGGAUGAAAGAUGAUGAUUCUAAAUGCCUAAAUGAGUAUGCACGACAGCUGUAAACGCCAAAACUAAAGGAAUAUGGUGACACCAAAUGCCAAGUUGGACGAUGGCUCUGAAUGUCAGGAAUGUUGCUCUGAACAUCGAAAAUGUGGCAACGAAUGCUCGAUCAUGAUAGGAUGAUAGCUCUGAAUGCCAAGCUGUGAAAGAAACAAUGACUCUGAACACUAAACAGUACGAGGAUAGUGACUCUGAAUGCUGAACUGGAGAGAGAUGGUGGCUCUGAACGCUGAACUGAAGAAAAAUGGUGGCUCUAAAUGCCGAACCGAAGAAAGACAUGACGACUCUGAAUGCCGAACUAAAAACAUGGCUUUAAACACCAAAUUAAAAAAACCGAUAACACUGAAUACUAAAGCUUAAAUUGAAUUGACAGCUUUGAACGUUGGAACUGAGAAGCGAUGGUGACUUUGAACGCCAAAACUAAGAAGCAAUGAUGGCUCUGAACGCCGAAAAUGAGAACUAUGAUAGCUCUAAACGUCAAAACUGAGAACGAUGAUGGCUCUGAAUGCCGAACUGAAAAUAGUGAUGGCUCUGAACGCCGAAGCUAAGAAGCGAUGAUGGCUCUGAAUGCCAAAACUGAGAAUGAUGAUGGCUUUGAACACUGAAACUGAGAAUGAUUAUGACUCUGAACGCUGAAACUGAGAAGAACGAUGGCUUUGAACGUCAGAACUGAGAAGCGAUGAUGGCUCUGAACGCCAAAGUAGAGAAGCGAUGAUGCCUUUGAACGCCGAAAUUGAGAAGCGAUGAUAGCUCUGAAUGCCGAAACCGAUAAGCAAUGAUGGCCUUGAAUGCCGAAACUGAGAAGCGAUGGCUCUGAACGCCGGAACUAAGAAGUGAUGAUGGCUUUGAAAGCCAAAACCGAGAAUGAUAAUGGCUCUGAAAGUCAAACUGAAAAUGUUGAUGGCUUUGAAUGCCGAAGCUGAGAAGCGAUGAUGGCUCUGAAUGCCAAAACUGAGAAUGAUGAUGACUUUGAACGCUGAAACUGAGAAGGGAUGGUAGCUUUGAACGCCAAAAAUGAGAACGAUGAUGGCUCUGAAUGCCGAAAAUGAGAACGAUAAUGGCUCUGAAUGCUGAAACUGAGAACGAUGAUGGCUCUAAACGCCGAACUAAAAAUGCUGAUGGCUCUGAACGCUGAAGCUGAGAACGAUGUUGGCUCUGAACACCGAACUGAAAAUGUUGAUGGCUCUAAAUGCCGAAAUUAAGAAUGAAGAUGGCUCUGAACACCGAAAAUGAGAAUGAUGAUGGAUCUGAACGCCGAAUGAUGAGGGCUUUGAAUGCCGAAACUGAGAAUGAUGAUGGCUCUGAACGCCGAGAUUGAAGAUGCAAGGAUAUAAUGAAGGGAGGAUAUGCCCUAGUGUGGUGUGAUACUAUAGCUCUCAGUCCACGAAAAUGGUUUGAAAGAGACUCCAUGAGUCUUAAAAGAUGCUCUGCUAGCGAGUCGGAAUGGUCAAAUCAACUAUAAACAUAGUCUCAUAACUCAUCUAACUAAAACACGAGACUUGAUGAAGUGUCAUAAUAAUCUGGAUGUCUCUGGCUCUAGAUGCUCUACUAGGAGGAUCCAUCUUCGUAUCAAAGGAAUGAUCCACUGGGGAGUCACAAGAGAAUAGUCUGUCAGGGUAACUACUACAAUCUUAAUCUAUUGAAGAGUCAUGGAUAGUAGGGUAGUCAAACCCUUAAGGUCGUGCUUUUGUUGGAGGCUCAUCUCGGCAAAAAUCAUUGAGACUGUGACCAUCAAUGUGAAUAAACAUCCCUUGAUCGAGUAAUGUGGACUGUAACAAAUCUUUGAGAAAACAAUCAUCUCCAUUAUUGAAAAAAGGGGAAUAUGCCCCAGUAUGGCAACUAGGGCAUCCGAUCUGUCUUGAUAACUUGAGAAUGUCUCAAUGGGAACGUAUAGGAGAUCCGACCAAUACUCCAUUGAAAUGACAAUGAGGGAGUCUAUGCAUCUGAGAUAACUACAUACAAGAAUCAUGACAACAUAAAAAAAUAUGGGCCCAACUAAAUGACUCAAGAAAGGCUCCACCAGAGAAUCAAGGCAAAGCGAAGUCAAAUCAUUAACCCAACGUGCAUCUCGUAACUGGGAUGGUCAUGCAAAUCAAUGGAAAUCUAUAAAUCUCAACUGAAAAGGGAAUAUACCCCAAUAUGGCAUCAGAUGUGUGGUAGGUCAGAAAACCAGAUGACACCAAAUCAUCCAUCACCAAGUAUGUAAACCUAGCCAUCCAUAUCCACAGUUGAAUCAGAUCAAUGGAUCAAAGAAGUGUCUCCCAGAAAGAGAAACAUGAUGACACGUAAAUGCCGAAAGGUGUGGGUCUGAUUGAAUGGUUGAAGAAAGGCUCCACUGGGAGAUCAUGAUAAGAUAGCAAGUAGGUCAUCAUCUCGACAUGUAUCUCAUAGGUGGGCAUGAUCAUGCGACUCCAUGAAGAUUUAUAAAUCUCAACCGGAAGGGAAAUAUACCCCAAUAUGGCAUCAGAUAUAUGGUAGGUCAGGAAUCGAGUGACAUGAAAUCAUCCAUCAUCAAAUGUGUGAUCUCCGUAAUCUUCAUCGAACCCAAACGUCAAGGAGAUGUCUCUAAGAAGAAGAAGCAUGAUGAUAUACGAAUAUGGAAAAAUACGGGCCUGACUAGAUGACUGAAGAGAGGCUCCACUAAGGGAUCAUGAUAAAAUAACGAAUACAUCCUCGUCUCGGCGUGUAUCCCGUAAGUGGGAGUGAUCAUGCAACUCCAUGAAGAUCAAUAACUCCCAAUCGAAAUUGAAAUAUGCCCCAGUAUGGCAUCAAAUAUAUGGUAAAUAAAAAAAAAGUCAGGUGACAUCAAAUCGUCCAUCAUCGAAUACAUGAUCUCAGUAAUCCAAAUCCACAUCUGAAUCAGACCCACGUAUCAAAAGAGACGUAUCCCACAGGAGGAGCAUGAUGACAUCUAAAAGCCAAAAAGUGUGAGUCUGACCGAAUGGAUCAAGAAGGGCUCCACUGGGAGAUUAUGAUAAGAUAACAAACAGGUCAUCGUCUUGGUGUGUACCUCGUAAGUGGAGAUAAACAAGCAACUCCAUGAAUAUUUGUAAAUCUCAUCCGAAACGGAAUAUGCCCUAGUAUGGCAUUGAAUGGGUGGUAGAUCAGAAAAAAUCAGGCAACACCAAAUCAUCAAUCAUCAAAUAUGCAAUCCCAAUCAUCCAAACCCACUACUAAAAUGAACCCAAACAUCAAUGCAACGUCCCCCUGAAGAAGAAGCAUGAUGACAUCCAAAUAUCAACCAAAUCUCAAACACCCGUCCAAGUAGGGGUGUCGAGGACGACAUCUGAUCCCAUGGCCUCAGGGUGGUCUUAAAACACGGGAUGUAACAUAGGUUAGGGUGAUAAGGUAAUAGAAAUGAAGGGAAACUAGGCCCAAAUACCCAAUGAUAAAAAACCCAUGCCCUCAUGUAUGAAAUGCAACAUGUACAAAAAAUCCCAUGAGUCAUGGACCCGAGGGUGCCCAAUGUGAAAAUGAUAACAAUAACGAGGCAAAAAAGAAAAUCAAACUGAUAAUGAGAUGUGUAAUGAUGAUGCGAAGAGAGUAACAAACCCGAAAAUGGGUCAUUGUAAGAAAAUGUUAAGGGGUGAAACGCAAUGGAUGAAUUAACAGCAAAUAUAGUGAAGCAAAGAACACGAAGAUAAGUGAUGAUCCGCUUGAAUCCAACAUGAAGUGAAGUCACAUCAUCAAUGAAUGUAAUGAUGGAAAGGACAACGACACAAAUCUCCUAAGAGAGAUGUCAUUCAUUUCACUCUCAAAAUAUACGAAACAUGAAUACAAAUAAUGAAGGGUCUCAGAAAGCUCACAUGCGAGCUCCCAUCAAUAAACAUACUCAAUGAAGUGACCCACAAACAUCAAUAUACACCUCCAAUGAUGGAGAAUACUAUGCACAUACACACAUGUGCUUAUUUUUCUUUUCUUUUCAUUCUUUUUUUUUUCAUUUUUUUUUCAUUUCAUUUUUUUUCACCAUUUCAAUUUUUUUUUUCAUUUUUUCUUACACAUAUACAAAUGCACAUACUCUGAACAUAAAAAAAUGAGCCCCAAAUAUGAUAUCUACAAUGGAUAGACACACUCUCAAAAACUCUCUCUGACAAGAUAACCUUCUCAAACUAAGGAUCUCGGAAUCAGUGUCUGCUGGAUAGAUGGCGAAAAUGAUGUGACUAUCCUUCAUGCAAUGAAUUGAGGAGGAUCACCACUUAGGGUGAAGAGAAUAUGAAGCAAAACAAACAGCAGAUAGAAUAAAGGAGAAGGAAUGAAGAACUUGACCAAUGAGAUGUGAUGAAAUGCAGUAGAGUGAUGGUAGGAAAAAAUAAUGAGAGAAAGAUUCACCUAUAGGUCCAAGACUCAUGAGGCUCCCAAACAAUGCAUGUAUACACUAAAGGGCCCCAAUCCCAAUGUAAAAAUAUGAGCAAGGCAAUAAGAUAGAAAUGCUAUAAUGCACACGCGAGGCUCAAUGGGCUAGCAACGAUCUAUAUAUCAAGAGGGAAUAACAAGGUAUAUGGCUAACUGAAAUGAUGGCCACCCAUCCUACGACCAUGGUCUCAAACAUAGUACCUCUUUAGCUGAUCCACAUUAGUCGACUUUGAGAAUCAGUUUCCAUCUAGAUCCAUCAACCAUGCAAUGCCCUUUGAGGUCAACUCCCUGAUGAAGUAAGGUCUGCUCCAAUUGGGUCUAAACUUCCCUUUGGGAUCUCUGAUCAAUCCUCUAAUGACCUUCAAAACCAAGUCACCUAUCCAUAGUGGUCAGGGCUUGACCUGCUUCUUAAAAGCACAGGUCAUCUUUCUCUGAUAAGCACGAACAUGGUUUGUUGCCCUCAAUCUCCUCUCAUCUAGGAGAUUGAGUUGGUCUAAUCGGGCCUGAACCCAAUCUGCCUCUGGAAUCUACUGCUCCAAUGCUACUCUCAAUGAACACAUCUCAAUCUCAACUGGUAGCAUUACCUCCAUACCAUACAUCAAGGAGUAGGGUGUGGCCCCUAUAGAGGUACGGAAAGAAGUCCGAUAAGCCCACGAUGCAAAUGACAGCUUCUCUUACCAAUCUCAAGAAGUCUCAACCAUCCUCCGCAAGAUCCUCUUAAUAUUCUUAUUCGUAGCCACUAUUGCCCCGUUCGUCUUCGGCCUGUACGCAGACAACCUAUGAUGCCAGAUGUCAUAUCUCUAUACUAAGGUGUCAGUCUCCGCUCUAAAAUGUACUCCUCUAUCUGAAAUCAACUCAUGAGGGACUCCAUAAUGACAUAUAAUGUGCGAUCUGAUGAAACUAGCAACUCCAACUGAUGUCAAUCUUGCAUAUGAAGCAGUCUCCACCCACUUGGUGAAGUAAUUGAUGGCAACCAAGAUGAACUCAUGACCACUGGAAGACUUUGGCAAAAUCUUCCAAUGAUGUCAAUACCCCAUACCGAAAAUGGUCAUGGCAAAGUCAAUGCAUGUAGCUCCAAGGGCGACACAUGAAUGAGGUCCCCAUGUAUCAAACACUCGGGACAUCUCUAAACGAAGUGGCAACAAUCUGUCUUCAUGGUCAACUAGAAAUAGCCAAUCCUCAUGAUCUUAUGGGCCAGCAUAUGUCAUCCCAUAUGUGGUCCGCAGACUCCCGCAUGAACCUCUCUCAUCACUCGAUCGAUAGAGGCGCGGUCUAAGCACAAUAACAACAUCCCAUCAGCUGAUCAUCUAUAUAAUGUCUCACCACAAAUCAUGAAUCAGGUGGCCAAUUGCCUCAAUACUCUCUUAUCCUUGGCCGUGGCGACCUCAGGAUAUACACCAAGUCUCAAAAAGUGAUAUAUGUCAUGGUACAAAGGCAAACCAUCAUCUGGCUUUAUAUCAUCAAAUAGGCAAUAGUAGGCAGGAGCAUAUCUCGACUUGAUCAGUAAAGAGCGAACAAUGUCAUCGAUAAGAAUAUCAAUCAUGGAAGCUAGAGUAGCUAAGGCAUCAGAAAACUGGUUCUGCGGUCUAGGUAGGUGUGUGUAUCUCAAAUCAUCAAAUCUCCCAACCAGUAGCUCCAAGUAUGAGUGGUAAGGCCUAAGCUUCACAUCUCUAGUCUUCCACUCAUCUUGAAUCUGUCUCAAUACCAGACUAAAGUCACCAAACACCUUCAUCUGUCUAAUCCCAAGCUCAAGGGUUGUCUCUAAUCCCAAGAUACAAGCCUCAUACUCAACAAUAUUGUUUGUGGCCGAUGUCGAUUCGAGAAUUCCAAGCAAACAGAUUUAGGAAUAUGAUCACCAUGAGAGAAUAUCAACAAGACGCCUAUCCCAUAUCUGGAAUGGUUGGCUGCACCAUCAAAGUACAUGCGCCAACCUGACAGACUAGUCACAACAGCGACAUCCUCGUCUAGAAAAUCAUCAUCAAUAGCUCUACCAUUGGAAACUAGUAAUGAUGCUAGGUGAUCUACAACAAUGCUCCCCUUGAUGGACUUCUGAGUGACAUAAUCGAUGUCAAACUCAGUCAGAAGCACCAACCAUCUCAUGAGGCAACCGACCAGAGCAGGUCCGUCAAACAAAUAUCUCAGAGGAUCUAGAUGGGAUAUCAAGUGCACUGAAUACUCGGUCAUGUAAUGUCUCAGUCGGUGAGUGGCACAAACCAAUGCUAAAUAGUAGUGCUCAAUCAUGACAUAUCUCGUCUCGUAGUUUAGCAUCCUCUUACUCAAAUAAUAAAUGGCUCACUCCUUGCCCGAAUCAUCGAGCUGAGCUAACAUGUAACCCAAUACUACAUCUAAAACUGAUAGGUAUAGGAGUAGAGGAUGGCCUGGUGUAGGGGGUACUAAGAAUGGAGGUGGUAACAAGUAAUCUCUGAUCCUCUCAAAUGCGCAUUGACACUGAUCAUCCCAAAUAGUAGGUUGAUUCUUUCUCAAGAGUCAAAAAAUGGGUUCACAGAUGUCUAUCAAUCUGGCAAUGAAUCUGUUAAUGUACUAAAGUCUUCCAAAGAAGCCUCUAACCUCUCUCUCUGUCCUCGGUGCAGGCAUGUCAAGUAUGACUAUGAUCUUAUCUGGAUCUACCUCUAUGCCUCUCUCACUAACCAUAUAUCCCAAGAGUUUCCCAAAAGUCACUCCAAAAGUGCACUUCUUGGGAUUCAGUCUCAAUCUGAACUGCCUGAUCCUCUCAAAGAACCUCUCAAGAGUCGCUAGGUGAUUUAAUCUAUCCCAGGAUUUCACUAUCAUGUCGUCUACAUAAACCUCGACAUCCACAUGCAUCAUGUCAUGGAAAAGGGUGGUCGCUGCUCUCUAAUAGGUGGCUCUUACAUUCUUCAAUUCGAAUGGUAUGACUCUAUAGCAAUAAGUACCCCACUUGGUAAUGAAGGACGUCUUCUCCAUGUUCUUUGGAUUCAAUCCAUCCAUAAAGGAAAACAUUGAAUGAAUUGUUGUACUAUCAACUAGCAUGUUGAUGUGUGGGAGAGGAAAAUCAUCCUUAGGACUGGCCUUGUUGAGAUCUCAAAAAUCAACAUAGACUCUCACCUUGCCGUCAUUUUUAGAAAAAUGGACGACAUUGGCCAACCACUCUAGGUACUCGACCACUAACAAAAAUCCUACACUGAGUUGCUUCUGGAUCUCCUCCUUCACCUGCAAACUCCAACGAGGGUGAAAUUGCCUCUACUUUUGCUUAACCGAUCUGACAUGAGGCAGAAAUGGCAAGUAAUGUUGGACUAUGGAUGGAUCAAGGCUCGACAUGUCCUCAUAGGACCAUGCAAAAACAUCCAAAUAUGAUCUAAGCAAUCGAGCGAGGUCAUCCUUCUCAUCUAUAGAUAAAUCCAAUCCAAUCCUCAACUCCCUCGAUUGGUCUGUUGUACCAAAAUCAACAAUCUCAAUGUCUCCUGUGGCAAGUGAAACUCUCUGAUCAAUGGGGUCUGAAUCAGAAGCAGAAAAUGAGUCAUCAUCUAAAUCGAGUUGUGCAAUCUCAUCGUCUAUAUCAAAUAUCUGUGAUGUGAGUGAAGAUGGUGCAGAUAAAGUAAUAUCAUGAGAGACAGACAAAUACUCAUAAAUGCUCAAAUCCAUAAAUAAAGAGUCAUUGAUUCGCGUAUGUAAAUCCAGUCGGGUCAUUUAAUCAAAAACAUUUAUAAAACCUAUGACCUCAUACUAGUGUAGCAAAACUACUAUAGUAUAGUGGCUUUAGGGUCGAACUCUGGGAUGGGUUUUCAUUCUACCAGUGAUAUACUCAUGAUUAGGAAUUGAAUUUAAUGAUUUCCUUUAUAAAAAAUUUAGAGUUUAAAAGAAAAUAAAAUUUGUUUUGAAAGUGUUUGAAACUAAAUUAACAUAAACUAAUUAAAAAUGGAAGAAAGAAAGUCUCCCGGAGCUCAGGAUUGCUAGGAUCAAGUUUAGAAUGCAAAGUGGAAAAUUCCGGAUUUUUCUUCUCGCAUUGGGGAUUUAACCUAUAGUUAUUUCCCGAACCGGUAUAGGUUUAACAAUGAAGAUUUAAUCCAUAAAAAUCAAUAGAAAUGGUAGUCAAGGUCCAUUAAUGGCUUUAGACACUAUGGGUCUUCACCUUGAACCACUUUCCAAUGGCUCGUACAUAAUAACUAAUGGACUGAUAUGGAUCUAGCAAUAAGCAUCCACAGAGACCUGAAGCUUACCAUGUAUUGGCCAUUCAAAGUGAUUCUAAGGGAUUUAAAGCAAAACAUUGGAUUUAAAAGCCAUUUAUGAAUUUCAACUACCUGUAUUUAAGGCAUGAUCGUUUUCCACCUUGCAUAUGGACUUUUCACCUAGCUUCCAUCACUCCAAGAAACCAAAAGUUUAGCCUCUCAUCCUCUGAGAAAACAUCCUCAGAGGUUGUUUGGCUUCCAAGAAAAAGAAAAUAGUAAAUAGAAAAGGGAAAACGAGAGAGCUCUGUAUAUUUUUCUAAGUGUAAAACAUAACACGCGUGAUACCUCCAAGAGGUGAUUUCCACCCCUUAUAUAGUUUUUACAAAAGCAAAGCUUGUGAUUGGCUUGUUACAAGGAGAAGAAAGGAAAUUACAUCAAAAAAUACAAUAGAAAAUAUCUAAAGUGGAGUCGGCAAAAAAAGAGGAAAAUUCGCACCACGCAUGGGGUGUGCGAAUUUUCGCACACCUGAGGUGGGGUGUGCGAGUUUCGCACACCAUUCGCACACCUGGAUCAGUUGUCUUCUGAAGGCCAUAUCUUCCUCGUUUCAGCUCCAAAUCGUACACGGUAUGAAGCAUUGGAUUCUUGACUUCCUGAGCUUUGAAAUGGUAUAUAGCAUGUAAAAAAUGGACUUCGGUAAGUGCUCCAAAAGUGCUAAAGAAGACUGCAGUUGCUGUCCUCUAUUUUCCUCCUUGCUUCUCUUUGCUUCUCUUUGGUUUUCUUUGGUUUUCUCCUUUGGAUGGCUUGUCUUAAUGAUCUAAAAAGAUGUCAAAAACACUAAAACUAGCCACAAAUAUGAUUAGGAGUCAUUGCUAGGUCCUUAACAUGCCAAUUGGAAUAAAGAUGAAGAAUUACUACACAAAAGUGCUUAAAACAUAAUGACUUAAAGGUGUAAAAUAGCACUUUUUGGGUAGUAAUCACUCCCCCCAACUGACACAUUGAUAGUCCCUGAGCAAUGAAGGAGAGAAAAAGAAAGAAAAAUAGAUAAUAAAAUAAUUUACAAAAUCAUGCUGAUCACUCCAAAAAAUAAUCAAGUGGCAUGAUUGGAUCAAACUCUCACAUGGCAAGUCAAGGAUAUAAAACUCAAUCAUCAACAAGAGUUAUCAAAUAACUUACCUAUCACAACUUGCUAAGAACGGGCAUUAUGCAAAUUUGAGUAUCAAAAUAAUUUCCACUCCCAACGGAUCAUUUCUUAAUCUUCCACAAAAAUCUAAGUGUUAAGGUGCUUAGUUUCCAGUUAUAGUAUGUCAAACUAUAUUCUCCCCCCCCAACUAAGGUUUUUCUCUAACUUUAGCAACACUAACUCAUAUAUAAAAGGCUAAGAACGCACCUUUUUUUUUUUUAGAAGGGACUCCACCCAUCCACCCAUGUAACGAGCAGUGAGGUCGGUGACUCCCAACCAGUAAAGGCUUAGGGCACCAGGCUUUAAAGAUUUUCACCAUAUACCCCUCAGACCUUGCUCGGGUUUCAAAGCAAGUGAAGCAAAAAUUAUUCAUAAGACACAUUGGCCUUUUAUAAGGUGUCCCAACACUAAUAGAAUGAAGUCAAUGGCACCAAGUCGAAAAUUUCCUAAGUUUAGGGGGGUGAGAAAGUUUUCCAUCUUAUAACUGGAAUCUAAUGUGUUUAGUGUGUGAAAAGAUUAGAGUGGAAGACUUAAGAUUGAAAUCAAAAGGAUCUUCAACAAUUUAUCAACUUUAAUAAGCAUAAUACAAACUCUGAGACUAUGGCAAUAAGAUAAGAAUUUAAUUUCUUCCAUUUACUUUUGAGAAUUUAUCUUUGAGAAAACAAAGAGAGUUUGCAAAAAAAAAAAAAAAAAAAAAAAAAAAAUUAGCAAAAUAACUUAACCAAAAAUUCAACAAAUUACUUCCUCAACUCUCCCCCCAACUAGAAUGAACAUUGUCCCCAAUGUUCCAAAAACAAGAGAUAAUAAAAGGGAGGAAAUGAUACCUCCUGAUAGUAAGGGAGUCUGAAUGAACAGGAGAAACCACAUGUUGCAUAAGAAAAGAAAAAUCAUAAGAUUGAUGAAUAGAGGAAAUAAAAUGGAAUAGCUAAAAUACACAAAAAAGAAGAUGUCUAUAUAAACUGAGAGAGUACAAUAUACAAGAUAAACAUGAAAUACAUCCAAUCCCAGUAUAAAAGUGGUCCAAAAUAUAUAAGACAUCCAAAAACGUAGCAUAUAGAUACAAAAAAGGUGAGAGGAGUGAUCGUAUGAUCAAGUAGUAGGCUCCUCUGGUGGAUAGGAGGGGUCCUCCGCUGCAACUGUGGAAGGAACCGCUACAGGUGGAGCUGGUGGUGAAAGACCGAGGUGGUGCUGAAUCUCACGGAGAAUGAGAGUCUACUGGUCCUGCUGAAGUUGGAAGUGGUCCAUCCGCUCCAUAGUGGCCGUCUGAGUAGUGGUCAAAGUCUGGAAAGAAGCGAGCAAGACACGAUACUCUGGACUAGGGAUAGUAAUGGGCGGCUCUGAUGUAGGAGGAACAACAGGUGGGGCAUCAGAUGAUGCUGCCUCCGGUACUGGCUGUGGAGGGUCUGAAGUGGACGAAGCAGGAGGGACUUCCCUUGGCUCGGGAAGUUCUGGGGACUGGCGAUGGAGCCAUAUCUGAGUCCAUUGGUCAAGAGAGAAGCUCUCUCGACAAUGGCGGCGGGGCUCUGAACGAGGGUUUGCAGGAAAACCCAUAUGCGCCAAAACAUGGCAUAGCAGCCAAGGGAAAAGUAAAGGCAUGGAGUCUGCCCUCGCAAGACGCCGCGUAUGCACCUUCUCCUCAAAAUGGAGAAGAGCGGCCAUAAUCAAAUGAUGGGGGCCAAAAUAGUAGCACUCAGAGAUACGGAAUAAUGCCUUCAUAAUGGCCCCUCGUCUCUGCACUUUAUGCUGAAGAGGAAAAAGAUUGGCGCGAAGCACCACAUCAACUAGGAGCAUCUUUGGGGGAAACUCUCUCCUCAAAAUGGUCCUCUGGGAAGAUGUCCCUCGAGAUAGGAUACGAACCAUGUCCAACUCAGAAAGUGGGGCCCAACGUCUAAAUGUAGCGAGAUUUGCUGGUGCAAAAGGGAUAUGGAAGGCAUCGGCAAUCUGUCUAGCCCCCAAAAUACCCUGGCAUCCAUCAAUGGUAAAAAGGAUCGAGGCUGGUACCGGGACGCCACGAGUAGUCAUAGACUGGUAAAAGUCUAAAGCUACUCGAGGAUAAAAGAACUGGGGUAGAGUCAUAAAGGGUAUAAGAUGGUACCUCUCAAGUAGGCGGUAUAAAUCCCGCAACUCAGGCUGCUGUCGCAUAAGAGAGUGAUCGAAAUAUGCCUCGACAUGAAAGUAUCUCGAUCGGCAAUCACAGUUGCCCUCAAUGGGCAAGCUGGGUCUAGGGCGCCUGGCGGAAGAAGGCUGAGACUGUGAAUCCCGAGGUGCUCUGGAGGACUCUCCUGGCUCUGAAGUCUUGGCUUUCUUUGUAGGAGGACUCCGAGGUGGAAUUUGUGGAGGGGCCACAGACGUGGCAGAUGCUCUCCUCGUAUGGUAUCUGCUCUGAGGGGCAGAAUCAAGUAAAUGUGAGGGUGCAUCUAGUGGGGCCAGCACAGGGGCGGCUCUCUAACUGCUCUGGGGAGCUAUGGUAGAUCCUCCUCGGGUCUUAGGCAUGAUGAACCGAUGAAAUGAGGCUCAAAGGUUUGGGAUUAGAGAAGGUAGGGAUGGAAAAACUGAAAUUUUCGCACAAGGGGGGGGGGUGUGCGAAAUUUUCGCACAGGGUACUAUUCACCCGUGCAUUUGAAGAAUUGUGGCUUGUUUGAGAUGGUGAAAAUUUGUGGCCUUUGAGGGUGGGAAAAGUUGGCUUAGGUAUGAAAAAGAUUUGUCAUGGUGAAUAGGCUUGGAAAUUGGAGCUUUUCAAGAGGAAAAUUGAAGAUUGGGAGCUCCCACGGCCGGCGGCAAUGGGUUUCUUAUGAAGAAACCAUGGCUUGAAUGCUUAUGGUUUAGGCUUUGGUUUGGUAAGAACAAGGUUUGGGAUUGGAUUGUGGAUGGAUUUAGAGGGUUGGGUGAAGAUUUGAAAGGAUUUUGAUGGUGGAAGGAGGUGAAAUUGCCGAAAAUGGGAAGUGGUGAAUAGUGAAUGCGCGGCUAUGGAAUGGAGCUAUGGAGAUGGGCUGCCAUGGUGUUGUUGAUGAUGAGGAAUGAUGAAGAAGAGGGGCUUUGUGGAUGGAAAUGGGUGAUCGGAAGAGAGGUUUUGAGAGAAUUGAAGAAGAAGCUAAGACUUUGAAGUAGAGAACAUAGCUUUUAAAGAGAAAAAUGAAUUUCGCACAGGGGAAAAUGGUGUGCGAAAUUUUCGCAUACCUGUGAUUCUCCAAGACAGAGAGCAUGGUUUUGAAAAUUUGCGCAAAAAACGAAUUCGCACAGGGUUCGCACAAGGUUCGCAUUCCUGUGAAAUUCGUACAAGGGACCAAGAGCAUGCAAUUUUUGAAAAGUGGUGCAAAAGCAAAUUUGCACAGGGUAAGUGGUGUGCGAAAAUUUCGCACACCACAAGGGGGUGUGCGAAUUUUGCUGAGUCUUGUCUUUUCUCCCCUGUUUUCCCUUGUUUUCACCAAGACUUCAUUCUUCAAGCCUUCAAGCCUUCCUACCUACAUGUUAACAAAAAAAAAAAAAAAAAAAUUUCAAACCACAUUAGAAUGAAAUUAAAGUCAAAAAUAGAAAUCAAAACAUGUAUAAACACAAGAAAACAUUAGAUUAAACUAAAAUCAACUUAAAAGAGAACAAAAAGAGGAUGAACUUUUUAGUCUUUGGAGAGACUAAGUUCAACCAUGAACCAAGUGUUUUCAUGUUGGAGGUGGAUCAAGGAGGAUGAAUUCCUCCUUGUCUCGGGAAAAAGAUUCGAUGUAGGGCUUGAGACGAUGCCCAUUAACUUUGAAAGUUCGAGUGCUAUUGAAGUUGAGUAGUUCCACUACUCCAUUUGGUUGCACUUCAUGAAUUAUGAAAGGACCCGUCCAUCUUGAUUUCAAUUUUCCCGGAAAAAGAUGAAACUUAGAGUCAUAAAGCAAGACUCUUUGCCCCUUGGCAAAAUUCUUCUAAUUUACCAAUUGAUCAUGCCAUUUCUUCAACCUCUCCUUUGCAAUUUUUGAAUUGAGGUAAGCAUCAUUCCUCAUUUCCUCCAAUUCAUUCAAAUCCAAACAUCUUUUCAACCCGGCUCUUGUCAAAUCCAUGUUGAGUUUUUUGAUUGCCCACCAUGCUUUGUAUUCAAUCUCCACUGGAAGAUGGCACGCUUUGCCAUAAACAAGGCGAUAAGGAGACAUUCCAAGAAUGGUCUUGUAAGUGGUCCUAUACGCCCAUAAGGAAUCUAGGAGCUUAAUAGACCAAUCCUUCCUAUUCACAUUCACCACCUUCAUUAAUAUAUUCUUGAUCUCCCGGUUGGCUAACUCAACUUGGCCACUUGUUUGAGGGUGAUAAGGUGUAGCUACCUUGUGCUUAACCCCAUAUUUGGCUAGAGGAGUCUCAAAAGGUUUAUUGCAAAAGUGGGUUCCUCCAUCACUUAUAAUGGCCUUAGGCACUCCAAAUCUUGCAAAGAUGUUAUCCUUGAGGAAUUUAAGAACCACCCUAUGAUCAUUGCUCCUACAUGGGAUUGCUUCAACCCACUUAAAGACAUAAUCCACUCCCACCAAAAUGUAGGAAUGUCCAAAUGACAUUGGAAAUGGUCCCAUGAAGUCUAUCCCCCAAACAUCAAAGACAUCCACUAUCAAAAUGGGGUUCAAGGGCAUCAUAUUUCGGCGUGUAAGCUUACCAAGCCUUUGACACCGAUCACAUCCCUUGCACAUAGAGUGGGCAUCCUUGAAAAAAGAGGGCCACCAAAACCCUGAUUGGAUCACUUUCAUAGCUGUUUUCUGGGAGGCAAAAUGACCUCCACAUGCACUGUCAUGGCAAUGGGAAAGAAUUCCUGAUUGCUCUUGUUCAGGAACACAUUUCCUUAUGAUUUGAUCCGCACAAUAUUUGAAGAGAAAAGGCUCCUCCCAAUAAUAGGCAUGGAUCUUAGCAAAGAAAUGCCUCUUGUCUUGGGCACUCCACUCGCUUGGAACUUCCCCAGUAACCAAGUAAUUUGCAAUGUGAGAAUACCAAGGAGCUACAUCUAUUGACAUGAGAGACUCCUCAGGGAAGUCAUCAUUGAUAGGCAGACCAUGUGAGUCAUGUGCUAUCACAAGUCUUGACAAAUGGUCAGCUACCACAUUUUCUACUCCCUUUUUAUCCCGGAUUUGGAGAUUGAAUUCUUGGAGCAAAAGGAUCCAUCUUAUCAAUCUUGCCUUGGCAUCUUGCUUGGUUAGCAAGUACUUCAAAGCGGAAUGGUCAGUGAACACCACUAUAGAGGACCCUACUAAAUAGGCACGAAACUUAUCCAAGGCAAAAACUACUGCCAACAACUCCUUCUCAAUAGUUGUGUAGUUCCUUUGAGCCUCGUUCAAAGUUUUGCUCGCGUAAUAAAUCACAUAAGGCUUUCCAUCCUCUCUUUGCCCCAAAACAACCCCCAUAGCAAGAUCACUUGCAUCACACAUUACCUCAAAAGGUAAUUUCCAAUUUGGGGCUCUCACUAUUGGUGCAGUUGUGAGGAAUUGUUUCAAUUCCUCAAAACUCUUCUGACACUUCUCAUCCCACACAAACUUGGCAUCCUUUACCAAGAGUUCACAAAGAGGCUUUGAGAUUUUUGAGAAAUCCUUAAUGAACCUCCUAUAGAACCCGGCAUGUCCUAGGAAUUGCCUAAUUUCUUUAACAUUUGUGGGAGGUGGCAACUUAACAAUUAGCUCCACCUUUGCCUUGUCUACCUCAAUGCCAUUUUUGGAGAUUACAUGUCCUAAGACAAUGCCUUGUUGUACCAUAAAAUGGCACUUCUCCCAAUUUAGCACUAGGUCUUUCUCAAUACAUCUGUGGAGAACAGCUUCUAAGUGCAACAAACACUCCUCAAAAGAACUUCCAUAUAUAGUGAUGUCAUCCAUGAAGACUUCCAUGAUGCGUUCCACCAUAUCACUGAAGAUGCUUAGCAUACAUCUUUGGAAAGUUGCAGGAGCAUUACAUAAACCAAAGGCCAUUCUCCUAUACGCAAAAGUACCAAAGGGGCAUGUGAAGGUUGUUUUUUCUUGAUCUUCCAAAUCAAUCUCUAUUUGGAAGUACCCCGAGUAACCAUCUAGAAAACAGUAGAAAGGAUGUCCUGAGACUCUCUCAAGGACUUGGUCCAUGAAAGGCAAUGGGAAAUGGUCCUUCCUAGUCACUGAAUUCAACCUCCUGUAGUCUAUACACACCCUCCAUCCUGAGGUAGGACGUGUAGAGACUUCCUCCCCUUUCUCAUUCUGAAUCACAGUGAUUCCAGAUUUCUUUGGAACUACUUGGGUGGGGCUCACCCACAAGCUAUCUGAAAUGAUAUAUAUGAUCCUUGCUUGUAGUAGCUUCAGAACUUCACCCCUCACCACCUCUUGCAUGUGAGGAUUCAACCUCCUUUGGGGCUGCCUCACUAGUUUUGCAUCUUCCUCCAUGUAGAUAUGGUGGGUGCACACCAAAGGACUAAUCCCUUUCAGAUCAGCAAUUUGCCAUCCAAUGGCUUUCUUUCAUUUUCUGAGGACUCCCAAAAGACUAUCCUCUUGAUCACUUGUGAGAUUUGAAGAGACCACCACUGGACAUUUCUCAUCUUCCUCCAAGUAUGCAUACUUCAAAUUAACAGGAAGUGGCUUCAAAACAAGCUUUGGAGGGUCCUCCAUAGCUGCUCCUUGUGAGUCCUCCUUAUUGAACAGUGGUAAGAUCUCUUCCCGUCUCCUCCAAGGAGACAUGAUAGCUAGCACAUCAGAGGGUUCAGGUAACCCUUCUUCAAACACUUCAAGGCUUUCAUUCAAGCUCUCUUCUAAGCUCUUGUCACAAUGCUCUUCAACCAAGGUGUUGAUCAGGCACACCUCCUCCAAUCCUUCAUCCUCAUCUGGGUGAAGAUGCCUCUUGCAAAGAUGGAAUAUGUUUAAUUCCAAGGUCAUGUUUCCAAAUGUAAGUUGCAUCACCCCAUUUCUACAAUUGAUGAUGGCAUUGGAGGUAGCCAGGAAAGAUCUCCCAAGGAUGAUUGGCACGUAAUUGGCUUCCUUAACAGUGGGAUCAGUAUCAAGCACAACAAAAUCCACGGGAUAGUAGAAUUUGUCACUUGAACUAGAACAUCCUCUAUCACCCCCCUUGGGAUUUUGACAGACCUAUCAGCUAAGGAGAGAGUGAUGGCUGUGGGCUUCAAUCCUCCAAGUCCCAGUUGCUUGUACACAGAGUAUGGGAGCAAAUUCACACUUGCCCCCAAGUCUAGUAAAGCUUUCUCCACAAGUGUCCCUCCAAUGUUGACUGCAAUGGUGGGGCAACCCGGAUCUUUAUACUUAACUGGAGACUUACUCUGAAUGAUAGCACUUACUUGCUCAGUGAGGAAUGCAUUCUUUGUCACAUGUAGCCCUCUCUUAACCGUGCACAAGUCCUUUAGAAACUUUGCAUAUGUGGGGACUUGCUUGAUCAUAUCAAGUAAGGGUAUAUUCACCUUCACUUGUCUCAAGACUUCAAGAAUUUCUGAUGAAUUCUUGAUUUCCUUCUUUCCAUGUAAAGCUUGAGGAAAAAGGGGAGGCAUAUGUUUCUUCAUCAUAUCUUCUUUAAUCACUAUCCUCGGCUCUUCUUCAAUGCUUGAUUUGGAUGCACUUUUCUUCCCACUCUCCUCUUCUUGGUUAUUGCUCUCUUUAACCAAGGUUUUCUUUGACAAGAGUUCUUCAUCUUGCCUCACCUUAGGCAAGGGUUGAUCAACCUCCUUUCCACUCCUCAAGGUGAUCACAGCUUUGACCUCUCUCAACUUUGAAGAAUCCCCCUCUUGGGUUUCAACUUCAUGAACACCCUUAGGAUUUUGGCUUGGUUGAGAGGGGAACUUUCCUUUCUCAUUCACUGUGUUGAGGUUGGUAAGCCUAGAGAUGGAAUAUUGAAUAUUAUCUAUCUUCUGAUAUAGAUCCUUUUGCAUCCCAUCCAUUCUCUUAUUUAGAGAACUCUCAACAUUCUCAAUCUUUUGGUGCAAUUGGGAGUUGAUUGCCCUUUGUUCACCCACAAAGUCAUUCAUGACUUUACUUAGGUUCGCAAUGGCUUGCUCCACUGAAGAGGUUUGUUGAGGUGCUUGAGUUUGGGCUUGUGGUUGGUAUGGAGGUGGUCUUGGUUUCCAAGAAAAAUUUGGAUGGUUUCUCCAGCUUGAAUUAUAGGUGUUUCUGAUAACCCGACUCUUGGUAGCUUGGCAUGUAAGGGUAUCAACAAAAUUUAUACCUAAGGUCCUUACACUAAAGUAGCAAAGCUACUAUAGCAUAGUGGCUCUAGGAUCGAACACUGGGAAGGGUUUUUACUUUAACUGGUGAAGUUCGGAGGAUGGAGUGAACUUUUCUUAAUAAAAAUUAGGUUAAGAUGAAAACAUAAAAAGAUGAAGGUGUUGUAAACUAAACUAACAUGAAAAUAGGUUAAAAGAUGGAAAAAGAAGUUUCUCAAAGCUUUGGAUAGCCAUGCUUAACUCACUGUGUAAAAAUGGAGAUUUUGGAACUUUUCACCUCGAGUUGGGGAAGCAACUAAGGUGAUGCUUACUUCCCGAACCGGUAUGUGUUUAACAACUGAGUUUUAGUCCUUGAAAACUUACAAAAAGGGUAGCUGAACCUCAUAAAUGCUCUUUUAAUGAUAUAGGUCAUCUCCUCGACUUGCAAUACAAUGGCUCGUAGGAGAUAACUAAUGAACGUCAGUGGAUCUAACAAUAAGAAUCCACUGAGACCAAAAGGUUAUCAAGUAUUGGCCAUUCAAAGCAAGUCAAAGGGAUUAAAAGCUUUACUUUGAAUGAAAACAUUUAUGACGCUCAACUACUUACAUUCAUGGCUUGGAAAUCUCCAUCCUGACACGGGAGCUUCACAUGGCAUCCAUUACUUUAAGAAACUAAAAGGUUUUAGCCUCUCAUCCUUGGGGAUUUCAUCCUCCAAGGAUGUUUGGCUACUAAGAAAAUAGAAAAUAGUAGAGAGAAAAAGAAAGCAAAAGAUACUCUGUAUUUAGCUAAGUGUAAAAUUUACAUAAGUUCGUCUUUGGAGAAAGUUCCCCGACGUUUAUAAAAUGAAAAUUACAAAACAAUAUAUAACAGGUUGUUUACCCCUGUAUCCUUGCUUAAGAACUAAGGAAUCAUCUAAUUGGUGGAUUACAAGGAGAGAAUUGGGAUUUAGACAACAAAUAUCUGAGGCAAAAUAAAAAAAAACGUUGGUCGCAAAUAUCUGGAAGCACUCAGGAGAAUUUCGCAGGUGCACAAAAUGGCUGCGAAAUUUCGCAGACGAACAAGAUGGCUGCGAAAUCAUUUCGCAGCCGAAGGCUGAUUUCGCAGCCCUGCGAAAUUGGCCUUCAGCUUGGAGUGAUCUGCUUCCAUUGGCUCUAACUUCUUCAUUUCAACUCUGAUUUGCGAACCGUUUGAAGCAUUGGAUUUUUGACUUCCCGAUCUUCGAAACAACAUAAAGUAUGCAUAAAUUGGACUUCAGGAAGUACUCCAAAAGUGGCUGAAAUGACUGUCAUCAAGAAUGCUUCAAGGUAGAUUCUCUCUUUACUUCUCCUCCUUGCAUUCCGGAUUGGUUAUGGCAAAGGACUUUAAGGCUUCAAAGCUCUGAUUCUUCAUGUUCCUGAGCUUUCCAUUGCUUUACCAUGGAUUCCAAAUAACUCUCCUCCAUCUUGGAUUGCUUUGGUGAUCAAAUUACUAACAAAAACACCAAAACUUACACAAAGUGAUUAGAAGUGAUUGCAAAGGUCCUUAAUAUGUUAAUUGGGUUAAAGGGCAAUAAUUACUACUCAAAAGUGUUUAAAAGAGUUAAUUACAAGCUAUCAAAUAGCCCUUUUUGAGUAGUAAUCACUCCCCCCAACCGACAUAUUGCUAGUCCCUUAGCAAUUAAGGAGAGAAAAACUAAGCAAACAAAGUAAUAAACAUAAAAGAGGUCAUGCAAAUCAUUCCAAAAAAAUAAUUGAGUGGCAUGAACGAUAUCAAAACACAUCUCACAUGGUGAACUAAAGAUAUGAAGAUUCAAAAUGCAAUAGGAGCUGUCAAAGCUAAAACUUAAACAAAAAGUACAAAGAGUGGAGAUUAUGCAAUUAAGUAUCAAAAGAUCUCUACUCUCAAGGUUCCAAAUCAAACUCUUCCAUAAUGAGCUAAGUGUUAACGAGAUUAGGUUCCGGAUAUAGUAUAUACAACUAUCCUCACCCUCCAACCUAAGCUUUUCUCGAACAAAGGCAAAAUUAACCAACUCUUAAUAGGUUAGGAACGCACCUUCUUAUUCACAAUUCUUUUUACUCACUAAACUUUAACCAAUUCACCUAUGUAGCAAGCAGAGGAUCGAUGACUCCCAACCAAUCAAGGUUUAGGGCAUCGGGUUUUAAAGGCUUUCGCCACCCCUUCGAAUCAUGCUUAGGUUUCAAGGAAAGAAUAGAAGCUUAUUCUUUUUUUUUUUUUGAAAGACUCAUUGGCCUUUAUGAGGUGUCCCAACACUAUUAAAGAGAAGUUAAGUAAUGAACCAAGUCAAAAUUUUCCUAAGCUUAGAAGGUGAGAAAGUUUUACAUCAUAUAUCCGGGAUCUAAUGUGCACUGUGUGUGUAAAGCUUGAAAUGGAAGAAAUAAGUUCGAAAUCAAAGAGAGCUUUAAUAGAUUAUCAACUUUGAAAGCAUAAAACAAACUCAAAGACUUAAAUAAUUAAGUUAAAACUCGACUUAUCCUAUUUUAUUUUUGAGAAAUUAUCUUUAACAACCAUAGAGAAAAAUUUUAAAAUUAAACAAAAGUAACCUAAAUUACCAAAAUAUUUAGUAUUAACAAUAAUAAUAAUAAAAAACUUCCUUCCUCAACUGUCUCCCCCCAACCAAGCUGAGCAUUGUCCUCAAUGUGGUAUGAGCGAUUGAAAUUACAGGGAGGAAGUGGUGCCUCCUGAGUGGAUGUAAUUUGAGUAGAUAAGGAGAAACCACAUGUUUCAAAAAGAAAAUAGAUAUGAGUAGAGGAAUAAAAAUAAAAUAAUACCAAGAGUAUGCAAAAAAUGAUAGAGUUGUAUUACUUCAUGAAAGUACAUUAAAGAUGAUAACAAGUAAUACAACCAAUCCCAAUAUAUAUCAUAACAAAAGCAUGGGAUUGCAAGUGCUACUAUAAUAAGAAAAUGCAUAAAGAAAAUACAUAAAGUAAACUAUGGAAAUGAUCAAGUAGAUGGGUGUUGAUGAUGUGAAGAUAAUGACUCAGGUGGAUGUCUGUGUGUCUCCUGGAGUCGGCUCUGUGGGCUCUAAAGGGGCAGGCAUCUGGUGUUGAGGAGCUGAUGGAAUACCCAGAUGGCUCUGAAUCUGCCUCAGAAUGGCAGUAUGCUGAGUUUGAGUAGCAAUAAUUUGCUCUUGAUGAGCACGAAGAGUUGCCAUCUCCUGAGUAAGAGUGCUCUGUGAAGUGGUCAAUGUCUGCAAAGUGUGACAUAGAGCUCUCUACUCAGAAAUGGAUAUGGUAGUCCUCGGCUCUGCUGAAGAGGAGGGCUGUGAUGUGGCAGGAGAAGCAGGGGGAGGCCGUGGUGUGGCAGGAGAAGCAGAGGGUGCAACCUCAGGUAUGGGCUCUGUAGAGGGCACUGUAGGGGCAGGUGCUCUCGUGUCAGCUGGUGUCUCUAUGGGCUGUGGCUCCUAUGGCUGCUCUGCAUGUGGAAUCCCUGGAUGCUCUACUCCAGUUGGGGCCCCUGGCUCUGCACUAUAGGCUGUCAUAUUCGUCCAUUUGUCAAGAGUGAAUAUCUCUCGACAAAUCCGUUUGCGCUCAAAUUAAGGCUCAGUUGGGUAGCCCAAGUGUUCCAAAAUCUGACAUAACAAUCUGGGGAACAGUAGAGGAAUGGCAUCAGCUCUGAGCAGCUUCUUCUGAUGGACCUUCUCUUCAAAAUACAGAAGGGCGGCCAUAAUGAGAUGAUGAGGGCCAAAGAAAAAUCCCUCAGAUAUCCGAUAUAAUGCCUCCAGCAAAGCUCCUCGCCUCUACACCUAGUGCUGUAGUGGAAAGAUAUUGUGGCGGAGGAGAGCAUCUAUGAAAAACAUGCUAGGAGGGAGCUCCUUCCUCUGUAGAUAUUGGCCUGUGGAUGCCCCUCUGGACAGAAUACGAACUAUGUCGCUCGGGGAAGGAUUAGUCCAGACUCGAUAAUCCUCUGGCCUAGCUGGUUCGUAAGGAAUGCGCAAUGCCUCUGCUAUGUGCCUAGCUCCCAGAAUACCAUGACGUCCGUCUAUGGUGAAGUGGAUGACAAUAGGAUCUCGGACAUGGUGUGUGGUCAUGGAUUGAUAAAAAUCCAUUGCCACACGGGGAUAAAAGAAAUCCCUUGAAGUAAGCAAUUGUUCCAUAUGAUACCUCCGGAGUAGAUGGAAGGAGUCCCUGAGCUGGGGCUGAAGUCUGAAAGCGGCCACGUCAAAACAGAGCUCAGAGUGGAAAGGCCUAGCCCUGCAGUCUAAAUUACCCUCUAUGGGCGGCUGAGUGAGCAUGGGGCGCUUGAUAAUCAUCUCAGGAGUCAUGCCGGAAGGGAUCUAAGAAUCUGUAGGCAACGGCCGAGACGGCUGAGGCCCUGAAGCUGGCUGAGACGGCUGAGACAGCUGAGGCUCUGUAGCUGGCUCUUCUGGCUCUGAUAAAUCAAUUAACGCUGUCUCAGAUACCUUAGCUUUCUUCUUGGGUGGCUGGCUACUUGCCCGUGUAUGAUAGCGCCUGACCGGAGGGCUCCUCGGUGCUUCCUGAACUGGAGGUGGGGUGCGCAGUGGUCGCGGAGGCUCGGAUGUGGAGCCUUGGACAGGGGUCUUUGAUGAAACCCUCGUACGGCUUGACGGGGAGGAGGACUUAGCUCCUCGGGUUCUUGCCAUGGCGGGCCGGCGGAGAUGGGCGGAGGUGCGCGCGGUCGAGGUUCAGGCGAGAGGGAGAAGAUGGAAGGUUGUUCUGUUUUUGGGUCUUCUCUGGUACUAUUUAAAGUUCAAAUGACCGGUUAUAUUAGAAAUUUGGAAUUUAUACCGUUAAAAAUUGGAUACCAAGGGUCACUUUAAUUUUCGUAGCCGAGGGCGGAUUUCGCAGAGAAAGGGCAUUUUCGCAGAGGAGGGCCCUUUUCGCAGCCCAUUUCGCAGCUGCGAAAUUGGGUUACUGUGCUGCGAAAUGGCACACGAGUGCCAAAGGGGUGUUUCGCAGCUGUGAAACACCCUGCGAAAUGAGGCUAUUGCUGCGAAAAUUGAAGAUUUGACGCUUUGGGGAUUUCGCAGCCAUUUCGCAGCUGCGAAAUGGAGUUACUGUGCUGCGAAAUGGCACACGAGUGCCAAGAGGUGGUUUCGCAGCUGCGCAGAGGAGGGUGUUGGGCUGCGAAAUUUAUUUCGCAGCGGAAGGCCAUUUUCGCAGCCAAACCUCGAUUUCGCAGCGGACACCAAAGGGCUGCGAAAUAAUUUCGCAGCCGAUGGCCAUUUUCGCAGGGGGCUAUUUUGGGCUGCGAAAUUUCGCAGACCAUUGAAAUUUCUUGGUUUUGAGCUCCUUUUUGCUCCCUGGGACUUUCCUUCAUUUUCUUUGCAAUUCCUCCUACAAAAGAUCAUUCAAAUAGAUGAAGUUACAUAUAAUUAACAAAACUUUAAACCAAAAUUAAAAUCAAAAGAAUUAAUAAAGCUUUCAAAUUAAUAAACUUAAACAAAAAUAUGGACUUUGGUGAAACCAAGCCCAUCUAACCUUUUUCUGAUUAGGCUUUCUGUGGCUCAAGGAGGUUGAUUUCCUCUUUGUCUUGCUUGAAUGGUUCAAUGAAUGGCUUGAGACGAUGGCCAUUGACCUUGAAGGUCUUUGCACUAUUUGAGUUGAGUAACUCAAUUACUCCAUGUGAGUGUACUUGGUGGAUGACAAAAGGCCCUACCCACCUUGAUUUGAGCUUUCCCGGAAAUAGGUGAAGCUUAGAGUCAUAUAGCAAGACUCUUUGUCCCUUGAAAAAUUCUUUCUUGGUCACCAACUGAUCAUGCCAUCUCUUUAGCUUUUCCUUAGCUAUUUUUGAGUUGAGAUAGGCAUCAUUUCUCAAUUCCUCAAGCUCAUUCAAAUCCAAACUCCUCUUUAGCCCAGCCUUAGUUAAAUCCAUGUUGAGCUUUUUAAUGGCCCACCAUGCCUUGAACUCAAUCUCAACGGGAAGAUGGCAAGCUUUGCCAUAAACAAGACGGUACGGUGACAUCCCAAGGAUAGUCUAAUAAGUCGUCCUAUACGCCCAUAGGGAAUCAAGGAGCUUAACAGACCAAUCUUUCCUAUUGGUGUUCACCACCUUCAUCAAGAUAUUCUUUAUUCCCCGGUUGGCUAGCUCUACUUGGCCACUCGUCUGAGGAUGAUAAGGUGUAGCUACCUUAUACUUGACUCCGUACUUGGCCAAAAGAGCUUCAAAGGGCUUGUUGCAAAAGUGAGUGCCUCCAUCACUGAUGAUUGCUUUAGGCACUCCAAACCUCAAGAAGAUGUUUUCUUUUAGGAAUUUGAGAACCACUUUGUGAUCAUUGGUUCUACAGGAUAUAGCUUCAACCCACUUUGAAACAUAAUCAACUCCUACCAAGAUGUAGGAGUGGCCAAAAGACAUAGGGAAAGGUCUCAUGAAGUCUAUGCCCCAAACAUAAAAAAGAUCCACUAUCAAGAUGGGGUUCAAAGGCAUCAUGUUUCUCCUUGAAAGCUUGCCUAGUCUUUGGCACUUAUCACAUCCUUUACUUACCUCAUGGGCAUCCUUAAAAAGUGAGGGCCACCAAAAACCCGAUUGAAGAACUCUCAUUGUCGUCUUUUGAGAGGCAAAGUGGCCUCCACAUGCAUUCUCAUGGCAAUGAGAUAUGAUCCCAUGCUUCUCUUGUUCAGGCACACACUUCCUUAUAAUUUGGUCCGCACAAUACUUGAAGAGAAAAGGCUCCUCCCAAUAAUAUGCAUGGACCUUGGCAAAGAAAUUCUUCUUGUCCUGAGAGCUCCAUUCACUUGGUAUUUCUCCCGUGACCAAGUAAUUUGCAAUGUGUGCAAACUAUGGCACUUGCUCUACAAGCAUCAAGGAUUCCUCAGGGAAAUCAUCAUUUAUGGGAAGUCCAUGGGUGUCAUGAGCAAUGUUGAGCCUUGACAAGUGGUCAGCUACCACAUUCUCAACACCUUUCUUAUCUCUGAUCUGGAGGUUGAACUCUUGAAGCAAAAGUAUCCACCUAAUCAACCUAGCCUUGGCAUCUUGCUUGGUUAGCAAAUACUUCAAAGCUGAAUGAUCUGUGAAUACCACAAUGGAAGACCCUAUCAAAUAAGCUCUGAACUUAUCCAAAGCAUACACCACAGCAAGUAAUUCCUUCUCAGUAGUGGUGUAAUUCCUUUGAGCAUCAUUCAAAGACUUGCUUGCAUAGUAGAUCACAUAAGGUUUACCAUCUUCUCUUUGUCCCAAAACAGCCCCAAUGGCAUAAUCACUUGAGUCACACAUCACUUCAAAUGGCAACUCCCAAUUUGGUGCUCUCACAAUGGGUGCUGAUGUCAAGAAUUGCUUAAGAAGCUCAAAACUCCUUUGACAUUUAUCAUCCCACUCAAACUUGGCAUCCUUCACCAAUAAUUCACAAAGAGGUUUGGCAAUCUUGGAAAAAUCCUUUAUAAACCUCCUAUAGAACCCGGCAUGCCCAAGGAAUUGCCUUAUUCCUUUUACAUUGGUGGGAGGUGGCAACUUCACAAUUAGUUCCACCUUAGCUCUAUCUACCUCUAUACCCUUCUUUGAGAUUACGUGCCCAAGAACAAUACCUUGAUUUACCAUAAAAUGGCACUUCUCCCAAUUGAGUACGAGGUCUUUCUCUAUGCAUCUUUUCAAAACAUCUUCAAGAUGUGACAAACAAUCCUCAAAAGAAGUCUCAUACACAGUUAUGUCAUCCAUGAAGACUUCCAUGAUUCGUUCAACCAUGUCACUGAAGAUGCUAAGCAUGCAUCUUUGGAAGGUAGCAGGAGCGUUGCAUAAUCCAAAAGGCAUCCGCCUAUAAGCAUAGGUGCCGAAUGGACAAGUGAAGGUAGUCUUCUCCUGGUCCUCCACAUCAAUCUCUAUUUGAAAAUACUCGAAAUACCCAUCCAAGAAGCAAUAAAAAGGAUGCCCAGAUACUCUCUCAAGGACUUGAUCCAUGAAAGGUAAAGGGAAGUGAUCCUUUCUCAUUACUGCGUUCAGCUUCCUGUAGUCAAUGCACACCCUCCAACCAGUUGUGAGGCGUGUGGACACUUCAUCUCCAUUUUCCCCCUUGACUACGGUUAUCCCGGACUUCUUUGGAACAACUUGGGUUGGACUCACCCAAGCGCUAUCCGAAAUGAGGUAAAUGAUGCCCGCUUGAAGAAGCUUCAACACUUCAGCCCUUACUACCUCUUGCAUAUGAGGAUUCAAUCUUCUUUGUGGCUGACGAGUUGGCUUAGCUCCCUCCUCCAUAUAAAUAUGGUGCGUGCAAAUCAAUGGGCUUAUCCCCUUCAAAUCAGAAAUUUGCCGUCCGAUGGCCUUCUUGUUCUUUCUAAGGAUUCUAAGAAGAUUGUCCUCUUGUGAAACGGUUAAAGAAGAAGAAAUUACCACCGGGGCUUUAUUGCCUUCCUCCAAGUAAGCAUACUUCAACUCGGCAGGAAGGGUCUUCAAUUCAAGCUUAAGGAUUGCAUCCUUAGCUUCUUUCAUCUCUUCCUCAUCCUUGAACAAAGGGAGGAUCACUGGCUUUUGUCUCCAGUUUGACAUAACGACAUUCAUUCCCAUGGGUUCAGCUAACCCAUCAUCAAGAUCUUCAUGGCUUUCAUCUGGAUUCUCUUCAAACUGAUCAAGCAUACUCUGAUUACAAUGCUCCUCCACCAGGGUAUCUAUCAUACAAACUUCUUCUAGGCCCUCAUCUUCUUCAGGAUGGAUGUGCUUUUGACAUAGAUGGAAGAUGUUGAGUUCCAAUGUCAUAUUCCCAAAAGUGAGUUGCAUGACCCCAUUCCUACAAUUGAUGAUUGCAUUGGAUGUUGCAAGGAAUGGUCUUCCAAGGAUGAUUGGAACAUAGUUGAUCCCUUUGACAAUGGGAUCUGUAUCAAGCACCACAAAAUCUACUGGAUAGUAGAAUUUGUCAACUUGAACCAAUACAUCCUCUAUUACCCCCCUGGGGAUUUUCACUAAUCGGUCAGCUAAGGAUAGGGUGAUCGAUGUUGGCUUGAGUUUCUCCUCAACCCUCAGCUCCUUAUAUACAGAGUAUGGAAGCAAGUUAACACUUGCCCCCAAAUCAAGCAAUGCCUUCUCCACUUGGGUUCCUCCAAUAUUAACUGAGAUUGUAAGACACCCCAGAUCUUUGUAUUUGAUUGGAGACUUGCAUUGGAUUAUAGCACUCACUUGCUCGGUUAGGAAGGCUUGCUUUGUAACAUUGAGUCUUCUUUUCACAGUGCACAAGUCCUUCAAAAACUUUGCAUAUAUGGGUACUUGCUUGAUCAUAUCAAGUAAAGGAAUAUUCACCUUCACUUGUCUUAGCACAUCAAGAAUCUCAGAAGCAUUCUUGAUCGGUUUCUUCCCACGCAAGGCUUGAGGAAAUGGAGGAGGCAUGUGCUUCUUCAUCAUGCCUUCCUUUAAAAGAAUUUGAGGUUCCUCAUCCAUGCUAGGAAUGAUGCUUUCUUUCAUCUGAACUUCCUUUCCCUUUCGUUCAUUCUUCUUUUCUUCAUUUCUAUCAGCCUUGUCUUCUUUGGCUUUCCUCUGAUCAUGCUCUGGCUGAUGCACUUCCUUACCACUUCUCAAAGUGAUAAUAGCUUGCACGUCCCUCACCUUUGAAGAAUCCUCGUCUUUGGAUUCCACUUCAUGUAUCCCCUUAGGAUUUUGGUGAGGCUGAGAGGGAAACUUUCCUUUCUCAUUGACAGUGUUCAAAUUUGUGAGCCUUGAGAUGGAAUAUUGGAUGUUGUCAAUUUUCUGAGACAACUCAUUAUGCAUCCAAUCUAUCUUCUUGUUCAAUGUACUCUCUACGAUGUCAAUCUUCUGAUUUAGUUGAGAGUUGAUGGACUUUUGCUCACUCACAAAGUCACCCAUAACCUUGCUAAGGCUUAUGAGUGCUUGCUCAACUGAGGAUUGACCUUGACUCUAUUGGCUUGAUUGGGCUGGUGACUGAUAUGGGUUUGGCCUUGGCUUCCAUGCAAAGUUUGGGUGGUUCCUCCAGCUAGAGUUGUACGUGUUGCCAUAGGGAGCAUUUGAAUUUGGCUUCCAUUAGCCAAUCAGGUUAGCUUGUUCCCCAAACAUUUCUCUUGCUGCCGGAAUGGUGGGACAUUCUUCCACCAUAUGUUCAAAUGACUGACAUAUGGAGCAAGGAUUGGCUGGUUGUUGAGGUUCUGAAAUAGCUUGGACUUCGUGAACUUUUCUCAACUCCAUUUCCUCUAUUUUUCUAGCCAUAGCAGCUACCUUGGCUUUCAUCUCCAUGUCUUCACUCAGAUUGUACAUCCCUCCUUUUGACAUUUGCUGAACUGGCCUCUUCCCCAUUUCUCUGUUAGUGGGCUCAUCCCAUCCACGGGAAACCUCUGAGACAUAACUUAGGAAAUCCAUAGCCUCCUCAGGGUUCUUGCUCAUGAAAUCGCCCCCACACAUUGUCUCCAAUAUCUGCUUCAUUGAAGAUGACAUGCCAUCAUAAAAAUAGCUCACCAAAAGCCAUGUAUCAAAGCCGUGGUGAGGACAUGCAUUGAUGGCUUCCAUAUACCUCUCCCAGCAUUCAUAAAAUUUUUCAUUCUCACGUGCUGAGAAGUUGGAGAUUUGUCUCUUCAAUCCAUUUGUUCUGUGAGUAGGGAAAAACUUCUUCAAAAAAUCAGCUUGAAGUUUUGUCCAUGUUCUUAUGCUUCUCGGCCUCAAGGAAUUGAGCCAUAUCUUGGCUUUGUCCUUUAAUGUGAAUGGAAAGAGCUUCAACCUCAUAAGCUUAAUAGCUGUUCCCCCUUCUUGAAAAGUAUUGCACACAUCUUCGAAUUCCUUUAUGUGCGCAUAUGGAUUUUCACUUUCCAUCCCAUGGAAAGUAGGAAGCAGAGGCACGAUGUGUGGCCUGAUAAUCAAUUGCUCUAUAGGAGGAAUGAUGCAAGAUGGUGCACUCAUCCUCGGAGGGUGCAUCCUGUCCCUCAUGGACCUAUACAAGUUCGGAUCAUUCCCCUGCCCGUGUUGUGAAUGUUGAUCCUCUGGUUGAUUCUCCAUGACUUCCAAAAUAAUCUCUAAUUUAGUAGCUCGUGGAGUCUCUAUCCGUACUAACCUUCCCUCUUGGUCUCUAAUCCAAUAGGGCAUGCACGGAUUCAGCUGGAACAAAGUAAACAAACAAAACAAAGAAAAAAGAGAAAAAACAGAGCAUGCGGAAAGAAAAACAGAGUAUGAAUAAUAAACUAAAAAUGAAAGUUAAAAGCUAAAAGAAACUUAUCUAAACUAAGUUAAAAAUGUUCUAAAACUAAAAUAAAAGGUUAGUAAAAGAAAAAUGAGAUAAAAUUCACCUUACUCAUGAGAAGUCUCACAAGUUACCUCCGGCUGAUAUAUUCACAGUGAAGUAGCACCCUUCCCCGGCAACGGCGCCAUUUGAUAACCCGACUCUUGGUAGCUUGGCAUGUAAGGGUAUCAACAAAAUUUAUACCUAAGGUCCUUACACUAAAGUAGCAAAGCUACUAUAGCAUAGUGGCUCUAGGAUCGAACACUGGGAAGGGUUUUUACUUUAACUGGUGAAGUUCGGAGGAUGGAGUGAACUUUUCUUAAUAAAAAUUAGGUUAAGAUGAAAACAUAAAAAGAUGAAGGUGUUGUAAACUAAACUAACAUGAAAAUAGGUUAAAAGAUGGAAAAAGAAGUUUCUCAAAGCUUUGGAUAGCCAUGCUUAACUCACUGUGUAAAAAUGGAGAUUUUGGAACUUUUCACCUCGAGUUGGGGAAGCAACUAAGGUGAUGCUUACUUCCCGAACUGGUAUGUGUUUAACAACUGAGUUUUAGUCCUUGAAAACUUACAAAAAGGGUAGCUGAACCUCAUAAAUGCUCUUUUAAUGAUAUAGGUCAUCUCCUCGACUUGCAAUACAAUGGCUCGUAGGAGAUAACUAAUGAACGUCAGUGGAUCUAACAAUAAGAAUCCAAUGAGACCAAAAGGUUAUCAAGUAUUGGCCAUUCAAAGCAAGUCAGAGGGAUUAAAGCUUUACUUUGAAUGAAAACAUUUAUGACGCUCAACUACUUACAUUCAUGGCUUGGAAAUCUCCAUCCUGACACGGGAGCUUCACAUGGCAUCCAUUACUUCAAGAAACUAAAAGGUUUCAGCCUCUCAUCCUUGGGGAUUUCAUCCUCCAAGGAUGUUUGGCUACUAAGAAAAUAGAAAAUAGUAGAGAGAAAAAGAAAGCAAAAGAUACUCUGUAUUUAGCUAAGUGUAAAAUUUACAUAAGUUCGUCUUUGGAGAAAGUUCCCCGACGUUUAUAAAAUGAAAAUUACAAAACAAUAUAUAACAGGUUGUUUACCCCUGUAUCCUUGCUUAAGAACUAAGGAAUCAUCUAAUUGGUGGAUUACAAGGAGAGAAUUGGGAUUUAGACAACAAAUAUCUGAGGCAAAAUAACAAAAAACGUUGGUCGCAAAUAUCUGGAAGCACUCAGGAGAAUUUCGCAGGCGCACAAAAUGGUUGCGAAAUUUCACAGACGAACAAGAUGGCUGCGAAAUCAUUUCGCAGCCGAAGGCUGAUUUCGCAGCCAAAGGCUGAUUUCGCAGCCAAAGGCUGAUUUCGCAGCCAAAGGCUGAUUUCGCAGCCCUGCGAAAUUGGCCUUCAGCUUGGAGUGAUCUGCUUCCAUUGGCUCUAACUUCUUCAUUUCAACUCUGAUUUGUGAACUGUUUGAAGCAUUGGAUUUUUGACUUCCCGAUCUUCGAAACGACAUAAAGUAUGCAUAAAUUGGACUUCAGGAAGUACUCCAAAAGUGGCUGAAAUGACUGUCAUCAAGAAUGCUUCAAGGUAGAUUCUCUCUUUACUUCUCCUCCUUGCAUUCCGGAUUGGUUAUGGCAAAGGACUUUAAGGCUUCAAAGCUCUGAUUCUUCAUGUUCCUGAGCUUUCCAUUGCUUUACCAUGGAUUCCAAAUAACUCUCCUCCAUCUUGGAUUGCUUUGGUGAUCAAAUUACUAAUAAAAACACCAAAACUUACACAAAGUGAUUAGAAGUGAUUGCAAAGGUCCUUAAUAUGUUAAUUGGGUUAAAGGGCAAUAAUUACUACUCAAAAGUGUUUAAAAGAGUUAAUUACAAGCUAUCAAAUAGCCCUUUUUGAGUAGUAAUCAGUUUCCAUAAGGUGCAUUCUUGUUAGGCCUAAAUUGCCCCACAACAUUGGCUUGAUCACCUAACAUCUCCCUCACAGCUGGCAUGGUUGGGCACUCAUCUACCACAUGAUCACAUGAUUGGCAAAUGGUGCAUGGCAUGGCAUGGGCUUGAGUCUCGGAAAUGGCUUGGACUUCAUGCAUCUUUUUCAACUCAAGUUCUUCCAACCUCCUUGCUAUUGUUGCCACCUUAGCUUUCAUGUUCAUGUCUUCACUUAACAUGUACAUUCCACCCUUUGGAUUUACAGGAGCUUUCAUCCUUCCCAAUUCCUUUGAGUUAGGCUCAUCCCAUCCUCUUGUUACCUCAGAUACAUAACUUAAAAAAUCCAUGGCUUCUUCCAGAUUCUUACUCAUAAAAUCUCCCCCACACAUGGUUUCAAGAAUUUGCUUCAUGGAGGAAGACAUCCCAUCAUAGAAAUAGCUCACCAAGAGCCAUGUAUCAAAGCCAUGAUGAGGACAAGCAUUGAUGGCCUCCAUAUACCUUUCCCAACAUUCAUGGAACUUCUCAUUUUCUUUUGCAGAAAAGUUUGAGAUUUGUCUCUUCAACCCAUUGGUCCUAUGGGUGGGGAAAAUUUUUUUCAAAAACUCGGCCUGAAGAUCAACCCAAUUCCUUAUGCUCCUUGGCCUUAAAUAAUUAAGCCAUAUUUUUGCCUUGUCCUUCAAAGUGAAAGGGAAUAGCUUGAGUCUCAUCAAGUCUAUUGAGCUCUUCCCUCUCUAAAGGUAUUGCACACCUCUUCAAACUCCUUGAUGUGGGCAUAUGGAUUCUCACUCUCCAUUCCAUGGAAAUUUGGUAGAAGGGGCACAAUAUGGGGCCUUAUAAUCAGCUGCUCAAGAGGAGGUAUGAUGCAUGAGGGUGCACUCAUCCUUGGUGGGUGCAUUCUAUCCCUCAUGGAUAGAUAUGCAUUUGGAUUACCCCCUUGACCUUGUUGAAAAUUCUGAUCCUCUUGUGGAGGGUCCAUGAUGUUUACAUAGAUAUCCAACUCUGUGUCUUGAGGAUUCUCAAUUCUUACUAAUCUUCCUUCUUGGUCCCGAAUCCAAUAAGGCAUGCACAAAUCACUACUUGCCUGAAAACAAAACAAAGACAACAAAAACAAAAGAAAAUUAGAAGAAAGUUAAAGUUAGAAAGAAAACAAAACAAAUUCUACAAUAAAAAAAAAAAAGUUAGUGAAAAAGGAAUUCACCAAACUUGUAAUGAAAAUCACAAGUAGCCUCUAAAAGGUUGUAUCACUGUAUCGUGGCACCAUCCCCGGCAACGGCGCCAUUUUGAUUCGCGUAUGUAAAUCCAGUCGGGUCAUUUAAUAAAAAACAUUUAUAAAACCUAUGACCUCAUACUAGUGUAGCAAAGCUACUAUAGUAUAGUGGCUCUAGGGUCGAACUCUGGGAUGGGUUUUCAUUCUACCAGUGAUAUACUCAUGAUUAGGAAUUGAAUUUAAUGAUUUCCUUUAUAAAAAAUUUAGAGUUUAAAAGAAAAUAAAAUUUGUUUUGAAAGUGUUUGAAACUAAAUUAACAUAAACUAAUUAAAAAUGGAAGAAAGAAAGUCUCCCGGAGCUCAGGAUUGCUAGGAUCAAGUUUAGAAUGCAAAGUGGAAAAUUCCGGAUUUUUCUCCUCGCAUUGGGGAUUUAACCUAUAGUUAUUUCCCGAACCGGUAUCGGUUUAACAAUGAAGAUUUAAUCCAUAAAAAUCAAUAGAAAUGGUAGUCAAGGUCCAUUAAUGGCUUUAGACACUAUGGUUCUUCACCUUGAACCACUUUCCAAUGGCUCGUACAUGAUAACUAAUGGACUGAUAUGGAUCUAGCAAUAAGCAUCCACAGAGACUUGAAGCUUACCAUGUAUUGGCCAUUCAAAGUGAUUCUAAGGGAUUUAAAGCAAAACAUUGGAUUUAAAAGGCAUUUAUGAGCUUCAACUACCUGUAUUUAAGGCACGAGCGUUUUCCACCUUACAUCUGGACUUUUCACCUAGCUUCCAUCACUCCAAGAAACCAAAAGUUUAGCCUCUCAUCCUCUGAGAAAACACCCUCAGAGGUUGUUUGGCUUCCAAGAAAAAGAAAAUAGUAAAUAGAAAAGGGAAAACGAGAGAGCUCUGUAUAUUUUUCUAAGUGUAAAACAUAACACGCGUGAUACCUCCAAGAGGUGAUUUCCACCCCUUAUAUAGUUUUUACAAAAGCAAAGCUUGUGAUUGGCUUGUUACAAGGAGAAGAAAGGAAAUUACAUCAAAAAAUACAAAAGAAAAUAUCUAAAGUGGAGUCUGCAAAAACAGAGGAAAAUUCGCACCACACAUGGGGUGUGCGAAUUUUCGCACACCUGAGGGGGGUGUGCGAGUUUCGCACACCUGAGGGGGGUGUGCGAGUUUCGCACACCAUUCGCACACCUAGAGUAGUUGUCUUCCGAAGGCCAUAUCUUCCUCGUUUCAGAUCCAAAUCAUACACGGUUUGAAGUGUUGGAUUCUUGACUUCCUGAGCUUUGAAAUGGUAUAUAGCGUGUAAAAAAUGGACUUCAGGAAGUGCUCAAAAAGUGCCAAAGAAGACUGCAGCUUCUGUCCUCUGUUUUCCUCUUUGCUUCUCUUUGGUUUUCUUUGCUUUUCUCCUUUGGAUGGCUUGUCUUAAUGAUCUAAAAAGAUGUCAAAAACACUAAAACUAGCCACAAAUAUGAUUAGGAGUCAUUGAUAGGUCCUUAACAUGCCAAUUGGAAUAAAGAUGAAGAAUUACUACACAAAAGUGCUUAAAACAUAAUGACUUAAAGGUGUAAAAUAAUACUUUUUGGGUAGUAAUCAGUCAUGAACAUCAUCAGAACGGGAAACAAAUCUCGACAAAAAAUCAAAGGAAAGAGGUGGGUCCACAAAGUUGGACGCUCCCUCAACUAGGCCAACAAGGUCGUCAAACAAAACAUCAACAUCUAAAAUAUCCUCUACAAACUCCGGAACAGGGGCAGUCGGGAUCUCCUCAGCAGUUUCGAUGACGAACACCCUGAAAAGAUCAAACAAUGAAGCGAGCCAAGGCUGAAGUAUCUCAUCGAUUUGGCUCAAGCUCAUCACGAACAUCUCAUCAACGUACUCGUCAUGUUGAAUGGUUCCGUCCAUCAUGUCUCCGACCUCGGCAAAUGUCCCAUGCUCAUCGAUCUCAUCCAGGAAAUAGAGCGUCAUAAGGCUCAUACGAUCCUGGAAGAAAAGGGCGGUCAACACAGAUGUCGAAGUCUCAGGGGCUCCAUCACUCAAAUGUAGCUGGUGGAUGAGGCGUUGUAACUCGGCCUCCUGAGUAGUGUUGAGUCCUCCAAUGAUCACGUCCGAACGAGUCCGUGGCUCCGAUGCCCUCACGAAGUAAUCUGUCAGGCUGAUGGUGUACGAGCAAACAGGUUAACCGAACGGUGUAUGAGUCAGUCGAGCCCUCACUCGUUCCUUAUGCAAUCGCGCCAUAUAGCUAUAAUCGGCCUCAAUGGGAAUGAACCCGAGUCCGAACGGUACGUCAUGAUCAGGGAUAGUCAUGAACUCACUGGGCCUAUGCUGACGCCACCCUAAUCCCAUGCUGGGUAGAUAAGACACACUCCUCAUCAUAUCGAGCACCACCGUGCUACCGUGCUGGUCGAACGACAAGGCCACAAAGUCUCGACAGAAAUCCUCCAUUUCCAGGGCCUGCACCUCAUCAAAGGUGAAUCCAGUCAGAAGUAAUUCAUCAUCAUUGUGACUAAUUUGGAGCACUGGCUCAGUAGAAAUGAACAUAUCUCGCAUAGACUGCACUAUGACGACCUGGCCAUCGUGAAUGAACUUCACCUUCUGAUGAAUGAAAGAAUGAAUGGCCCCGGCUCUAUGGAUCCAAGGUCGGCCCAAAAGCAGGUUAAAAGAUGUAGGAAUCCUCAAAACCUGGAACAUGGUAACAAAUGUGGCUGGACCUAUCAGCGGCUUGAUCUCUAGAGUGUCCAUAAUCUCUCUUUGAGUGUUGUCAUAAGCUUGAAUUGUUUGCUUAGAGGGAUCGAAAUCAAAAGGUGUGUAGCCGAGGGUAAUGGCAGUGGCCAAAUGACAAACGUUCAGGGUCGAGCCAUUUUCCAAAAGGACAAAUGGAACUCGACGACCUAAACAACCAACGGAUAUAUAAAGUGGACGUGUAUGGUCUGAACCCUUUGGUGGCAAGUCAUCAUCAGAGAAUACUAUGCAUGUGGCUCUACCAACCGUCACCAUAUGAAUCAAUCUCUCCGGAGUGGUGGUAGUCUCGACUCUGAUUUGGCUCAGGACUCGAAUUAAUGCAUCUCGGUGAGUGAUAGAAGAUGUUAGUAAGCUCCAAAUAGAAAUGCGAGCCUGGGUGCUUUGUAACUGCCUCUGAAUCUCAUCAUCCUCUCUCCUGACCUCCUCUUGGGAAGACGUCCCCUCCAAGGGUCUAGCGGCCGUGGGGGGUUGUUGUCGUACCACCCUACCCCCGCGGAUAACAUACUGCACAUCUGAAGUAAGAACACCAUCGACAUAUGGAGUUUGAGAAACAUCAACAUACGAAGUCUGAACCUCAUCAACAUUCGAAAUCAAAACAAAAGGCAUCUGAACACUAUAAUAUGAGAAGGUCGAUGGCUCGACAGUGGUCGUUUGUACUGACAUCGACAUAUGGAGUCUGAGAAACAUCAACAUACAGAGUCUGAACCUCAUUAAAAGAAACCAAUACUAGGUCUAGUGUGAGAAAGAUAUAUGAGUUUUCCUACUAGUUUUGGUAUUUGUCUUCUUUAGCUCCUAGUUUAGUUGUUGAAUCCAUUAGAGUAUCAAUAGGAUUGCACUCGAGCAUCCUUGUUUCCUUUAGUAAAUCUAGAAAAUAUUUUCGUUGAGAAACAAAAAAAUACCUUUUCUUGAUUGAACAACUUCCAUAACAAGGAAGAAUUUGAGAUUGACCAAGUCUUUGAUUUCAAACUCUUUGGCUAGAAAGCCCUUAAGUUUGCUUAUUUCCUCCUCUUAGUCCCUUAUUACAAUGAUGUCAUCUAUAUACACGAUGAAGAUGGUUAUUUUUCCUUUAGGUGAGUGUUUGACACAUAAGGUGUGGCCUGUCUAACACUAAGAAUACCCAUAUCUCUUCAUUGCCUUUGUAAACCUGUUGAACUAAGCUCUUGGGGAUUGCUUGAGACCAUAUAAUGACUUUUUGAGCUUACACACUUUGUUGAUAGUUGUUUAUGUCUCAAAGCUAGGAGGAAUUUCCAUGUAGAAAUCUUCUUCUAGAUCUUCAUUAAGGAAAACAUUCUUGACAUUUAGUUGAUAAAGGGACCAAUUUAAAUUCAUUGUCAAUGAUAAGAGUACCUGGAUUGUGUCGAGUUUAGCUACUAGGGCAAAUGUCUCCUGGUAAUUAGUCAAUUCCAUAGGAUUGAGUGAACUCUUUAGCAACAAGCUAAGCCUUGAACCUAUCAAUCCGUUUACAUCCCAUGAGAUGUUUUUUGGUUGGUAAAUAUGAAAUUUCCCAAAUUCCAUUUAUCUUUAGUGCAAGAAUCUCUUCCCAAUGGUAGCUUUCCAUUCUGGUAAUGUUAGAGCUUCAUGGAUAGUGUUAGGAAUCUGUAUUUUGUUGAGAUUGGUUAGAAAGAAAUGAAAACUAGGUGAUAACCCUUAAUAAGAGACAAAAUUAUAGAUUGGGUGACUUGUACAUGAUCUCACACCUUUCCUCAAGGCAAUAGGACGAUUAAGAUCAUCAUUAGAAAUUUCAAUAUUGCCAGAUUUAGAAUUAGUGGUACUUGGUGAAAUUUCAAUAGAUUUUGAACUUGGAUCAGACUCUUGGAUUUGCUUAGGAGGUGUUUGUUGCUCUAUACCCAAUUCAAUCUUUUUUCUCCUUGAAUAGACAAUAAGCUCAUUGUUUUUUGCAUGUUGAGUGGACUUUGGAUGGUGUGAAGGACUUGAGGACUAGGACCAUUAUAUGGAUUUGAAGUACUGUGAGACAAGUUUGGAGCAUUGGUUUCAACGUUCUAAAGUUUAUAUUUCCAUGUGUAAUUCUCCCCUUGAAUAUCGGAUUUGGGAUGGUAAGGUUGUUGUUAAAAAAUUGUGAUAUCCAUGGAGUUAGAAUCUUUUUGUGAUUAGUGAAUGACACUUGUACCCCUUUUUGAUUUAGAGAGUACCCAAUGAACAUGCACUUGAUUGCUUUUGGGAUAAGUUUGCUCCAAUUUUGUUGAUUUAUGUUUUUUAAAUUUUUUUUUAUUUUGAUGAGAAACAACAAUAUAUUAUAUUGAAGUUAGUAAAAUAAGUACAAAGAAGGAUGAGAGAUCAUUUCCUUAUUUGUUUAUUUUAGUGAUGAAGAUCCUUUCUUUUUUGAUUUCUAGGGUAAGGGAGGGUGUCUUUUUUUAGGGGUUCCGAGUUAAGGAAAGGCAUGAUGUGGGUCUAGAGUUUUCCCAUUUGUUCUUUGCAAAUGAUAAUCUCAUUUUUUGUGAUGCAAGCAAGGAAAAUAUAGUGUAUUUGAGUUGAUUUUUUAUGUGGUUUGAGGCAUGCUCAGGUCUCAAGAUAAAUCUAGAGAAAAGUGAGUUGAUUCCUAUUGGGGAUGUCCAUAAUAGGGAGGAGUUUGUUGAGGUUUUAGGUUAUAAGGUGGGCACCCUUCCAACCACUUACUUAGGCCUCCCCUUGGGUGCUCCUUACAAGUUUAGUAGGGUCUAGGAAAGGGUGGAGGAAAGGUUCCAAAAAAGGCUUGCUUUGUGGAAGAGACGAUAUUUUUCGAAAAGUGGAAGACAGACGCUGAUUAAUAGCACAUUAUCUAACUUACCCAUUUACUUUAUGUCCCUUUUUUUUAUCCCUAAAAGAGUGACAAUUAGAUUGGAAAAGAUUCAAAGAGACUUUCUAUGGGGAGGAGGGGAUUUGGUGAAAAAACCUCAUUUGGUUAAGUGGUCGAUUGUUUGUAUGGAGAAACAAAAAUGGGAUUUGGGUUUUAGAAGUCUUUCUCUUUUCAAUAAGGCCCUAUUGGGGAAAUGGUCUUGGAGAUUUGUGAAGGAAAGGUGCCCUCUUUGGAAAUAUGUAAUUAUUGGUAAGUAUGGGUUACAGGAGGGGGCAUGGUGCACAAAGGAGAUGAGAGAGAGGUUUGGUGUAGGGCUUUGUAAAGCAAUUAGAAAUGGUUGGGAUGUCUUCAAAGAUAAAACAAGUCUUCAAGUUGGUUUGGGAAAUCAGGUGAAGUUUUGGAAUGAUAAGUGGUGUGGGGAAACGCCUUUUAAGGGAUGUGUUCCUGAGUCUUUAUGCUAUCGCUUCUUCUAAGGAUGCUUGUGUGGUAGAUGUUUGGGAUGAGGGUAGUUGGGGUUCGAGGUUUAUUAGAUAAUUCAAUGAUUAGGAGUUGGAGGAUGUUGAUGCCUUUUUUGGGAGGUUGCAUAACUACUUUGUUACUUUGGGUAUCAUUGAUGACAUGGUAUAGUUGGGGCUAAGAAUGGAGUUUUUUCAGUUUAGUUUUUUUACUUCUCUCUAGCAAGUAGGAGAGUGGAGCCUUUCCUGCACAAUAUAAUGUGGAACUCUUGGGCCUCUAUAAGAGCUAGCUUUUUUGUUUGGUAGGCAACUUGGGCUAAGAUAUUUACACAAGACCGGCUUAGAAGGAGGGGAUGGAGGAUGGCAAACAGAUGUUACAUGUGCAAGGCAAGAAAAGAAACAUGAUAUCAUAUUUUGUUGCACUGUCCGAAAGAAAGCUUAUAGUGGCAACUAGUCUUUACUUUAUUUCCUAUAUAAUGGGUGAUGCAUUCAUUUGUGAGAGGGGUGCUCUUAAAUUGGAAUAGCUUCUUGAUUGGCAAAAAGAGGAAAAAGGCUUGGAAAGUUGCCUCACUUUGCCUUUUUUGGUAUAUUUGGAAGGAAAAUAAUAAGAGUCUUUGAGGAUAGGAAAAGUUUUGAUUAGAUAUUUAAAAGUUCUUUUUUGUAUAUCUUUUAGGAUUAGGUUAUAGUGUAUAUGGGGAUAGUAUUGCUUUUUUGAUAGAUUUUAUGGAUUGGUUAGGCUCCCCAUAGAGUGCGGUCGUUUUUUAUACAUUCUUGCCCCUAUUGGUUUUUGUAUUUGUAUACAUCAUGUAUACCUUUUUUUUAAUACAAUACUUCUUUUACCUAUAUAUAUAUAUAUAUAUAUAUAUAUAUAUAUAUAUAUAUAUAUAUAAAAGAGAUCCUCCAAAAAGUACACAAAAAGAAAGCAAGAAUCUCCAAGUUUAAGAAUCUAUACAACUAUGAGAUUCCAUAACCUAAGUCCCAUGUGGAAUUAUACAAAAAUAAUCUAUCCUUGCUAGCCCACUCCCUUGGAAUUACACACUAACAUCCAAUAAAGUUGAAUCAAAUUAAGGGGAACAACCCUUAAAAGUUGUGGAGCAAGAUACACAAAAGGAGGCUACGAAAAAUAUUAUGUCCCAAAGACCCUUUGAGGAUCUCGCCUUAUCCUCAAAGAUCUUAACAUUUUUCUCCCACCACACUACCCACAUCAGAGCAAGACAAGCAAGCUUCCACAACACCUUUCCUCUACUCAUGUUUCCCAAUCCUUUAUAUGAAAUACUCAUCAUGUCGCAUAUACGCCUGGGAGGAACUAAUCCAUUUGAACCAAGCUGAAUAGUUUGUGUUAUAGGCCCAAACUUAAUGGGCAAUGUAAAAAGAUGUGAUCUACCAUUUCGCCACUGUCCACACACAAUAGACAAACAUUAGGACUAAGGGCUUUGUAAGAUCUUCUCAGUUGUAGCAUGUCAUUGAUGUUUACCUUCUUAAGUGCCACUAAUCAAGUAAAAGAUUUGAACUUAAAUAAGGCUUGUGAUUUCCAUACAAAAUCAAUAGGGAAUGAUUGAGUUGGAUCAAUAUGAUGGUUAAGACUUAAAAGAAUGACUUUAUUGUGAAUAAACCGGACUAGACUCUCGCAUCAUGACCAAAAGGAGAUAAAUUCAAGUGUGAGAGAGAGGACAUGAGUCUUUCAAGAUCUUCUAUCUCAAGAUCCAAAAGAUUGUGGUAGACAUUUAGAUUCCAAGAGAAAUGAUAAGUGGACCUAAGAUUCCAAGAGAUAUUAGGUUUUUAACAAUGAUAAUUUUGAAUAGACUUGGGAAUUGAGAGCACAAAGGUUGAUCCACCCACCACAAAUCUUCCCAAUACUGAAUUCUUAUCCCAUCUCCCACUACUAGCCAAGUGUAUCUUGAAAAAUCUAGAAAGACCUGUGCAAUGGCCUUCCAAUGACAAUGAUGUGACCACUUAACUAUAGUGUUAGCAUCCCACUUAUUAGUAUGUGUCCUAUAAAUGCUUAGGAAAACCUUAUGCCAAAGAGCAUAUGUGGAAAUCUGUUACAAUUGUGAAUGAUGAUUGGUAGGAUAAUAGGGAAAAAUUGAGGCCCCUAUUGUGGGUAAUUUAUGUUCUUCCAUGUUUGUAUUUUUUUUUUCCUUUUUAAUUGUUCUCUGUAUAGUUGUUAAAUAGGGAUACGUUUAUGUAAAAAAUAAGAGUUUUGAAUGAAUUUAGAAGAUCAUUUUCUUAGUUUCUUCAUGGUAUCAGAGCCUUAUUUGCUCUAAAACCCUAAUCUGUCAAUGGAUGCCCAAAGAGGAAGCAACCAUGAAAGAGUGUCGGAGAUACAAUCUUCGAUGGGUUCCGUCGGUGCAUUCGAAAACUCCUCACUCCACCUUACCAUUGAAAAACUGAAUGGUAAUAAUUACAGAGAGUGGGCUCAAGCAAUCAAACUCAUUAUUGACGAAAAGGGAAAGUUAGGAUUCCUUACCGAUGAGACUCGACAACCACCUCCUACCGAUGUAGCAGCAUCCCAGAAAUGGUAGUUCGAAAACUCCUUUACCACCUCAUGCUUGAUUAAUUCCAUGAAACCAUCCAUUGGAAAGACUUACAUGUUCUUCCUGACGGCAAAGAACGUGUGGGAUGCGAUACGGGAAACGUAUUCCGAUGUUGAGAAUGCUUCCCAGAUCUUUGAAAUCAAGACGCGGCUUUGGCAGAUGAAGCAAGGAGAUCGGGAAGUCAUGGAAUACUACACUGAGAUGUUGGGUCUAUGGCAAGAUCUCGAUUUUAGCUGCGAAGAAGAGUGGGAGGGCAUGAGGGACAAUGAGUGCUUUAAGAAGAAGAUGGAGAACGAAAGGGUCUUCGAGUUCCUAACAGUGCUGAACCGCGAGCUUGAUGACGUUAGGAGUAGGGUUCUCAGUCGCCGGCCGUUGCCCUCCAUCUGAGAGGUCUUCUCUGAGGUGUGGUAAAAGGAGAUCAGAAGGAGAGUGAUACUGGAUCACUCAGUUGGGCCUAAGGGCUCAACCCUUUUAACUCAUGGGCCUCAUGGGCCUUAUGUUUAUUGCUAGACGUGGGCCUUCUAUUGCUGGAUCUAGUGGGCCAAGCCCAAGACAGUCCAAGAGGAUUUAUUGUGAGCAUUGUAAGAAGUUGGGCCACACUAAAGACACUUGUUGGGCCUUACAUGGCAAGCCCCCAGAUUGGAAGCCCAGACAUCCCAUUAAAGCCCAUAGUCAUCAGGCCUCCACCGAAACCCAGGCAGACAAAACUCCCACAGAAGUUUGUCAGUCAAAUUCUAGUGUGGGGUUUAAUUCCGACCAGCUUGCGAAAUUAUAUGAACUUUUUUUCUAAUUUCCAAGCCUCUGGUCAGUCCUCUACCACUUUAUCCUCUACCACUUUAUCCUCUGGUUCUUUGGCAAAAAAAGGUACCUUUUUAGUAGUACUUAGCACCAUGUCUCAGACUACUCCUUGGAUUGUUGACUUUGGUGCAUCUGAUCAUAUGACUGAUGCUCAUCAUUUAUUUUCUACAUAUUCUCCCUGUACCGAUAAUUUAAAAGUAAAAAUUGCAGAUGGUACUUUAUCACCAGUUGCUGGAAAAGGGAGUAUUCGUAUUUCUGAGUCAAUUACUCUCAACCUUGUCCUACAUGUACCUGAUUUGUCUUGCAAUUUGCUGUCUAUUAGCUAGUUAACCAAAAUGUCUAAUUGCUCAACUAAAUUCCUACCAUUUCACUGUGUUUCUCAGGACCUAUCAUCGAAGAAGACGAUUGGUAGUGCUAAGGAACAUAUAUUACUUCGACGAAAUUGAUGUGCUUGGACAGAGUUCUCCUACUGUUUGUAAUUCUACAUCUUAUCUUAAGGACAGUGAACUUUUGUUAUGGCACAAAAGGAUGGGUCAUCCUACUUUUCAGUACUUAAAACAUUUAUUUCCCUCACUAUGUUCAAACAAAACUUAAUUGGAUUUUCAGUGUGAAGUGUGUGAACUUGCCAAACAUCAUCGGGUGCCUUUUCCUAAAUCUAAGUAUAAACCAUCCAUACAAUUUACUCUGAUUCACAAUGAUCUAUGGGGUCCCUCACGUACCCUUAAUAGGACCCAUAAAAAAUGGUUUGUUACUUUUAUUGAUGAUCAUACUCGUCUGUGUUGGGUAUAUUUGUUGACUAAUAAAAUUGAGGUUCGAUUAGUCUUCAUGAACUUUCACUCUAUGAUACAAACUCAAUUUCACACCAAAAUUCAAAUUCUUCGUAUUGAUAAUGGUACUGAGCAUUUUAAUCACUCCUUGAGCACUUACCUACAAGGAAAUGGUAUUAUUCAUCAAAGUUCUUGUGUUGACACCCCUCAACAAAAUGGGGUUGCAGAACGGAAAAAUAGACAUAUUCUUGAAGUUGCUCGUGCUUUGUUGUUUACAUCUCACAUGCCAACACAAUUUUGGGGUGACUCCAUUUUGACAGCCACAUAUCUUAUUAACCGAAUUCCUAGUCGGGUCCUAUCCUUUGUCACACCCCUUGAUUACUACUCAAAACAUGCUAUUUUGUAGCUUGUAAUUAGCUCUUUUAAACACCAUUGAGUAGUAAUUAUUACCUUUUAACCCAAUUAACAUGUUAGGGACCCUUGCAAUCGUUUCUAACAAUUGUGUUAAGUUUUGGUGCUUUUUGAUAGCUUUAUGCUCACCAAAGCAAUUUAAGAAUGAGGGAGAGCUAUUUAUAGUUCAUGGCAAAGCUUUUGAAAGCUUAAAUUUAUGAAGAAAUCAAGCUAUGGAGCCUCAUAAUCCUUUGCCUUAUUCGUUCAAAGUAUACAAGGAAGAAACAAUGGAGAAGAGGAAUCUUAGUUUAUUUUGUCUUAAUUCAAGUCAAUUUUGAUGAUAAAUUUCAGAAAAAAAUCAUGAAAGAUGGGGAGAACUCUUCAAAAGCAAGACAGGGGAGUAAAACCAAGGAAACAGAGCACCUGAUUUCAAGGUGCGAAAAUUUCGCACACCUGAUUCCAAGGUGCGAAAUCCUCGGUCCAAAGGGAGCCAUUUUUCGCACACCCCAAAACCAAGGUGCGAAAUUUUGUUCAAGGUGCGAAAAAUGAUUUCAAGGUGCGAAUUCCCUAAAAACCAAUUUCGCACACCACUGUGCAAGGUGCGAAAAUUUUCGCACUGUGCGAAAUCUCCUCUUGGCACACGAGUGCCAUUUUCACACACCUCAAGCCACUUUUCGCACCGUGCGAAACAAGGUACGAAAAUUUCGCACACCUGAUUUCAAGGUGUGAAAAUUUCGCACACCUCAUUUUAAGGUGCGAAAUCCUCAGCUAAAGGGGUGCCAUUUUCGCACACCUGAUUUCAAGGUGCGAAAAUUUCGCACACCUCAUUUUAAGGUGCAAAAUCCUCAGCUAAAGGGGUGCCAUUUUCGCACACCUAAUUUCAAGGUGCGAAAUUUGCAGACCAAGGUGCGAAAAUUUCGCACGGUAAAAUUUUAAGUUCCAAAAAUUUUAAAUGGACUUUUAAAUUAAAAUUUUACCCCCGAAAUUGUGCCUAACGUCCAAAAACGACUUUUCGGUUGCCUUGGAAAAUUUUAAAACAUCAAAAGCCCCCUAAACCUCAUUCCUAUAUAAUCCCUUGAAGUCCAGAAGCUCAAAGGACUCCCCCACGAACCAGCUGAGAAGCCUCUGGAAUCCCAAAUAGCCACCCACCUCCAUUUUGGCCAUGGCGAAGACCAGAGGAGGCCUUUCCGGCUCCCUAUCCUCACUGACACCUCGACCACAUCGAGCCGCCAUGGGAGCCGCAGCUUCGCCACCUGUUCAGGCCCCGACCAUUCCCCCAUCUGAGGGAGAAGCCCCUUCUCAGCGUCGUUACCCCACCAGGAGACCACCCACGGACCCUGUGCCACCCGCCGACCGAGCUCAGAGACCUGCUUCUCGGCCCCCUGCCAAGAGAACUAAGUUCUCGGGUCCUGGAGAGUCAUCCCUGCGCCUCAGGCAGAGCCGCCUACAGAGGAGCCUCGGAUUCCUGUAGAGAUUACCCCCGAGACCCUUAUCAGGCGUCCCAUGAUAGCCGGACCACCGAUAGAGGGCAACUUGGAUUGCAGAGAUCGAUCCUUCCACUCCGAGACCUACUUUGAUAUAGAGGCCCUCAGACAGCAGCCAGAGCUCAGAGAUUCAUUCCGACUGCUGCAGAGGUAUCACAUGGAGGAUCUUCUCACUCCUAGGCAAUUCUACUAUCCCAGAGUAGUUAUAGAUUUUUAUCAAUCUAUGACUACUCGAGGCCUCCGCAAUCCUAACGUCAUCCAAUUUGCCAUAAACGGAGGCCAGGGUGCCAUUGGAGCUCGCCACAUUGCUGAGGCCCUUCGUAUACCUUAUGAGCCUGUUAUUCAGGCAGAUUUCAGAGAGUGGUCCUCAUUCUCUUAGAGUGACAUGGUCCGCAUUUUGUCCAGGGGGACUUCUACAGCCUCAGUGUUGACUAGGAGAGAGCUUCCAUCUGGGAUGCUCCUUAUUGAUGUGCUCCUGCGUGCCAACCUUUUCCCCCUUCAGCACAAAGUUCAGAGGCGAGGAGCUAUACUUGAGGCGUUAUUUAGGAUUUCUGAGGGCUAUUUCUUCGGCCCUCAUCAUUUGAUUAUGACUUCUCUUCUUCAUUUUGAAGAGAAAGUCCAUCAGAAGAAGCUUCAAAGGGCAGAUGGCAUCCCAUUACUAUUUCCGAGGCUCCUCUGCCAGAUUUUAGAGCACCUGGGCUAUCCUGAACAGCCCCGUCUUGAGAGGCGCCGCCAUUGCCGAGAGGACUUCUCUCUCGACAAAUGGCAUCACUUGGUAGCCUACUUUGCACCCCAGGGAGCCCCAACUGUGCCUGCACCUCCAGAGCUACCCCAAGAUGAGCAGAUGCCUCAGGCCCAGCAGGAUGAGAUUCUCACAGAGACCACACCUCCUGCCCCUGCAGCACACCCCUCAGAGCAUAUUCCUGAGCCUAUACAUCCUAUUUCUCCUAUCACUUCGGGUGCUCCACCAGUCAUGCCAGCUACCCCAGCACCUCCUCCUUCAUCUGAGCCCACUGUCACCGUUUCUCUUACGGAAUUCAGAGGCUUAGAGCGUUCAUUGCGGACACUGAGCACUGCUCAGGAUUCUAUUAUCCACCAGAUGGCCACUAUUCGAGCACACCAGGAUCAGAUCAUUGCUAUUCAGGCCCAGCAUACCACGAUCCUUCAUCAGAUUCAGCAGCAUUUGAGUUUGCAGACACCUUUUGGGCAUGAUAGGUCUGCACCAUCCGAGCCUGUAGAGCCAGAUACGGAGAGCUUACCAGCUGAGCAGCCCAUACCAAAGGAGGAGAUCAGAGCAGAGCCAUCACAUGACACCCCUCAUAUUUGAUAUUUUUAUAUUUUACUUGUUUUUAUUUUAGACUUGUAAAUCCCAUCUUUUGCAUGUGUUAUAAACUGGGAUUGGAAGUAUUACUUGAAAUCAUACAUUGUAUAUUUCUUUUACAAGUAAUAUAUAUAUAUAUAUAUAUAUAUAUAUAUAUAUAUCCUUUUUGAAUAUAUUCCCUUUUCUCAUUACUCUUUUGUCCUUGGAACAUGUGGUUUAAGGUACUCCAUACCUCCUUUACACUCAGACUUUGUCUCACUCAGGAGGUACCACUUCCUCCCUUUAUUUUUAAUCGCUCUUGAAACAUUGAGGACAAUGUUCAACAUGGUUGGGGGGAGAGUUGAGAAAGGAAGUUUUGUUGUUAAUACUAAGUUAUUUUGGUAUUUUAGUUGAUUUUUGCUUAAAAUUUAAAAUUUUUAAAAGUUUUUUUAAUCAUUCUCUAUGGUUGUUAAAGAUAAUUUCUCAAAAAUAAAAUAGGAUAAGUCGAGUUUUAACUUAAUUAUUUAAGUCUUAGAGUUUGUUUUAUGCUUUCAAAGUUGAUAAUCUAUUGAAGCCUCUUUGAUUUAGAACUUUCUUCUUCCAUUUCAAGCUUUACACAUACUGUGCACAUUAGAUCCCGGAUAUAUGAUGUAAAACUUUCUCACCUUCUAAGCUUAGGAAAAUUUUGACUUGGAUCAUUACUUAACCUCUCUUUAAUAGUGUUGGGACACCUCAUAAAGACCAAUGAGUCUUUGAAAAAAAAAAAAAAAAGAAUAAGCUUCUAUUCUUUCCUUGAAACCUAAGCAUGAUCCAAAGGGGUGGCGAAAGCCUUUAAAACCCGAUGCCCUAAACCUUGAUUGGUUGGGAGUCAUUGAUCCUCUGCUUGCUACAUAGGUGAAUUGGUUAAGAUUAGUGAGUAAAAAGAAUUGUGAAUAAGAAGGUGCGUUCCUAACCUAUUAAGAGUUGAUUAAUUUUGCCAAUGUUCGAGAAAAGCUUAGGUUGGAGGGUGAGGAUAGUUGUAUAUACUAUAUCUGGAAGCUAAUCUCGUUAACACUUAGCUUAUUAUGGAAGAGUUUGAUUUGGAACCUUGAGAGUAGAGAUUCUUUUGAUAUUUAAUUGCAUAAUCUCCACUCUUUGUACUUUUUGUUUAAGUUUUAAGCUUUGAUAACUCCUAUUGCAUUUUGAAUCUUCAUAUCUUUAGUUAGCCAGGUGAGAUGAGUUUGGAUAGCAGUCAUGCCUCUCAAUUAUUUUUUGGAAAUGAAUUGCAUGACCUCUUUUAUGUAUAUUAUUACGUUUGCUUAGUUUUUUUCUCCUUAAUUGCUAAGGGACUAGCAAUAUGUCAGUUGGGGGGAGUGAUUACUACUCAAAACAUGCUAUUUUGUAGCUUGUAAUUAGCUCUUUUAAACACCCUUGAGUAGUAAUUAUUACCUUUUAACCCAAUUAACAUGUUAGGGACCCUUGCAAUCGUUUCUAACAAUUGCGUUAAGUUUUGGUGCUUUUUAAUAGCUUUAUGCUCACCAAAGCAAUUUAAGAAUGAGGGAGAGCUAUUUAUAGUUCAUGGCAAAGAUUUUGAAAGCUUAAAUUUAUGAAGAAAUCAAGCUAUGGAGCCUCAUAAUCCUUUGCCUUAUUCGUUCAAAGUAUACAAGGAAGAAACAAUGGAGAAGAGGAAAACAGGGGAUGAAAAUAGGGGACACAUCUGCAUUCUUUCAUCGCACUUCCCGAAGUUCAUUUUUUACAUUCUAUAUACCAUUUCAAAGCUCAGAAAGUCAAGAAUCCAACGGUUCAAACCAUAUACGAUUUGGAGCUGAAAUGAGAAAGAUAUGGCCUUCGGAAGACAACUGCAUCAAGCUGAGGGACAAUUUCGCACACCACUGUGCAAGGUGCGAAUUCCUCAGUCCACUGUGCGAAAAUUUCGCACACCUCAAAUCAAAGUGCGAAAUUGGAACUCCAGCGUGUGAAAAUUGGAUAUUUUUGCCGACUCUUUUUCUUCUGAUAUUUUUGUGUCUAAAUUUCCAUUUUCUCCUUGUAUUCAACCACUCAUGUAAUUCCUUAGCUAGGAAGUAUCCAAGGAAGGGUAAAAUUACCUUCCUAUAUAUAAAUUCUCUUGUAAUCAUGGAAAAUGAUCUUCGGAGCUUUCUCCAGGAGACCAACUGAUGUAAAUUUGAUACUUAGUGAAAUACAGAGAUCUCUUUUGCUUUUUUUUUUCUCUUUUCUAUUUUCUAUUUUCUUGCAAGCCAAACACCCUCUGAGGAUGUUUUCCCAGAGGAUGAGAGGCUAAACAUUUAGUUUCUUGGAGUAAAGGAAGCUAGGUGAAAAGUCCAGAUUAAAACAUGGAAAGUUUCCGUGCAUUAAAUUCAGGUAGUUGGAGUUCAUAAAUGGUUUAUAAAGCCAAGGUUUUGCCUUAAAUUCCUUUGAAUCACUUUGACUGGCCAAUACAUGGUAAGCUUAAGGUCUCUGUGGAUGCUUAUUGCUAGAUCCAUAUCAGUCCAUUAGUUAUCAUGUACGAGCCAUUGGAAAGUGAUUCAAGGUGAUAGCCCAUAGUGUCUUAAGCCAUUAAUGGACCUUGACUACCAUCUCUAGUGACUUUUUAUGGAUUAAAACUUCAUUGUCAAACCUAUACCGGUUCGGGAAAUAGCUAUAGGUUAAAUCCCUAAUGCGAGGAGAAAAAUCCGGAAUUUUCCACUUUGCAUCUGGCACUUGAACCUAGCAACCUUCAGCUCCGGGAGACUUUCUUUCUUCCACUUUUUACUUAGUUCUAUGUGAGUUUAGUUUAAAUCACCACUUUCAAAACAAUUUUAUUUUCUUUUAAAUUUCAAGUUUGUGCUAAAGGAAAUCAUCAGAAUCAAUUUCUAAUUUAGAGUCUGUCACUGAUAGAGUGAAAACCCAUCCCUGAGUUCGACCCUAGAACUGCUAUACUAUAGUAGCUUUGCUACGCCAGUAUAAGGUCAUAGGUUUUAUAAAUGUUUUUUAUUAAAAGACCCGGCUGGGCAUUGAAUCACCCCUCUAGAAAUUCCAUGAGUUUUUUCCUCAUUCGAGACUUGAUGCACACCUUCCACUUUGUGUCUUUUGGUCCACUGUGUUUGUCCACACUCAUGGACCUAAGCAGAACAAAUUUGAUCCCAGAGCACUUAAAUGUGUCUUUCUUGGCUACUCUUCCACACAAAAAGGCUACAAAUGCUAUGACCCAAUUUCACAUAAGCUAUAUGUUAGCCUAGAUGUCACAUUUUUUUAGCAUACUCCCUAUUACUCGCUUCAGGGGGAGUCCAUGAGUGAAACUAGACCUUCCUUAACCUUUGACUAUCUUGAUGUUGCUAUGUUUGAAUCCAUUCCGUGCCUUAUAUCUAACCCUUCACCUAAUACAGAAGAACACUUAGAUUCAGGGGGAGAUAUGGAAUUACAGACAAAUAGGGAAACACUUGUCUACCCAAGGAGGCCAAAAUCGAAGUUCAAUGAGACACUCAUCUCCGAAGCACUAAAAGAGUUAGAACCGCUGAUAGUUCCAACCCCUUGGGAGUAUGGCUGCAAUUCUGAUCAGGUAACAGAUGACUUACCCAUUGCUAUUAGAAAACAACCUUGUUCAUGUACUCUCCAUCCUAUCUCGAACUUUGUGUCUUAUAAUUCUCUUUCUACAAAGUGUUGUGCCUUUACAACUGACCUUGAUAGAAUCUAGCUUCCUAAAAACAUUCAAUAAGCCUUCAAAAUUCUAGAAUGGAAAGAAGCUAUGAUGGGAGAAAUAAGGGCAUUAGAAAAAAAAUGAGACUUGGGAAGUGAUGAAUUUACCAAGGGAGAAGAAACCAGUGGGCUGUAAAUGGAUAUUCAUAGUGAAAUAUAAGGCAGAUGGCACAGUAGAACGAUACAAAUCUCGCCUAGUUGCAAAGGGGUUCACUCAGACUUAUGGCAUCGACUGUACUGAGACAUUUGUACCAGUAGUAAAGCUGAACACUAUACGAGUUCUUUUAUCCUUGGCAGCAAACCUUGACUGGCCACUCCAUUAGUUUGAUAUCUGAUUACUACUAAAAAAGUGCUAUUUUUUAGCUUGUAAUUAACUCUUUUAAACACUCUUGAGUAGUAAUUAUUACCUUUUAACUCAAUUGGCAUGUUAAGGGCCCUUGCAAUCGUUUCUAAUCAAAUUGUGUUAAGUUUUGGUGUUUUUGAUAGCUUUUUGCUCACCAAAGCAAUUUAAGAAUGAGGGAGAGCUGUAUAUAGUUCAUGGCAAAGCUUUUGGAAGCUCAAAUUCAUGAAUAACCAAGCUUUGGAGCUCCAUAGCCUUUUCCAAAGUCGUUCAAAGUAUGCAAGGAAAGAACAAUGGAGAAGAGGAAAACAGAGUGAAGAAAACAGAGGACAGAAGCUGCAGUCUUCUUUCACACUUUUGGAGUACUUCCCGAAGUCCAUUUUCUACAUGCUAUAUACCAUUUCAAAUAUUAGGAAGUCAAGAAUCCAACGCUUCAAACCGUGUACGAUUUGGAGCUGAAAUGAGGAAGAUAUAGCCUUCGGAAGACAACUGCAUCAAGCUGAGGGACAAUUUCGCACCUUGCGAAAUUGGAACUCCAACGUGCGAAAUUUAAAGUGGAUGGCAGCUGUGCAUUUGCGGUGAAGUCCAACAUGCGAAAGUGAUUUUGCAACUUGCAAACUUGGAUCUCAACAUGCGAAAGUGGAUUCUAAGUUGCGAAAUCAACUUGCGAAAUUUUCGCAAGUCACCAUGCAACGUGCGAAACUGGGAUAUUUGUGCAUCGACUCUUUUAGAUAUUUUUGUAUAAAUUUCCAUUCUUCUCCUUGUAAUCCACCAACCAUAAGAUUUCUUAGCUAGGAAGGUUGGAAAAAAUUCUCUAUAUAUAUUCCCUUGCAUCCAUUGUAAACGAUAUCGAUCAAUAUAUAGAUAUUUAAAUAUAUAGACUAUACAGAGUCUUGCUCUGUUUUUCUCUCUUCUCCUGUUCUUCCCCAUUUCUAUUUUCUUAGUAGCCAAACAGCCUCUGAGGGCUUUUCCUCAAAGGAUGAUUGGCUAAAACUUUUAGUUUCUCAAAGUAUGGAUGUUAUGUGAUGACUUGGAUGCAAUCCCAUGGAAAUUUCUCGCACCUGGAAGGUAAGGUAGUCAUUUUUCAUUAAAGGUUCAUUAAUGCAAAGUUUGGUUUUUAUUUCCUUUGGACAACUUCCAACAGCCAAUACUUGAUAAGCUUUUGGAUUUCUAUUCAUUAGUUAUCUCCUACGAGCUAUUGGAAGGUGAUGUUUUCAAUUCCAAGUUUUGCAUUAAUCCGUUAGAACCAAUUUCAAUGGCCAUUGAAAGGUGAGUUUAUCACCUGGAAUGACUUUGAGUUGCCAAUAUUUGGUAAGCUUUUGGCUUUAGACCAUUAGUUAUCUCUUACGAGCCAUUCAAAGGAAGUCUAAGGUGAAUAACCAUUGAUGAAAUUCACUACCAUCUGUUUUGCCAUUUUAAAGUAUUAAAACUUGAUUUGCUAAAUCCAUACCGGUUCGGGAAGCAAGCAUCACCAUAGUUGCAACCCCAACGCGAGGAGCCUAUCCUGAGAUUUCCAAUUUGCAUAAGAGCCAGAGCAUAACUAUCCUAUCUUUGAGAAACUUGUUUUUACACCCUUUCAUUUUAGUCUUUAAUGUUAGCUUAGAUUAGUUUAAAUCUUUCUAAAACAUUUACAUCUUCUUUUAAAGCUAACAUCCAUAAGAAAAUCACCUAUUUUCCUAAUUUGAAUAUCAUUUGUGAAGUGAAAACCCAUCCCAAUGAACGAUCUUAGAGCCACUAUGCUAUAGUAGCUUUGUCUCUGCUACCCUAGUACAUGGUGUAAUAGGUUAUAAAUUUUGUUGAUUACUCCCUCAUUCAAGGAGCACCAGCUGGACAUGAAUCAGCUGAGACACCAAUUAGGCACGAAUCAAAUGGCGCCGUUUCCAGGGAUGGUGCCACUUUGCAGUGAUAUGAUCUUUUGAGAACACUUGUGAUCUUCAUCACAAUUUUGGUGAUUUUUCUUUUCUUUUACUAACUCUUUUUAAUUGUUCUUUUUCUUUAUUUAUGUUUUAGUUUACCUUUCAGCUAGUUUUAGUUAGUCUUAAUUUUUUUAGAAUUGUUUUUCUUUUGUUUUCUUUUGUUUUCUCUGUUUUUAAUUCACAAAUUGCUAGUUGUGCAUGCCAUAUUGAAUACGAGAUAGCAGAGGAAAUCCAUCAAUGCUCAUCUCAGUCAAAGAAUUGACAGUGUAGAGAGUUCAUUAAAUAUAAGGAUGGAUGAAGUGCAAAAUGAUCUAUCUCAAAAGAUAGAUAAUCUCCAAUACUCAAUCUCAAGGCUCACCAAUCUCAAGGCUCAAAAGGGAGAAUCUUCAAUGGUGAAGGAAGUUAAAACAAUUAUCACUUUGAGUAGUAAAGAGGUUGAUUUGGCCACAUCCAAACAAGAGCAUGAAACAAAGAAUGAAACAGAGAAAAAGAGAGGGAGGAAAUCAAAGGAAAGAGAAAGGGAAUUGUUUCCAUUGCCAUCAUACAAUGCAAAUCUCUAAUGAAGGAUGCUAACUUCAUAUGGGAUCUGGGCAAGCUGAAACAGGACAACAUUUUUUUUUAUGGAUUUAGUCUUUCUAAAGACUAGCUAGUCCAUAUCUUUUUGCUUUAUUACUUGUUUUAAUUUUGAUUUCAAUGCUUUAAUUUUAAUUAGUUUUGAUUUAACAUAAGUUUUUGGAUGAUCAUUGCAGGAGGGAUUGCAAAACAAUCGGGCACGGAAAAAAAAAUGAUGAAAGAAAAGGAAGAGAGGAGAGAAUUCUGGCCAUUGGUUUUAUUGCCACUUCAGGACAUAUUUGGAGCACUUAAUUGAGCCCAUUUUAUACAUACUAUAUACCUUUUCGAAGCUCGGGAAGUCAGGAGUUCAACGCUUCAAACGGUGUCCAAAUCGGAGUUGAAACAAAAAAGUUAUGUUUAUUGCAAGAAAACUGCGCUGAGCUGAAAGAAAAUUUCUCACCGUGUGAAUCAAGGUACAGAAAUUUCGCACUGUGCGAAUCAAGGUGCGAAAAUUUUCGCACCGUGAGAAACCACCUCCUGGCACACGAGUGCCAUUUCGCACACCUCAAGCCAAUUUUCACACCAUGCAAAACAAGGUGUGAAAAUUUCGCAAGGUGCGAAAUUGAGUGCGAAACUCGAUUCAAGGUGCGAAAUUCUCAUUUUAAGGUGCGAAAAUUUUGCUACUGUUGGACACAUUUUUGAAGCACUUCCUGGAGCUCAAAUUAUGCAUAUGAUAUGUCGUUUUGAAGCUUGAGAAGUCAGAAAUCUAGAACUUCAAACUGUGCAUGAUUUGGAUUUGAAACGAAGAAGUUAUGGCCAUUUGAAGACGACUAUGCAAAGCUAAAAGAAAAUGUUGCAGCCGCACCAAAUUUCGCUACUGUUAGACACAUUUUUUAAGCACUUCCUGGAGCUCAAAUUAUGCAUACCAUAUGUUUUUUUUAAGCUUAGGAAGUCAGGAAUCCAAUGAUUCAAACGGUGUGUGAUUUGGUUUUGAAACGAAGAAGUUAUGGCCAUUAGAAGACAGACUACGCAAAGCUGAGCGGGAAUUUCGCACCUUGAAAUCCAAAGUGCGAAAAAUCCUUUCCAAGGUGCGAAAUUUUUUUUAAAGUGCGAAAAUGCUCCAAGCUUCAAGAAUCGGCUGCGAAAUUCCCAUUUUGUUGCCAAAUGAUUUUCCAAACUUCAAAAUGGCUACAAAAUGAUUUCCAAGCUUCAAAAUGGGCUGCUAAAAUGUUUCUAUUUUUCCAUGGGCUGCAAAAAUGUUUUUCUUUUCCCUUUGACUGCAAGACAUGGCCUCCAAGCUACAAAAUGAUGUGCAAAAACACUUUGCAAAGCCAAGAAAAAUUGCAAAAAUGCCAACAGAGCCUCACAACCAUGCAUCUAAAGAAGAGAGCCCUCUCAUUGAGAUCAUACAUGAAGUCUCUCAUUCCAUUUCUUACCUCCUAAAACCAUCAAAGCUCAUAGCUCCAACCGAGAGCUCCAGUUGAGAAGACUAUGCCACCUAAGGAGACUACUAGAGCAGAGGUCAAUGUCUUGACCCAACCCACUCAGAAGGCCACCACAGAGCCAUUAUCUCCACAGGACCCUACCACUACUUGAUCAUCUCUUUAAUUUUUGUAUUUACUUAUUAUAUUAGUAUAGAUAAUUCCAUGUUUUGAUGUUUUAUAUUCUAGGAUUGGAUGUAUUGCAUGAUCAUAUAUUAUAUUCUAUUUUCUCAGAUUAAAUAUAGACAUCAUUUUUGUUUAAACUUGACAUUUUUCUAUUUCCUCUACUCACUGAAUCUUUUGUUUUUUUUAAACAUGUAGUUUCUCCUAUACGACUCAGACUCCAUGCCACUCAAGAGGUACCACUUCCUCUCUUUAUUUUUAUUUUUUUAUUGCUCUUGAAACAUUGAGGACAAUGUUCAGCUUGGUUGGGGGGAGAGUUGAGGAAGGAAGUUUUGUUAUUAAUACUAAGUUAUUUUGGUAAUUUAGUUGCUUUUUGCUUAAUUUUUAAAAUCUUUUAAAGUUUUUAAUCUACUCUCCAUGGUUAUUAAGGAAAAAUUUUCAAAAUGAAAUGGGAGAAAUUAAAUUUUUGUCUUUUUACUUGAAACUUAGAGUUUGUAUUAUGUUUAUUAAAGUUGAUGAAUUAUUGAACUCCUAUUGAUUUCAACCUUAUUUCUUCCACUUUAAGCUUAUCACACACCGUGCACACUAACUUCCGUUUAUAAGAUGAAAAACUAUUUUCCCCCUUGACUUAGGAAAAUUUAGACUUGGUACCUUUUACCUCAUUUUAAUAGUGUUGAGACACCUUAUAAAAGGCCAAUGAGCCUUUGGAAAAAGAAAGAAAAAGAAAAAUAUAUUACUUGCCUUGAAACCCGAGCAAGGUCUGAGGGGUAUAUGGUGAAAAUCUUUAAAACCUGGUGCCCUAAGCCUUCAAUGGUUGGGAGUCACCGACCUCAAUGCUCAUUACAUGGGUGAAUAGGUGGAGUUUAACAUUUUGUAGGUGCUUGGGUAUUAAAAAUUCAUUCUCAAAAGUCCGGGGUGAAAUCCGAGGAGUUAGUGGUUGAAAAAUCCUUAAAUCUUGAUGCCCUAAACCUUGAUUGGUUGGGAGUCAUCGAUGGACCCUCGUUACAUGGACAAUUUAGAAAAGAAUGCCUUUAAGCUUUGCACUCCUACAAGAAAAAAUUGUGAAAGAAAAGAGGUGCGUUCUUAGCCUAUUAGAGGUUGAUUAGUUUGCUAAGCUUUGAAAAGAACUAGGUUAAGGGGAGAGAUUAGUUUGACAUACUAUAUCCGGAAACUAAUAAAUAACACAUAGAUUUUUGUGGAAGAGUAAGGAUUGGACCUUUGGGAGUGGAAAUUAUUUUGAAGCUUAAAAUUGCAUAAUGCCUACUCUUUAUGAAUUGUGACUAGGCAAAUUAUUUGAUAGCUCCUAUUGAAGUUUGAGUUUUAUUUCUUUCAUGUUCCAUGUGAGAGUUUGAUCAGUCAUGCCACUUAAACAUUUUUUGGAGUGAUCAGCAUGAUUUUGUAAAUUUAUUAUUUUUAUUUUUAUUUUUUCUCUCCUUCAUUGCUAAGGGACUAGCAAUAUGUCGGUUGGGGGGAGUGAUUAAUACUCAAAAAGUGCUAUUUUGUAGCUUGUAAUUAACUCUUUUAAACACUCUUGAGUAGUAAUUAUUACCUUUUAACUCAAUUGGCAUGUUAAGGGCCCUUGCAAUCGUUUCUAAUCAAAUUGUGUUAAGUUUUGGUGUUUUUGAUAGCUUUUUGUUCACCAAAGCAAUUUAAGAAUGAGGGAGAGCUGUAUAUAGUUCAUGGCAAAGCUUUUGGAAGCUCAAAUUCAUGAAUAACCAAGCUUUGGAGCUCCAUAGCCUUUGCUAAAGUCAUUCAAAGUAUGCAAGGAAAGAACAAUGGAGAAGAGGAAAACAGAGUGAAGAAAACAGAGGACAGCAGCUACAGUCUUCUUUCACACUUUUGGAGCACUUCCCGAAGUCCAUUUUCUACAUGCUAUAUACCAUUUCAAAUAUUAGUAAGUCAAGAAUCCAACGCUUCAAACCGUGUAUGAUUUGGAGCUGAAAUGAGGAAGAUAUGGCCUUCGGAAGACAACUGCAUCAAGCUGAGGGACAAUUUCGCACCUUGCGAAAUUGGAACUCCAACGUGCGAAAUUUAAAGUGGAUGGCAGCUGUGCAUUUGCGGUGAAGUCCAACAUGCGAAAGUGAUUUUGCAACUUGCAAACUUGGAUCUCAACAUGCGAAAGUGGAUUCUAAGUUGCGAAAUCAACUUGCGAAAUUUUCGCAAGUCACCAUGCAACGUGCGAAACUGGGAUAUUUGUGCACCGACUCUUUUAGAUAUUUUUGUAUAAAUUUCCAUUCUUCUCCUUGUAAUCCACCAACCAUAAGAUUUCUUAGCUAGGAAGGUUGGAAAAAAUUCUCUAUAUAUAUUCCCUUGCAUCCAUUGUAAACGAUAUCGAUCAAUAUAUAGAUAUUUAAAUAUAUAGACUAUACAGAGCCUUGCUCUGUUUUUCUCUCUUCUCCUAUUCUUCCCCAUUUCUAUUUUCUUAGUAGCCAAACAGCCUCUGAGGGCUUUUCCUCAAAGGAUGAUUGGCUAAAACUUUUAGUUUCUCAAAGUAUGGAUGUUAUGUGAUGACUUGGAUGCAAUCCCAUGGAAAUUUCUCGCACCUGGAAGGUAAGGUAGUCGUUUUUCAUUAAAGGUUCAUUAAUGCAAAGUUUGGUUUUUAUUUCCUUUGGACAACUUCCAACAGCCAAUACUUGAUAAGCUUUUGGAUUUCUAUUCAUUAGUUAUCUCCUACGAGCUAUUGGAAGGUGAGGUUUUCAAUUCCAAGUUUUGCAUUAAUCCGUUAGAACCAAUUUCAAUGGCCAUUGAAAGGUGAGUUUAUCACCUGGAAUGACUUUGAGUUGCCAAUAUUUGGUAAGCUUUUGGCUUUAGACCAUUAGUUAUCUCUUACGAGCCAUUCAAAGGAAGUCUAAGGUGAAUAACCAUUGAUGAAAUUCACUACCAUCUGUUUUGCCAUUUUAAAGUAUUAAAACUUGAUUUGCUAAAUCCAUACCGGUUCGGGAAGCAAGCAUCACCAUAGUUGCAACCCCAAUGCGAGGAGCCUAUCCUGAGAUUUCCAAUUUGCAUAAGAGCCAGAGCAUAGCUAUCCUAUCUUUGAGAAACUUGUUUUUACACCCUUUCAUUUUAGUCUUUAAUGUUAGCUUAGAUUAGUUUAAAUCUUUCUAAAACAUUUACAUCUUCUUUUAAAGCUAACAUCCAUAAGAAAAUCACCUAUUUUCCUAAUUUGAAUAUCAUUUGUGAAGUGAAAACCCAUCCCAGUGAACGAUCCUAGAGCCACUAUGCUAUAGUAGCUUUGUCUCUGCUACCCUAGUACAUGGUGUAAUAGGUUAUAAAUUUUGUUGAUUACUCCCUCAUUCAAGGAGCACCAGCUAGACAUGAAUCAGUUGAGACACCAAUUAGGCACGAAUCAAUAUCAAGAAUGCCUUUCUGAAUGGUGAACUAGAAGAAGAAGUGUUUAUGAUGUUACCACCAGGGUUCUGUAAGGAAGAAGAAGAAACCAGGGUAUGCAAAUUGAAGAAAUCUCUUUAUGGUCUCAAACAAUCACCCAGAGCAUGGUUUGAUAGAUUUGCAAAGGUGAUUAAGAAUCAAGGAUACCAAUAGGGACAGUCAGAUCACACUAUGUCUUCAAAACAAUCCAAUGAUGGAAGGAUGACCAUUCUAAUCGUGUAUGUCGACGACAUCAUUCUCACUAGAGAUGACACAGGAAAAGUGGAAAGAUUGAAGAAGGUCUUAGCCACAGAAUUUGAGGUGAAAGUUCUAGGUCAAAUGCAGUAUUUCCUAGGAAUGGAGGUCGCCAGAUCAAGGGAAUUAGUAUUUCCUAAAGAAAGUAUGUACUUGACUUGUUGAUUGAGACUGGCAUGCUGGGAUGCAAGCCAAAUGAUACCCUUAUCAAGGCAAGAAACAAAAUGGAAAGUGAUGGAAAGCCCGUGGAUAGAGAGAAAUAUUAGCGACUAGUAAGUAGACUAAUCUACCUUUCUCACACUAGACCUGACAUUGUUGUCAACGUAAGAGAGAAAGCUUUUUAGCUUGAAGGCUUACAUGUUGAGAGAGAAACAAGAGAAAGAGAGGGGAGAGAAUGGGAGAUUUUUUUCAUUCCCAAAUUUUUUCAUGCUUACAAAUGAGGAUCAAGCCUCCUUAAUAGCUAAAAAAGAAUCUUAAAACAGUUUAAAGUAGUUGACAAAGUACUGUUUACUUUUGGCCAUCUGUUGUGAAUAGGGAACCCGUGCAUGAAUAGUCAAAGUGAACAGUAACAUUUUUUACUGUAGCACUUUAGACUUUUUAGCCAGAAAUCUUACUUUUGGCGGGAAUAAUGGAUGGCAGGUCGAAUCUUGAACUGUGGAUGCACAUGUUGGAAGACAAAAUUGCUUUCGGUGUUAUAAUUGCUGGAAGGAAUAUUCUUGCACGUUGAAAGUCAUGAAGCUGAUGGUCACUUGGAUUUUCUUAUUGGAGGAAGAAUAUCUUCAUAGUCAUCACCAUUAUCGUGAAGGUAGCUUGUUGAAUCAUCAAAUUCUGCAUAAGAGUUUUCUUGGGAAAAGCUUGAGCUUCCUUCAUCAAGGAUUUUUUGGAAUUCUUGAGGGGUUUUUGCUGCUGCGAGCAUGGCUUGGAGCUAUUGUUUCUUGAGAAGAAAUUGUGAUAUGUCAUCACCAGUUGAAGCUUGUGUGGGAUGCUUAAGGAAAUAUUGCUUACCUGCAUUAAGGGAUGCAUCAUUUUUCAAUGCGUCCCACCAUUUUGUCUUAAAAGUCUUUCCAAGAGUUGGAAAGGCAGCUGAUUCAUCAGCAACGAUGAUGUAGUCCCACUAGACAAUCCAUGCAAGACCAAAAUUGUUGAAAAAGAAUAGUAAAUGUGGAAAAGCUGAAAGUUCUCUAGGGAUAACAAAAGAACUAUUGAAUAGCUCAACGCCAUCCAAUAUGGGCUUAGGAAGAAUCUUAAUGGAUGGACCAAAAUAAGUUCACCAAUUGUGGAACCAAAAUGGGAAGGAGGAAAGUUGAUUCUUGGAUGGAAAGUAGAACAUCCAUGGAUGAUGGAAGUCCCUAUUUUGGAUCAGAAAAGCAUUGAACCAUGCUCUCUGAUAAUCCUAAUAGUUGAAAAACUUUGGUUUUGAAGGUUCAGAGAAUUCCCUUGAGAGAUUGGGAUUUCCACCCCAUUGCUUAACAGUAAGAAUCUUAUAGAUAUGGCAGGUGGAAAAUGUCAAAUCUAGAUUGUUGUACUUAUCAGCAUUAUGCGUAAUUUUAACAGAACCAGUUUCUAUGAGGAUUGCCUCAUAAAAAUCUCUUGUUUUUAAAAGGACUACAUCAUCAUUACUGAUGAAUUAGCUGUCUUUCCAACUCUUGGAAGGACUUUUAAGACAAAAUGGUGGGAUGCAUUGAAAAAUUAUGAUAUAUAUAUCUAAAGUUUACUUUACAUCCUUGAAAAUUAUUUUUAAAACUUUUAAAAUUUGAGACAAAUUUUUGUGUUCUAACUUCUUUUUAUUUAUUAAGUAUAUUAGUUUAUAUAUAAUUUUAUAUUUCAAAAUUAAAAAAAUAAUAAUAAAUAUGAAUUCCAAUAUCAGGAAUAGGCAUGGGAUGAUGAUAUAUUAGCACGGGAAACUUGUGCCCCUAAUGGGAAUUUCAUGUCCCCGACCCAUCUGGCUUGAGACUAGAAUGGGGCGGGGAUGGGGAAAAGUAAAAAAAUUGACUGGAAUAGAGAUGGGGAGUCCUACCAACCCUUGAGAGAGGGGAAAAAAAAAGUCAAAAACAAAGAAAAUAAGAACAAAGAGCUAUUCGUCAAACUUAAAAAAGUUUUCCCUUGACAAUGCUGAGAUGAAAAGUCCAAGAAAAGUCCAAGAAAGCCCAAAGAAAAGGAGCAGAAAUGAAUGUGAUGGACUGAAAAUCUGGCCUUAGAGGGAAUAAGAGGGAAAAUCUUGCUCACCCUUCUCUCAUCAGCUGGUCCCCACCCAAAAUCUGGCCACAAGCUGCUUUCCAAACAAAAGGCUGAAAAUUCUCCCCUACUUACCUGAAAUCAAUCUCAAGAGAUUGAUUGGUGAAAAGAGCGGACGCAGGAAAAGUAUGCCCAUACUUUCCAAGAAAUAUCCAUAAUUAGACUGCUAAGCUUAGAAGACCGGGCUCCAAAAGGAUGCUCUGAGAUAUCUGGUAGUUCACUGAUGACAUUGUCAACGUACUAUGAAGUUGAAGGCUGAAGGAUAAAUACUAAGCAUGAAAGCAUGGUCAUGUGAAACUUGGAAUGGUAGAAAUGGAAAGCAGCAUGUGCCUCAGCAGUGCAAUUUUAUCUCUGUGUUUGUCAUGUAUGUGGUUGGGAGUAGUGCCUUACAUUUCUAGUGCACAGACAGACACCAUCAAACCUGGGGAAGAGCUUCAAUUUUCGGAAAAAUUACUGGUUUCUGCAAAAGGGACUUUUACUCUAGGCUUCUUCAGCCUGGAAUCUGGCAGUUAUUUAGGAAUAUGGUUCACAAUUGAUGCUCAGAAGGAGAAAGUUUGGGUUGCUAACAGAGACAAGCCUAUAUCCGGUACAGAUGCAAACCUCACACUGGAUGCUGAUGGAAAAUUGAUGAUCAUGCAUAGUGGGGGUGAUCCAAUUGUCCUGAAUUCCAAUCAAGCAGCCAGAAACUCAACAGCUACUCUGCUUGAUUCUGGAAAUUUUGUUUUGGAAGAGUUCAAUUCGGAUAGAUCUGUGAAGGAGAAACUAUGGGAAAGUUCGAUAAUCCUACAGACACCCUCCUGGCUGGGAUGAAACUAGGCAUCAACUUGAAAACCGGACAAAACUGGUCACUUGCUUCAUGGAUAAACGAACAAGUGCCUGCUCCUGGGACUUUUACUCUGGAAUGGAAUGGCACACAAUUGGUAAUGAAACGCCGAGGGGGCACCUACUGGAGCAGUGGAACCUUGAAAAAUAGGAGCUUUGAGUUCAUUCCUUGGUUGAGCUUUGACACUUGCAAUAACAUCUACAGUUUUAACAGUGUUGCUAAUGAAAACGAGAUUUACUUUAGCUAUUCGGUUCCAGAUGGAGUUGUUUCAGAGUGGGCAUUGAACUCGAGAGGAGGACUUUCUGACACUAACAGACCUUUAUUUGUGACGGACGAUGUGUGUGAUGGGUUUGAGGAAUAUCCAGGGUGUGCAGUGCAAAACCCACCCACUUGCAGGACUAGAAAAGACGGAUUCAUGAAGCAAUCGGUUCAUAUAUCAGAAUCACCGUCAUCAAUAAAAGAAGAUUCGAGCUUGGGACCUAGUGAUUGUCAGGCCAUAUGCUGGAAUAAUUGUUCUUGUACUGCUUGUAAUACUAUAUACACUAACGGAACUGGAUGUCGGUUUUGGAGUACAAAAUUUACACAAACCUACGCGGGUGAUGCAAAUCGGGAGGCGCUCUAUGUUUUAUCCUCAUCACGAGUUACGGGUAAGUGUCUCUCUGUAUUUUCGUAUUCCUGAAAGUAACCAAGGCAAAGUAGUUGAUGAAUCCAACAUUUUUACUGAAUUUACAACCCUAAUAGGUGAUCAAAAAUUCAAAAUACCAUUAGAGGAGCUAUAUCAAGACCAUAAAAGACCCUUGAUCUUUCACUCAGUUCUGUUCUAAGCCACUAACCACAAAAUUUAUCUUGUAUCUACGCAGGGAACAGUUGGUGGAUAUGGGUCAUUAUUGCAGGAGUGGUACUUGUGGUCCUGUUACUUAUGGGCUUCUUAUACUAUUUAAGGAGAAAAUCCAAAGGUAGUAUUUUAUUUUAACUUUUACUGAUGAUAAUAAUGCCAUUUGUUAAUGGGUUGGAUAAUUGAACUUGUGACUUCUGGUAUAACAGGGGAGAGAAAAAUGGAGGAAGCUAUGCUGCAUGAAUUGGCAACUUCAAAUAGCUUUAGUGAUUCAAAAGAUGUUGACCAUGAUGGAAAGAGGGCUCAUGAUCUCAAACUGUUCAGUUUUGAUUCUAUUGUGGUUGCCUCGAAUAACUUUUCAUCUGAAAAUAAACUUGGAGAGGGCGGAUUUGGCCCAGUUUAUAAGGUAAUUAUAAUUUCAUUAAGCCAUAGCAUGUAAUAGGAAUAGGGCAUUCUUUGUUUAAGUACCCCAAUUAAAGCUUCCUUGUGGAUUAUUUUUGCAGGGGAAAUUACCUGAGGGGCAAGAAAUAGCAGUGAAGAGACUUUCAAGGGGCUCCGGACAAGGUUUGGUGGAAUUCAAGAAUGAGAUUAGACUGAUUGCCAGACUCCAACACAUGAAUCUUGUUAGACUUUUGGGUUGUUGCAGCAAGGGAGAAGAAAAGAUGUUAAUCUAUGAGUUCAUGCCCAACAAAAGCUUGGACUUCUUCCUCUUUGGUUUGAUUACUUCCCUUUUUUCUUCCUGUUAUCUGCUUAACUUUUCCUUAUGUUCUUUAUCCUUUUUUGCUUGAAACAAUUUACUAGUCGUGCUGUGUUCACCCAAAUUUUCAGAUCCUGCUAGAAGAAAGAUAUUAGAUUGGAAAAGAUGUCACAAUAUCAUUGAGGGGAUUGCACAAGGACUUCUUUACUUGCAUAAAUAUUCAAGACUAAGAAUUAUUCAUAGAGAUCUAAAAGCAAGUAACAUCCUACUUGAUCAUGACUUGAACCCCAAAAUUUCUGAUUUUGGCAUGGCCAGAACUUUUGGGCGAAAUGCAUCAGAAGCAAAUACAAAUAGGAUUGUUGGAACAUAGUAAGCAUGACUCUUCCUUAUCUACUGCUUUCUUUUCCAAUCUAGUGAAUUGAACCUUCUACUAUGGAUGCAGUGGCUACAUGCCCCCUGAGUAUGCCAUGGAAGGAAUUUUCUCAGUGAAAUCAGAUGUUUAUAGCUUUGGGGUGCUACUGUUGGAGAUUGUGAGCGGCCGGAAGAACAAGAGCUUUUAUCAUAAUGACGGUGCCCUUACCAUAAACCUGGCAGGAUACGUAAGUCUGCUAAAUCUCAUAUUUGUGUCUACAUUAUUAUCAACAACACCCGGUGUAUCCUUCCAAAAUUCUCAAACUAACCUUGUAAGUAAAUCAACCCUAAAAUGAACUGGAAUCAGGCUUGGGAGCUAUGGAAAGAAGGUACUAGCUUGCAGCUAGUGGAUCCAAUGCUGGAGGAUUUCCACUCAUCAACCCAAAUGUUGAGAUGCAUUCAUAUUGCUCUCUUGUGUGUACAGGAGAGCGCAGCAGAUAGGCCUACAAUGUCAACUGUUAUCUCCAUGCUCACCAACGAAACUGUGCCCCUACCAAACCCAAAUCUGCCCGCAUUUUCCAUUCAUCAUACAGUGUUAGAGCUAGAUUCACACAAAGGCGGGCCACAGAGCUGUUCUGGAAGUGUAAACAUUUCAGAGAUGGAAGGUCGGUAAAGAAGAGAAUUUCAAGGGGGGAAAGGGAACCUAGAUAGCAGCAGUUUUUGUCCUAACCUAUUAGCAAUUUGUCUAGAUUGAUUCGUAUUGCCAUCAUAUAUGUAUUAGAUAUAGAAUCAACUAGGUUCCCUCAAGGUAAUCUUUUUUAAAACCUUUUUGAAUUUAUCAUAGCACGAUAGAAGCUGGUUUGGUAUAAUUUGAAACAUAGUUUGAAUCUAUAUUCUGCGGCUCAUUUAUGUUCGGUUAUUCAUUCUCAUUAUUUGGAAGGCAUGGGAUGGACUACGCCAUAUGUUGGCAUCAAACAGAUGAUCAAAGCUUUGUGCUACGUCAUACGCAAAGAAGAGUACUCCAGGCUGACCACCGAAGUAGAAAGUAGAGAUGAUGUAUGAGUGAUCCUCAUUCAAUUUGCACAUACACCACUGGUUAACCAAACUUCAUCCUCCAUGCUUCAGGUAAUCCAUAGCCAAGUUCUUCUCCCACCCGUUGCAGGAGACAUAGGUCUUCAAAUCGAAAUGUCCACCUCCUAAAGCGCAAGAUUUUACUGAGAAUCGUCCCUUUCUGGAGGCCUCAUCUACGCCAACUCAGAAAUUCAGAAAUUCAAAUCAUGAAAGGCUGAAAGCCCAUGAUAUGGGUUCCAACAUCCCCCGCCGGCCCCGCCCCACUCCCCCCUCCCCCCUCCUACAAAAUUUGCACACAUACAUAAAAGCUUAUAUAUUCAAGCGACACCUAUCCCCACAUCACCAUGAUGCCAAAGUUAACUCUUUGCCCAUUUCCAGCCACUCCUUACGCUCUUCCAUAGCCCUCUCCUGCAUGGUUUGAAGUAUUUGCUAAGACUGGCACCGCUCAGCCAAGUCUUAUUUGCCUUGACCAUGGCCAUGAUCAAUCCAAGAUAAAAUUUGAGAAUUUUACAGUUGAUAAUGACUAGGUUUCAAGUCCAAUACCAACUACUUAAUUCAACUAACUCCAACUCACAACUCUACAAUAGGAGUAAACAAAAUUUGAGAAUCUCUGCAUCUCCAAAAGUGAACCCAUCUAAAUUACAAACAAAAAUCCGAUUACAUGAAAAAGGCAUCAAACCUAAGCUUUUUAGAGUAAGGGAGGCAAGAAUCACAAACACGAAUACAAAAGGCAAACAACAUAAAAGGAUAGAAAAGUCAUGCAUAUUAAUCACUCUUGCAAUUCUAGCAAGUUUACGAUGUUAUGAUCCUCAUGUGUGGAUCAAGCGAACAAAUGAGAAAAUGGUACAUCAAAGGCACAUAAAGGAUAUAUCCAUUUACUAAUCUAUUAAAUAUCAAUUUUAUCCUCACCCUCAUGUUUGAAUUUCAACCUCUUAUCAUCCCAAUGAAAUUGCCAUUUUGUGAACCUACAUUUUUUAUUUAUGUUUCUGGUCAAAUAACAAAAUUUGGACUCUAUGAAAAAUUUAUUAUGAAAACUAAUUUUUUAUUCUUUUUUGAGGCUGCCAUUAAUUUUAUUUAUUUUUUAAACAAUAAAGAAAACAAAUUUUAAAAAAUAAAAAUAAAAAUAAAAUCUUGUAUGACUCCAUAGAGGAAAAGCUAGUCUAGAAAUGAGAAUGGAUAUGGGAUCAAGUUAUUUACUAGUUAGGUAUGGGGGCACUCAUCUAAGCUCUUAUAUUAUUUGGUCUCUAUUAGUGAGCUAAGAUAUGGCCUAAAAUUUGAUUUAGUUUACAUAAUCUUGCAAAAUUAGUUAUGAAAUGUUUAUGAUUUUAUUACCAUUAAUACAAAAAAUUUAUCACAAGAUACACAAAUUAAUUUGAUUAAAAAAAUCAUUUUAUGGUUUUAGUAAUUAAUAUAAAAAAUUAGCAUAUAAACCAAAAAAUAUAAUUUAAUUUAUUUCUUAAAAAAUUAAUAAAUAAAGUAUUUUUUUAUUUUAUUAAUGUCAAUUUAUAAAGAAUUAAUAUAUAAAAAAUUUUGUGCCACAUAACCUUAAAAAAUUAAUUUAUAAAAUAUUUUUCUCGUUUUAUUAAUAUACAAAAAGAAAUAAAAAAAUUCUAAUUUAUUUCACACAAUCUCACCAAAUUAAUUUCCAAAGUGAUUUCUUGAUUUAUUUUAUUUUAUUUUAUUAACAUUAAUGUAGAAGGAAAAAUUUUAAUUUUAGAUCCAUUAGAAAGAAAACCCUAAAAAGUGACUCCAUAAUUUUUGGAAAAUGUGUCUUUGAAAAAUCGGAGUCUAGGUCUGGGGAUCAGAUUACUUAUUGGGAAGGUACCUUUAGGAGGUAGCACCCCUCUAAGCCCUGUAAAGGUCUCUAUUGACUAAGUUGAGGGAAAUGUGAUAAUUAAUUGGUUAAUUAUAGAUACCUAGGUAGGCUAGGCAAUUUCAAAAAAUAGCAUGUCAAACAAGAAAACCAAUCACAAUUGCAAAGGAAGGUUAGGAUGCGUAUCUGGACUGCUCUCAAGCGCUAUCAUAAGACAUCAAAGUUAGUAUAAAAAUAUAGUACACAACAUGCAUUUUAUCCAAGCAAAUCUAACAUACAUCUAAGUACCCAAGGAUGGAAUCAGACAUGGAUAUGGCUCACAACAACAUGCAUGCAUGUUCAUAAAAUUCAGAAAAGCAAGUGAUAGAGAGCGUACCUAGAUAGUAUGCAUAAUUGAUAAGAUUCCUCCAAAAAUGUUAGAAUGGUUAGGACACGUAUAAAUUAUAUAACAUCUUUAUUAUAUCUAAUAUACAGUAUCAAAGCCAAAAUUGAGCCAAGGUAAGUCAAAUGACUCCAAAAGUAAAUAACCAACUCAAGUAGUGUACAAGAUCAUCAACAUGCCAUUAGAAAAGGGAGCAUAAAAAACAAUGUCUAAAAAAUGGCUUAGAGUGGAAUUUAAUUAUGAAAAAUUUCAGAAAAUAACUCCUACACAUCUAGAUCAAUAUACUGAAGGCCAAACUCUCAUUCAAAGGACAGAUUAUGGCAAAGGCACCUAAAGGUUCUAUAAAGUCCAGAUUAGAUAAGGAAAAAUGAUAUGCAUAAACGAAUUUCUAAAAAUAAUAAAUGAUCAUAUAAAAUCAUAAAAAUAAAAUAAAAAAUCACACACAUAUUUCAAAGUAUUUGUAUCACAUAAAAAAAAAAUUCAGGGUCAGAUAGUAUUCAAAAAUAUUUUUAAAACACUCAAGUUAAUUAGAUGUCCAAAAUCCAGCAUGCGCAGUAGGUAUGACUUUGAAAAAUCAUAUCUCUCUCAAAAAGGCAUAUUUUUUUUAAUAUUUUAUGUGUCUAAUAUCAAUUUCAAGAAGCCUAGAAUUGAGGGAAAAUAUUGAAUCAAAUUUAAAAAAGUCGUCUGGUAUUUUAUUUUUGCAAAAAGGUCUCCGAUGUCCAAAACUGGGUGAAAACGAAGUCCCACUAAAGACUCAUUCAUAUCUUCUAUUCCAUAAUUGCUUUCUAACUCAUACAGAAUCUUAAAUUCAAGUUCAAGAAGUGAGGAAAAUCAUACAAGUUUUGGAAAUUUUUUUAAAAAAUAUUCUAAAGUUGUAAAAAGGAAUUUUAAAACUAAAGGGUCAAUGGUUGAGUGAAAACUAGAAGCAAUGAAGAGUUUCGGAAAAAUUUUCUUAUGUAGGGGUUCCAUCAAGUCCCCAUUCAAUUUCCAUAAGUUUUAGUUGUGUGUCCCCAUUAGUUUGGGAGCACAAGUCCAAACUUAUGUGAAUAAAAAACCAAAUGUUUUAAAAACCAACAAGAAGAAAUGCAACUUAAAUGAAAUGAGUUGCAUAAUUUUAAUAGAAACUGUAUUCUUUGCCUAAAGCUAGAAUGAAUGUUUUUCUAAAACCUUUUAUUGGAGAUUUAAAUGCUUUUGAAAAUGACUUUAAGGGAAGUAAAAAAAAUGACCCAAUGAUUUGUUAAAUCUUAAUCAAUAGACACAAAAUAAAUAUUUUUGAUUUGUAACUUAAGGGGGAUUUGAAAAUAAGAGAAAAGCUAAAUUGGAGCCCCCCUUUUUGGCUACCUUUCAUUUGGGAUCAAGGGGCCAAACUUAUAAUGGCAAAAUUCAUUUUUGAAAAAAGAAAAUUUGACCAAACUCAAAAUGUCAAUUUGAUAAAAAAAAAAAAAAAUGAAUAAAUAAAAACCCUUUUCUAAAAGAAAGUUCAAACUCAAAAAUUCCUUAAAGUGCCUAUAAAAUAAGUAUAAAAAAUAAAGAUAACUAACAAUUCAAUCAAAUAUCAGGAAGCCAAUAUCAACAAUUAUGUUUUAAACUUUGGAAAAUAAGGAAUUAAAUAAGAAUCAAUCAAACUAAAUAAAAUUAUCAACUUGAACAUGCAAGGAUUUAACUAAAACUGAAAUUCUAAACACUAAAUAAUUAGCAAGGUAAAUCAAACUAGCAACUUAAUAACUUAGAGCAGGUCUAGAUUUUAACUAAAACUAAAAUUCUAAAUAACUUAAUAAUUAUGGAUUUUUAGCUAAAAUUAAAAUUAUAGACAAACUUAACAAUUGGCAAGAAUCAAUCUAACUAAUAAAUUAAUCCUAAAUCUUUGAGACUAAACAUUAACAUGAAAUAUUGGAAAUAACAACAAAAGAUAUUGAGAUCGUGAACUUAAAAAAAAAAUAUCAACGAAAGCUUGCUCAAAAAAAAUAUUAAGGUCAUACAUUGUCAUGAAGAUUGAAAAUUAACAACAAGAAAUACUAAAAUUUGAGAUAUCAAAUCAAUGACUGACUCUAGAAUGUGAAAAACCUAUACUACCAUAAUUCUAACUUAGUGAAAAUAAAAUAAAUUAAAGAAUCCAAACAAAAAUUAAACAAAUAUCAAGUUUUAUACAACUAUAAUGAUGAACCAAAACCAAAACGGAAACAAAGUUUCAAGCUUCUCCAAUCUAAAUUAAAGAAUCAAACUAAAACAAAAACAAAAAUAAACAUUUUCGAACUAAUAUGAGAAUCAAAACUAAAUCGAAACAAAGAUCAUAACUUUUUUUUUGUCUAAAACGAUGAAUUGAAACUUAAUUAACAAAAUUCCAAAUUUUCAAUUUUUAAAACCAAAACUUAAAACCUUUACUUACCUUCUCUUCUUGAAUCAAUCAGUCGCAGUGUCACUCACCUUCCUUUGCAUUUCCUUCACACUUUCAGGCCAAUUAAGAUCAUCUAAAUCUUCAAGAAGACGAUCAGCAUAUGCAGUGAUCUUGAGAAUUCACUGUCGCAUUGGCUUUCUUAUUACUGGAUGACCACCACGUUCACUUACACCAUCUACAACCUCCUCAUUUGCCAAGACAGUACCAAGAGCAGGGCACCAGUUGACUGGCACUUCAGCUUGAUACACUAAUCCUCUUUUUAGAAGUUGAAGAAGAUCCAUUGCAUCCAUUUAUAGUAUUCUGGUUCUAUCGUGGAAAUUUCUCGUUCCUAGUCAUAUGUGAAGCCCAAUUAUUUAAGCUGUGAACGGAAACGUGCAAUGUUCCUCUACGCUAGUCCCAACAUAAUUAGAUUCUCAUGGAUUCAAUCCUCCAUUUGACAUUCCAAUUUCGACGUCGUUACCGUCGUGUAAGGUAGGGAUCGAUGCCGAUGGAUUUGACGGUGGAAAUUCGAAAUCUGGUUCGGUGUGUAUCGGAUUCAGCCUUUCAGAUCGUGAUGGAUUGGUAUCAGUGGGUCCGAUUGCCUUGUGAUUGAAAUCAGACGGCUGAGGAUGACGAUCUGCGAUGAUUGAAAGCAUUCGAAAGGAGAGAAUCCGGAUGUAGGGGUUUUCCGCGAUGAGAUUCGGUGCUGUCAAUUUUCUUUUCUAGAUGCGUGCUUCGUCAAAGCUCUUCUCCAGUGCAGGUGCCAAUCUUCUUUGUGAUUCCAAAAUGAAUCCAGCAAUCUCACGUUCUCAAGAUCCCCCAUUGCCUCUUCGUAUGGCUGCUGCCAGCAAAGACGAGUGGUAAGGUUAACCAUCUCUUUCCACUGCAUUUCUAGGUUUUCUUCAUGCUUAUAAACUGACUCUACUGCCCAAGCAAAGUAUCCUCCUACCCGAAGCAUUCUGUUUACAUCAAGCAGCAAGAUUCCAUCAUCACAGGUCCAGUUGAUUCGACAUCUUGAACAAUGUAUCAAGUCAAAAGCCUGACUGAGAUAUAACAAACGACGAGUCACCAAAGCUACCACCAUUGCAGGCAGAUCGCGCUCAAGAGCAAACUGAAUCUGGUUCUCAUGAGCAUCUUUGGGAGCUAUGGAUAGAGUGAUGACAUUCCGUGAUAACAAAUAGGUACCCAAAACUGGUCACCCCACAUCCAACAUCCAAAACAACUCGAGUAUGCUUGCCAAACUCCAUGUCAGGCACUAUAUUUUGAAAUUUGAUCUCAGUAUUCAUCUACUCCAUGUGCUCAGAAUCCUCCUUUUCCAAAGUCCCUUCCUUCCUCUUUCAAUCGUGCGGUUGCACAUUUUUUUCCCUUUUUUUUUUCAAUGGUGCGACUGUACCUUUCUCACCACCCGAAUCCCAAACUUUCCUCCAGUCUGAAUGGUGCGGCUGCACCUGCUCCCACUCCUAGAAUGAUAUGGCUGCCAAUCUACUUCUCCAGAUUCAACAAGGUAAGUUCAUACUCCUCCUCACCAUCGCGGGGUGAAUAGCCGGUGAAUCUCAACAAAUAGUCGCGUAUGUGGGUUCCUAAAAUAGCCGCCUCAAUCCACUCUGAAACAUGGACUAAUUCCUCCCAAAACAGCAACCCUAAAUGCCCUUUCAAAACACAAACUGAUUCCUCCUCAAACAACAGCCCCAAAUGCCAUUUCAAAACACGGACUAAUCCCCUCAAACAACAACACCAAAUGCCCUUUCAAAACACGGACUCAUUCCUCCUCAAAUAGCAACCCCAAAUGCCCUUUCAAAACAUGGACUGAUCUCUCCAAAUAGCAGCCCCAAAUUUCCUUUCAAAACAAGAACUAAUCCCCCCAAACAGCAACCCCCAUAUGUCAUUUCAAAACACGGACUGAUUUCUUCCAAACAGUAGCCUCAAAUGCCCCUUCAAAACAUGGACUAAUUCCUCAAAACAACAGCCUCAAAAUCCCCUCUUAAACAUGGAUUGAUUUUCUCCAAACAACAGCGUCAAAAUGCUCUUUCAAAACAUGGGUUGAUCUCUCAAAUAACAGCCCCAAAAUGCUCUUUCAAAACAUCGACUGAUUCCUCAAAACAGCAACCUCAAAAUCCCCUCUGAAACAUGGAUUGGUUUUCUCCAAACAGUAGCCUCAAAUGCCCCUUCAAAACACAGACUGAUUCCUUAAAACAGCAGCCUCAAAAUGUUCUUUCAAAACAUGGACCGAUAUCUCAAACAGCAACCCAAAAAUGCUCUUUCAAAACACCGACUGAUCUCCCAAACAGUAGCCCCAAAAUGCUCUUUCAAAACACCGACUGAUCUCUCAAACAAAAACCCCAAAAUACUCUUUCAAAACAUGAACUGAUCUCUUUCCCCAAACAACAACCUCAAUCCCUUCUGAAACAUGGACAUUUUUUCUCUAAACAGCAGCCUCAAAAUGCCCCUUUAAAACACGGACUGAUUCCUCCCUCUUAAAAAUGACAGCCUAAUUUCUCCAAAAUAAACCUUCUGACCUCCUUCAAUCAUGCGUCUUCCUUCCUUUUCUUUUCUUUUCUUUCUUAAUCUUUUCUCCAUCCCCUUGUCAGCUUCUCCGUAGCCACGGUGAUGGAAAAAAAAUGGCAGAAAAAGGUUUCCUUCUACUCUUUCAAUCACCCUCCAUCCCCUCAAAUUUUCCUUUUUUUUUUCCCUUUGUCUUUCCUUUUCUCUCUUCCUCUCUCUCCAAUCCACCGGCUGCCUUCAUCUUUCCUCUUACUGGCGUUUUCUUUUUCUUUUAUGGAGCACAUGGGAUCCAUGCAAAACAAAUAAUAAAAACAAAGGAAAAGGAAAAUAAAAAUACCAAUAAAAAAAAACUAAGGGUUAGAAUAAUAAUAAUAAAAAAAAGUGUAACUAAGGAUUAAAAAUCCAAAAUAUGCAAUUUUAAAUGAAAUUAAAAAUAUAGACAAAGCUAAAAUGAAUUAUCAACUCAAGCAACUUUUUAUCAAAAUAAAUUAAUAAAUAGAUAAAUAAAAACAAAAUGAAUAUGAUUAUUAAGCUCAUGCAACUUCCUAAAAAUGAAUAAAACUAAUAAAUAGAGAAAGAUAAAAAAAAAAAAAACAAAAACAAAAUCAAGCACAUGCAAGCCAUAUGAGCUAUGCAACCAUGCAAACCAUGCAUCCAUCCAAAAAAUGAUCUAAAUUGGCCUAAGGUGCCUAAGUGAGCAUAGGGUGCCUAAGUGGGCCUAAGGUGGUGCCUAAUAGGGCAAAUGGGCCUAAAUGAGCUUAGGGUGCCUAAGUGGGCCUAGGGUGGUACCUAAUGGGCCAAGUGUGCCUAAUGGGCCUAAGGUGUACUUAAAUGAACCUAGGGUGAUGCCUAAUGAGCCAAAUGUGUCUAAAUGGGCAUAGAGUGCCUAAGUGGGCCUAGAGUGCCUAAGUGGGCCUAGGGUGGUGCCUAAUGGGCCAGGUGUGUCUAAAUGGGUAUAGGAUGCCUAAGUGGGCCUAAGGUGGUGCUUAAUGGGCCAAGUGUGUCUAAAUGGGCCUAGUGUGCCUAAGUGGGCUUAGGGUGAUACUUAAUAGGCCAGGUGCGUCUAAAUGGGCCUAGGAUACCUAAGUUAGCCUAGGGUGGUGCCUAAUGGGCUAGGUGCAUCUAAAUGGGCAUAGGGUGCCUAAGUGGGCCUAGGAUGGUGCCUAAUAGGUCAGGUGUGUCUAAAUGAGCCUAGGGUGCCUAAGUGAGCCGAAGGUGGUGCUUAAUGGGCCAAGUGUGUCAAAAUGGGCCUAGGAUGGUGCCUAAUGGGCUAGGUGUGUCUAAAUGGGCCUAAAGUGGUGCCUAAUGGGCCUAAGGUUCCUAAGUGGGUCUAAGGUGCCUAAUGGGCCUAAGGUGUACUUAAAUGAACUUAGGGUACCUAAGUGAGCCUAAUGUCAUGGACUUAGUUUUUUCCUAAGCUCGUGCGGCACUUAGACAAGCCAAGACCCCUGAUCUUGCUAAGUCAACCUUACUCUCAAUGCUUAGCUUGCUAGGCUAAGACGCUCACAACUCGGAAGCUUUAGAAGGCGUAGUAGGCAACUCUUAAAGAAUGGAAGUUGCUAUUACUCAAGGAAGCCUUUACAAGUGCUUUUGGGAAUUCACUUGCUUGGUUAGGAAGUGAUUUGGGUGGUACCUUGGCCAAAUGAGGCCCUCGCCUAUUUAUAGGCACCAAUAGAACUCUUUGGAACCUUGGAGGGUUCCUUACAAAUUAGGAAGAUUCUAGAAUACCCUACACAAUUCUAUGUACAACCUUAUGUACAAGAGAUCUCUAGAAUUCUCUAGAAAGCCUUGGACUCCUCUCAUGCCUUCCACCAUAGUGUAGAGAUGUGUGGACAUCUCUAGGCAUCUCUAGAACCUUCCACACUCUUUCCUCCAAUGGCUUAGUGUAGAUGGCUCCAAGAGCUUCCAGAAGCUUCCUGGGCUCUAUAUAAACCCAUGAGGAGGCUCAUUUGAAGCAUCCUGUGACACUAAGGUGCCUAAGUGGGCCUAGAGUGGUGCCUAAUGGGCCAAGUGUAUCUAAAUGGGCCUAAAGUGGUGCCUAAUGGGCUUAAGGUGCCUAAGUGGGCCUAAGAUAUGCCUAAUGGGCCAAGUGUAUCUAAGUGAGCCUAAAGUGGUGCCUAAUGGGCUUAAGGUGUACUUAAAUGAACCUAGGGUGCCUAAGUGAGCCUAAGUCUAAAUUAGGGCUGCCAAGAGUCACAAUGGGGUUAGAUAAAUCCCUCAACCAAAGUCCCCAAGGUGGCUUAGAAAAGAUAGGUUACAAGAGUAGUAAUGAGCCACAAGGGAAUUGCUAUAAAGUACCGAACAAAUACCUAGUAUGACAUGUGCUAAGAGGACAAAAUGGAGGGUCUACAGGUGUAUUUUAAAGAGACACCUUCUAGAAUUUCAAAAAAUUGGAUUUAUAUUGAAAGUAUCUCUUGAAAAGACACUUUCCACAAUUCCACAAAAUCUAAUAUAUACUAAAGGUGUCCCUUCAAGAGACAUCUUCCACAAUUUCACAAAUUUUAAUUCAUACUACAAAUGUCUCUUGAAUUUGAUUUUAUAUUAAAAAAAUUGGAUUUAUACUAAAGAUGUCUCUUCAAGAGACACUUUCCACAAUUCCAUAAAAUUCAAUAUAUAUUAAAAGUAUCUCUUCAAGAAACACCUUUCACAAUUUCACAAGUUUUAAUUUAUACUACAAGUGUCUCUUGGAUUUGAUUUUAUAUUGAAAGAGACACGUUCUACAAUUCCAAAAAAUUUGGAUUUUUACUAAAGAUGUCUCUUAAAUAAACAUUUUCCACAAUUUCACAAAUUCCAAUACAUACUGAAAGUGUCUUGAAUUUUAAUUUUCAUCUUCAACAAUUUAAAAAAUUUUAAUUUAUACUACAAGUGUUUCUUAAAUUUGAUUUUAUAUAGAAGGUGUCCUUUGAAAAAAAUACCUUUAGUAUAUAUUGGAUUUUGUGGAAUUGUAUAAGGUGCCUCUUUAAGAGACACCUUUAGUUUAAAUUCAAUUUUUUUUUUUAGAAUUGUAGAAAGGGUUUACCUUCAAUAUAAAAUCAAAAUUAAGAGACACUUGUAGUAUAAAUUAAAAUUUGUGAAAUUAUGGAAGGCGUAGAGUUUAGUAUAUAUUGGAUUUGUUUUUUUUGAAUGGUGGAAAUUGUCUUUUCAAGAGAAACCUUUUACUAUAAAUCCAAUUUUCUGGAAUUGUAGAAAGUGUCUCUUGAAAAGACACCUUUAGUUUAAAUUCAAUUCUUUUAAUUAUAUAUCGUAGAUUUAAAAAUUGUAGAAGAUAUCUCUUGAAGAGACACCUUCAAUAUAACAUCAAAUUCAAGAGAUAUAGAAAUAGGUUGCAUCAAAAAAGUUAAAAUAGGAUAUAGUUUUUUUUCCACCCCUCUCCCAUAUGUCCAAAAAUGCCACAAAAUUGGAAUUAUUUUCCAAUCUACGAUAUUUUAGAAAAUAAUUUUUAAAGGAAAAGUUGUGUUUUGGGCUUCCCAUCCCAACAUAAUAGCAUUUUAGAAACCUAACGAUGGGAAAUAUGAGAAUCAACUUUUAAUAUGAAAAGUAUAAUCAUUUUUGUGCACUCUAGGUCGACUCCACCUUUUAUGCCCAAAUUACCCCUUCGUUUCUCUAGCUCAGCAUCAUCCUAACAACCCAAAGAUUCUCUCAUUUUAGUUCAGAAACCCAACUCCAAAAUUCCAAGGCAGUGUCAAAACGCUGUUUCGGCUCAUCUAGGAGCCAUGGGAGUAAAACAGAAUAUAUGAAAAACGAAAUGAAGCUUGGGUGGAGAGAGUAGGUACCCAAAAAUCAAAACCCUAACCUCCAAAUGCAUCCUAGACUCACAAAUUCAUGUCCAAGAUAGCUUUAUCAUCAAGAAAUAGCACCAAACAUCUCUCGUAGACUACUAAAUCGGCAAAACCCUUGAAGAACCAGAGGAAAUAGUGCAUAAAAUGAAACGUGGGAGACUCUUAAAGUAUUGGGUCCCGACGAACCGGUCAACCGGUCUUCGAACCAAUCACCAUUGGUAUUUUAGUGACUGUACCUUAGGUACUACCUUGAUAGACUUUAGAUACUAGCUUAAUCUACUUUAGGUACUACCUUAACCGACCUUAGGUACUACCUUAGUUAAACCUGCAUUCUACCUAUGUGAAGGCUUAAAACUUCAUUUGUGGAUAUUAAUUAUUUGUGACCCUUAGAGCAUGCCAUUAUGUGAUUAAUCAAUGUGGUCAAUUGGUUCACCUUUGGUAUUUUGGUUAUUGUACCUUAGGUACUACCUUAAUAGCCCUUAGGUACUAUCUUAAUCGUCCUUAGGUACGACCUUAGUAAAACUUGGGUACUACCUAUUUGAAGCCUCGAAACUUCAUUUGUGGAUAUUGCUUACUUCAUUUGUGACCCUUAAAGCAUGCCAUUAUGUGAUUAAUUAGUAUGAUUAAUUAGCAUACCAUCAUAACAUGCUUUAAGGGUCACAAAUGAAUUAAGUAAUAUCCACAAAUGAAGUUCCAAGGCUUGAAAUAGGUAGUACCCAAGUUUUACUAAGAUAGUACCUAAGGUCGGUUAAAGUAGUAGAUAAGGUAAAUUAAGGUAGUACCUAAGGACUAUUAAGGUAGUACCGAAGGUAUAGUUAUCAAAAUAUCAAUGGUGAACCAAUUGACCACACUAAUUAAUCACAUAAUGGCAUGCUUUAAGGGUCACAAAUGAAGUAAGUAAUAUCCACAAAUGAAGUUUUGAGGCUUUAGAUAGGUAUUACCCAAGUUUUACUAAGGUAGUACCUAAAGUCGGUUAAGAUAGUACCUAAGGUAUAUCAAACUUGCACCUAAGGGCUAUUAAGGUAGUACCUAAGGUACAAUCACCAAAAUAUCAUAGGUAAUCGGUCAAGGACUGGUCGACCAAUUCGUCGAGACCCAAUACUUUAAGAGUCUCUCGCACUUCAUUUUCUGCACUAUUUUCUUUGGUUUUUCAAGGGAUUCAUUGAUUCAAUGGUCUAGGAGAGAUGUUUGGUGUUAUUUAUUACUAAUAGAGCUAUAUUGGACACGAAUUUGUGAGUAUAGGACUGAUUCAAUGGUCUAGGUUAGGUGUAGACCCCUCUUGGACCAAGGGGUAUUGCUGGCCACCCGGUAAGUUGAGGAUUUUAUUUGAGGAGUGGGAGACGACUUCCAUGAAGAAGCUGCUGAGAUGUGUGGCAAAAGAUGUGACCACCUUGCCAUGAUGGUGGUUGAAGCAGGUAAGAAAAGAAAACAGAGGAGUACCAUAAAGCUGGGUGAUGGGAGACUUUUUGGGGAGUGGUAGCUGGAGGAAAGGAGAAGCAGAGGUUUUGAGAGAAUGUGAGGAAAGAAGGGCUGGGAGAGAAAAACGGAGGAAGUUUUUUAGAUAGAGGUUUGGAAGGGGGUAUGAGAAAGGAAAACAGAGCAAGAGAGGUGGAAAGCAAAAACAGAGAGUUGGACUGAGACAAGGGGAUGAGCCGAGAAAGGAGCGAUCCAUGGGUGUUUCGUUUUAGGGAGACUGAGAGAGAGUGAGCUAGGUAGAAAAACAGGGUUGCAAAAACGUGGGGUGAUUGAUUGGUUUUGGGGGAAAAGGAAUAGCUAGAAACCAACAUUCCACACGUCCGGAGAGAAGUCUUCCAAGUAUGGAUUUUUUUGUUUCUAUUGUUCAGUUUGUUGGCCAUACUGCCUUUCUUUCUCUCUUUCUAUCGUCCUCUCUUUCUUCCAUUGCUUGCAUGCCCUCUUAUUGUUGGAGACCCAAAGUUAGCUUGAUGGUGCUCCAACAAAUCCACAUUUGACUAUGAUAAAAAGACUUUAGUUGUGCCAUUGUUUUUCUAUGUUGAGGUCCAGACUUACCAUGGUUUGAUGUGUGAGAAUUUAUGAAACUGUCUUGGGAACACUAGAGGAUCAUGUUGUCAUCUUUCUUGUCCACAAUGGACCCACGUGUUUAGGUUUUAAUAUGAAUGACAUCUGUGGAGUGGAUUGGGUGUAUGGAGGUGGUGAUCAUGGUGAUCCAGAUUUAGCACAAGCCAUUUCCCACUUGAAAUAGACCACCAAAUUCUCCACCCCCCUGGUUGUAUUUGGCCACAUGUAUAAAGAGCUAGCACAUGGAAAUGCCCACAGAAAAAUGAUUGUUGUUGGGGAAGACGACACCACAUACCUUUGGUGGGCCAUUCUUGAAGCACAUGCCUUUAUCUUGUUGUUUUUUUAUUAUUUAUCCUCACGCGUCAAAGUUUGAUUUUCACAAAUUCUCUUUUAAAUGAUUUUCAAAAUUCCAGUUUUUCAAAUAAUCUUAUUUCCAUUCCAAUUUGCAAAUUUAAUUUAAAGAAAAAAAAUUCAUUCUCAAAUAAUUUUUUAAAAUUCCAAUUUCCAAAUUUAAUUUUCAAAACUUCCAUUCUCAAAUAAUUUUUCAAAAUUCCAGUUUUUAAAUUUAAUUUUCAAAACUUUAAUCUUUGAAUAAUUUUUCGAAAUUCCAAUUUCCAAAUUUAAAUUUUAAAACUUUCAUUUUCAAAUAAUUUUUCAAAAUUACAUUUUCAAAACUCCAAUUUUCAAAACUUCAAUUUUUAAAUUUAAUUAUCAAAACUUCACUUUCCAAAUAAUUUUCCAAAUUUCCAAUUUUCAAAAUUCCAAUUUUCAAAUUUAAUUUUCAAAACUCCAAUUUCAAUUAAUUUUUUAAAAAAACUCCAAUUUUCAAAACUUCAAUUUUCAAAAUUACUAUUUUCAAAUAAUUUUCAAAACUCUAGUUUUCUUUCAAUAAUUUUAAUUCCACUCCAAUUUUCAAAUAUUUUUAAUUCUACAACUUUUCAUCAUUUAUUAAGGUUUUGGGUAAAAAAAAAUCUCAUUUUUAAUAAACUUGCUACAUUUCCCUUCAGUUAAGCACUUUCACAAAUUUUCUUUGAUUUUCAAAUAAUCUUUUGUUUCUUUUGAUUUUAAAUAAGCAUGAAUAUGAUUUUCAUAAUUCCAAAACAAUGGAAUUUGUGGGAUUAAUUCAUGCAAAAUCAAUUGGGUUUUGGUGGGGGCCCUACAUAUGAGUUUUCUCUUCUGAUUGUCAAUUGUUAUGCUUAAUGAAUAUUAUUUGAUCUUUGUCUUGCUCUUUGAUAUGCAUGUGAUAAUUUUAUACUUGAGCUAACCUUGUUCCAUGAUAGCGCACUAUUACUUGUUGUUAAGGUACACUCUCACUCUCACUUUGUUUAUUUAUUCGUUAUCAUGACUUACUUCUAAUCUAUGAUCAUUUUGGCAUCCAUUGAUUUCCUAAUUAAGUUCCACACUUGCUUCGCCUUAUUUAGUAGAGACCCGUUUUUAGGGACUUAGAGGGGUGCUAUGGUCUUUUAUCGUACGUUCCCUAUAGGUAACUUUGGUUUUUCACAGACUUGUUUUUCCUUCAGGAGUCACACUUAAGGUUUUUCUUUCUCAUUUUGUUUUUCCCUUUAAAAAAUAAAAACAUAAAUAAGUGACGACUCCAAAUCUUUUCUAAAAAUCAUAAUUUUUCACAAAUAAAUGAAAAGUGAGUGUCGCUAUCGAGUGGGAAUGCAUCAUGUGAAAUGUGGGGUCCACAUUAGGGUUUUGAUUUUUUUGGUACCUACUCUCUCUACCCAAGCUCCAUUUCAUUUUUCUCAUAUUCUCUUGGACUCCCAUGGCUCCUAGACGAGCCAAAAGGCGUGUUUUGACACCUCCUUGGAGUUUUGGAUUUGGAUUUCUGAACUAAAAUUAGAGAAAUUUUGGGUGGGUGAAUGUGCCUACAAUGUCAUGGAUUAGGAUAAAUUUGGGUAGGCUAUGCUUGAUUCCCGGAAAGUUUAAGGAAAAAUACAAGGGAAAGAAAAUAGAAAGCAAAAGUAGAAGGAAAGAAAAAGUGAAAUAAAAUCAAUAAAUUAUUUUUAUAUCCUACCUCAAAUUCAAUCCACUUAUUUAUCUUCUUCAUAUAAAGAUUAAAUAAUUUAAAAAUAUAAAAAUUUCUUACUUAUUUUAAUUAUAUUUGACUUUCUUUAUUAUUUUCCAUACUAAAACCAAACAUAGAAAAAUUAUUUUUUUCUUUGCAUUUAUUUUCUUUUCUUAGUACUUCCCAGGAACCCAACAUAGCCUUAGUAUUAUGCAUAUAUUCUUACACAAACAACCGGCUGUUUGAGAUAACUUAUUUUAAAAAAUUUCUAAGAGAUGAAGUCAAAUCAAAAUUUUAAAGGAUUAUAAAAUUUUUAUUAAAUAUAAAGCUACUUCCAUGAAUAAAAAGAAAAAAAAUUAUGAGAAGUAGCUUCAAUUUCUUUCUUUUAUUUUUGUUUUGUUAAGCUUUUUUAAUUUUAAAGUUACCAAUAAAUACAAUGUUUAAUGUAGUGUGAAAAUAAUAACUUCAUGUAUUAAGGCCACUUUUAAUAUAUGAAAUUCUACAAUAGGAAUAGGAAUGUAAGUGUGAUUUACUAGUGGUCCUAAUCGUGUGUGUGCAGGGGCGGAGCCACCUUGUGCCCAGAAAGGGCUUUGGAAAGAAAGAACUUUACGAGUGCCUACAGCGAGGGUGGAGCUUGUCUUCAGCGAGGGUGGGGUAGGCGGUCAGCAUAAGAGCCGGCGCUUGCCUUCAAAAAUGUGGGUAGGCGGUCCAGUUAACAGCUGGAGCUUGUCUUCAAUAAGGGUGGGGUGGAUUCCGUCGAGGCUUUUGCAGAUGUAAAACUACAAGACCUUAAAACCUGUAUAACACUGAUCAAAGUAUUGAAGGCAAGCUUGUUUUGUGCCUAAGAAAAAGCAUGGCGUCCUCUCUGUCCUGUCCAGGCAACUCCUUGACCCAGUCAAAAACCCUCUAUGCAAAUCAAAAGGUUAUGUUCAUAUACAGAGAGAAAGAAAGGGAAACAAAAACGAAGCCUGUUGAACGUCCUUCCACCCGGUCACCUUAUACAAAGAACAUUGCCCACGUGGUCACAUGAGUAGGUGAACGAUGGAUCCAUACAAAGGCAUAUAGAAAAUGAAACUUGGAUUCAAACAAGUCUUUUGAGUUACAACUAAUAUAUGGAAAAGAAUUGAUUUAGUAUUUAUCAACUUUACAAUUAAUUUGUAAAACAAAUUAUGUCAUUAUCAAUAUGAAUUUAUAAAAGAUUAAUAUAUCAAAUAAAAAUAAAAUGAAUAAAUAAAAUUUCAAUUCAGUAUUUAAUAGUUUACAAUUAAAAUUCAAAGUGAACUAUUUAAAAUUCAAAUUCCUCUCUCAUUUUUAAAUUGAACUAUAAAUGUACAUUGAAAAGUUUAAAAAUUAAAAUUUAAAAUUAAAUAAAUAAAUAGAAGUAAAAUAAAAAUAAAAACAGAAAUAAAUAUACAUAUUUCGGCUAAGAGUGAGUGGACCUACUCUGUAUCCGAGGAAAAAUAAAUGGGCUUAAAAUUGGCUCAAAGUGAAUGGUCAAGAAUGAAUGUGCCUAUGAUGUCAUGGGUUAGGAUAAAUUUGGGUUCCAUAGAGUAUAUUUGCUUCCCCAAAGUUUGGGGGAAAAUGCGAGGCCAAAAAAUGAAAGAAGAAAAAUGAAAGAAAAAUAAAUAAAGUAAAAAAUAUAUAUUUAAAAUUAAUAAAUUAUUUUUAUAUCUUACCUCAAAUUCAAUUCAUUUAUAUGUCUUUUAUAUAAAUAUUAAAUAAUUUAAAAAUAUAGAAAUUUCUUACUAAUUUUUAUUACAUUUGACUUUUUUAUUAUUAACCAAGCAUUAAAAAAUAAGAAAAAAAUAUAAAAUCAUUUUUUUAAUAUUAUUUUUCUUUUCUUAGUGUUUUUGGAACCACACAUAGUUUUAGUAUAAUGCAUAUAUUCUUACAUAAACGGUUAUCUUAUUUUAAAAUUUUGUCAAUGUCAAAAUUUUAAAGGGCAAUAGCCUUUUACCAAGUUGAGCUGCAACACCCAACACCGGAGGGGGGGCAUUCUAAGUGUGAGGGGGUUACCUUACCGAGGUCGGCAUUGUAAGAUUCAGUACACUUGACGAGUCACCACUGCCGACACGAAAAGUCCACCCUCUGGUAAUGCUCAAUUUUUAGGAAACUCAGGUAAGUAAAUCUUAAAUCAUGUACUCAUCCUUUGGUGGUUUCUCCUCUUACUUGCGAAUGGGUCAGGGGUUGGGUUUUUUCUUCUUUAUCUUGUCAUGUGUCUGUUUGGGAGGGCCUUGCUUUUGUAGUGCACACACAGACAGCAUCAAACCUGGGGAAGGGCUUCAAUUCUCGAAGCUACUGGUUUCGGCACAAGGGACUUUCACACUGGGGUUCUUUAUCUUGGACACCCGCAGUUAUUUAGGAAUCUGGUACACAAGUGAUGUUAACAACAAGAAAGUUUGGGUUGCUAACAGAGACAACCCUAUAUCUGGCACCAAUGCAAAUCUCAUGCUGGAUGGCAAUGGAACAUUGAUGAUCAUUCACAGUGGGGGUGAUCCAAUUGUCUUGAAUUCCAAUCAAGCAUCCAGAAACUCCAUAGCUACCUUGCUUGAUUCUGGAAAUUUUGUUGUGUCAGCGUUAAAUUCAGAUGGAUCUGUGAAGCAGACACUAUGGGAAAGUUUCGAUGAUCCUACAGACACGCUCCUGCCUGGGAUGAAACUAGGCAUCAACUUGAAAACCGGGCAAAACUGGUCACUUGCUUCGUGGAUAAACGAACAAGUGCCUGAUCCUGGGACUUUCACUCUAGAAUGGAAUGGCACACAAUUGGUAAUAAAACGCCGAGGGGACAUCUACUGGAGCAGUGGAAUUCUGAAAGAUCGGAGUUUUGAGUUCAUUCAAACUCACCAUAACAUCUACUAUUUCAUCAGUGUUUGUAAUGACAACGAGAUCUACUUCAGCUAUUCAGUUCAAGACGGAGCUAUUUCAAAGUGGGUAUUGAACUGGAGAGGGGGAUUUUUUGACACUUACGGAACUCUAUUCGUGAAGGAAGAUAUGUGUGAUCCUUAUGACAAAUAUCCAGGGUGUGCAGUGCAAGAGCCACCCACUUGCAGGACUACAGACUUCCAAUUCAUGAAGCAAUCGGUUCUCAAUUCAGGAUAUCCAUCAUUAAUGAACAUAGAUACGAGCUUGGGCCUUAGUGAUUGUCAGGCUAUAUGCAGG